CUAAGCGUCUUUACACUAAUAUCACUCAACUUCAUUUAAACUGUGAAAUAGGGCAGAAAAUUCAUCGCAUGAUUUUGCCCUUCCUUGAGUUUAAGGAGGAUGAAAUUGACGCUGAAGCAUAUAACUGUGAAAGUGUUGUUUCGUCUGAGGAUGUUAAUCCGACAUAUAUGUAUGGUCUAGACAAAAUCGAAUCUUUCAUAAAGUCCAAGGACCACAAGGACAUGCUGAAAAAUCUUUUGGAUGAAAAUGAUAAACUAACACUAAGAACCGAAACCAUACAAAAGUUUGACUCAUUGAAUGCCAACCUGAGCUCAGAAAAUAAAAUUGAUGUUGAAAAUGCAUCUGAGCUCAAUGAGGACGAUGAUAUGAGUGAAAUUUCUGUUGAAGACACAGUUGACUGUUCAGAGUUUGUCAAGAGCGAACCCAAAAACCACAAAAAUCUUAUUUCAGAAAAUUCUGUGGAGUUUGCUCGUCUGUCCCAACAAAAGUCCCCGAUCCUUGAAGAAAAGGCUGUUGUAUACCAAAAAGUGAGAACAACUCCAAAUCAGGUGUAUAAAGUCACAGGCGUAACAGAACAUCAGACAGCCGAACUCACAGCUAUUGUAAACGAAGAUAAUGCUGAUGGUUGUGAUGAGUUCUUCUGGUCUGCUCCUAUCGACAAUGCUGACGAAACAGUUGGUCUGUCAGAAAGGACUUCAUGGAAAACCAAAGGCAGAUAUGUGCCAGAACCUUUGAACAAGCCUGAUAGCUUCGACGUGCCAAGUACGAGUGGUACAAAAAAUGUUCCUGAAGAAAAAGGAGUAUCAGCAAAAGAAGUCACUCCGUCAAGCGACACAUCAUCAGUUCAAAGUGAAUCAGCUGAAAGAAAGCAAAAACAAAAAGCGAAUGUCCNGUCAGCCGAAGCUGGUGAAAAACCAAAAACAGCAAAGGAAUCAGAGAUACAAGAAGAAUCUCUCUGAAAGAAAACAGUUUUGGCAAUCUAAAAAUGCACAUUUCUCUUAUCAUGAUAGAAACUUAAAGUCAGAGAAAAGUACUGUUAGAUCACAAGAGAGUAAUAACAACCGAAGGGAGAGGUUCGGUUCUGAAGGUAAUAACAACCGAAAGGAUAUGUUCGGUUCUGAAAAAUAUGACAACUGAAGGCAAAGGUUCGGUUCAGAGAACUCUAUCUAUCGUAAGCAGAGGUUCGGUUCCGAGAGUAAAAGAGACCAAAGUUCUAGGUUCGGUCCCACUAAUGAUCAAAAACAAAAGGAUCACUUAGAAUCUCAAGCCAAGAAAUCAUCUCAGUCUAAAUUCUCUCGUUCUACUUCUUCUAAUUCUUCUAAUUCCUCUCAACCACAUUCUAAAUUCAAUUCUGUUCGCACUCAAAAACCUAAAUCUUCAACAGAUCUGAAAGGAAAAUCGAAGGUUUCAUCAGUCGAAACAAAUCAAAAUCAUCCCAAAGUCCAAAUACCUAAACCAGAAUCCAAACCGAAAGCAACAAAUCCCAAUAAAAUUAAGGUUUUCACCAUUAAAAAGAAAGAUGAAACAACGUUAAUAAAAAGAACAUAUCUUGUUGACAUCUCUCUUACUAUUCCUGUUCCUGUGAAAGGCUCACGUGGACCCAAGAAACUUUGGGUUCCUAAAUCUGCUUAAUUUUUGCAGGUUAUCAGUGACGAGCAGUUUGACGAAGAAUGGUAUAUUGACAGUGGCUGCUCGCGUCACAUGACAGGAAGGAAGGAAGAGCUGAGGGAAUUUCGGUCUCUUUCAAACGGUGGAAAUGUCAAGUUCGGGAACAACUCAUUCGGCACAAUAAAAGGCUAUGGAAUGAUAACAAAUGGUGAUUUUACGAUUAGGAAGGUUGCAUAUGUUGAAGGACUACAACACAACCUCAUCAGUGUAUCUCAAGGUUUCAUUUGAUGAUGAGGGUUCGUAAAUAAUUGAGAAGAAAACGAAAAGAGUUAUUCUCAAAUCGGAGCGCAAAGGCGAAAUGUUUCCCCUGAACCUCAAACCCAUCAAAGGGAAUCCAGCUAUCUGCCUGUUAUCCAAAGCACAAUCUGACGAAAGCUGGCUGUGGCACCGAAGGCUCUCUCAUCUCAACUUUAAGGAUAUCAACAAACUUGUCACUGGAGGUCAUGUUCGAGGUCUUCCAUUGCUCAAGUACGAUCGAGAACAUUUAUGUGCUGCAUGUGAAAUGGGGAAACAGAGUCGUCAAAGUCACCCAUCAAUUAUAAACACUAAAGUUGUUGAACCACUAGAGUUAAUUCAUAUUGAUUUGUGUGGUCCAUCAUCUAUCGAAAGCAUCGACGGUAGCAAGUACGUUCUUGUCAUUGUUAAUGACUUCUCGCGUUUUACAUGGGUGUUCUUUUUGAAGCAUAAAUCUGAAGCGACUCUCAAGCUAAAGGUGUUCAUCAAGCAGGUUGAAGUACAGCUGAAGAAAGUCGUUCGCAACAUCAGGAGCGACAAUGGUCUGGAGUUCAAAAAUAAAGAAUUCGAAGAAUUCUUGGCCGACAAAGGAACCAGUCACAACUUCUCAGCUCCCUACACCCCUCAACAAAACGGGAUUGUCGAAAGACGAAACCGAUCUUUGUGUGAGGCGGCCCGAACCAUGCUAAGUUUUGCUUCUUUACCUUUAUAUUUUUGGGCUGAUGCUAUUGCUGCAGCUUGUUUUACGCAGAACAUGUCAUAUCUCAAUAAGCGAUUCACUCUCACUCCUUAUGAGAUCAUCAACAACAGGAAGCCAAAUGUCAAAUUUUUCCAUGUGUUCGGCUCACAGUGUUUCAUCUUUAAUUCUAGAGAACACCGUAACAAGUUCGAUGUCAAAGCCGAUGAAGGGAUAUUUUUGGGCUAUUCUCUCACUUCUAAAGCGUACAGGGUAUUAAACAAGCGGUCAAGGAAAAUAGAAGAGACGUAUUAUGUGACUUUUGAUGAUAGCUAUGUCAAAAAGCUAAGGGCCAACGAAGACACAGUUGGAGAAAUCUUUUCUCAAACAGGCCAAGUCACAGCCUCGAUCGCAAAUCUAUUUGAGAAGUUUGUCGAGUUAUUUGAUGAACCAAAAAAGGCUACUCUCUCGGAAGUCAGUGCAGCAGACAAUAAUGUAGAUCAUUUGAAGCAACUCGUCGAAGAUGCUGCCAAGCAAAUGAAUGAAGGAGGAUCUAGUUCCAAUGAACCUCUACAGCACAAUGCUUCAAUCGAGGGGGACGAUCCAUCUUCUCCAUUACAGACGAGUUCACAUGUUGAGGGGGAGGACAGUUCUCAAGCUACUCCCGAACGCUCAACAGUACCCGAAGGUGCUUCAACACCCGAAAGUGCUUCAACACCUGAAAGUGUUACAACACCCGAAGGUGCUACAACACCCGAAAGUUCUUCAACACCCGAAAGUGUUACAACACCCGAAGGUGCUACAACACCCGAAAGUGCUACAACACCCGAAGGUGCUUCAACACCCGAAAGCUCGACACCACCCGAAACCCCUGUAGCUCCGGAAAUUCAAGACACACCUGAAAGCUUAUCUGUCGAGGGGGAGAAUGCUGAUAUGCUUUAUGACGAUGAAAGUCAAUCUGAGCUAGAAGAGAUGGUAAACGCUGAAUUGGAUCCAUCCUAUGAUUCAAAUUACCCUCCUCUUGUCAAAUGGACCAGAGGUCAUCCUGUCUCCCAGGUUGUCGGUAAUGUCUCUGAAAUGGUUCUGACCCGAUCACAACUUAAGGCAAAACAAACUUCCUUAUUUUCAAAAGUAGAAUUAUGUAUGUUUAUCUCCUUCGUCUCAAAAGUUGAACCAAAGACAGUUAACACUGCUCUUGAUCACUCCGAUUGGGUUCAGGCUAUGCAAGACGAACUGAAUGAAUUCGAAAGAAAUAAAGUUUGGCGCCUCAUUCCAACUCCUCAAGAUGCCUCAGUUGUUGGUCUCAAAUGGGUCUUCAGAAAUAAAAUGGACAAGGAAGGCAACGUGAUACGAAACAAAGCACGUCUGGUGGUGAAAGGAUACUGUCAGGAGGAAGGAAUUGACUAUGAGGAAACUUUUGCUCCUGUAGCUAGGCUGGAAUCCGUUAGAAUAUUUCUUGCCUAUGCUGCACACAAAAACUUUGAGGUCUACCAAAUGGAUGUCAAGUGCGCAUUUCUAAAUGGAGAACUUGAAGAAACGGUGUACGUGGAGCAACCUCCUGGAUUCGUCAAUGAAAGGUACCCCAAUCACUGUUACAUUUUGGACAAAGCCGUAUAUGGACUGAAACAAGCUCCGAGGGCCUGGUAUGAAACGCUAACCAAGUUUUUAAAGAUGUCCAAAUUCAAACAAGGUUCGGUUGACCCAACCUUCUUUCGUAAGAAGGAAGGUAACCACCUUAUGAUUGUUCAAAUUUACGUCGAUGAUAUCAUCUUUGGCUCAACGAAUCCUAGCUUAACGGCUGAAUUCAGAAAGCUGAUGGAGACUAAAUUUGAAAUGAGCUCAAUGGGUCCAAUUAACUUUUUCCUUGGUUUAAAUAUUAGACAGGGACCCGAAGGCAUCUUUAUUAAUCAGGAAGCUUACACGAAGACUCUCCUUGCAAAAUUUGGCAUGAUGGGAGAUUCAAAGGUUAAAGUUCCAAUGGCGUUCGGCACCAAGCUCACUCCAUCAUUGGAUAAGCCAGCAGUUGAUAUUACGCUAUAUCGCCAGAUGAUCGGUUCUCUGAUGUAUCUUACUGCUAGCAGGCCUGAUAUAAUGUUCUCUGUUUGUUACUGUGCUAGAUUUCAGGCGAAUCCACGUGAACCUCAUAUGCUUGCAGUGAAGAACAUACUCCGUUAUCUCAAGCGAACUACCUCUUUAGGCCUAUGGUAUCCAUCCAACUCAGGCUUCUUCGUUCAAGCCUACUCAGAUGCAGACCUUGGAGGUUGUGGACUAGACAGGAAAAGCACCACGGGGGGCUGCCAAUUCCUUGACGGGAAUUUGGUUAGCUGGCAUUCAAAGAAACAAACUUGUGUGUCUUUUUCUACAGCUGAAGCAGAAUACAUUGCAGUUGCCUCCUGUACCUCUCAAGUGAUUUGGAUCCAAAGUCAACUCCGGGACUAUGGACUCAAUAUGAAAAAGAUCCCACUAUAUUGUGACUCUGAGAGUGCAAUUAGGAUCUGUCAUAACCCAGUACAACACUCCAAGACCAAGCAUAUAGCACUGAGGUAUCACUUCAUUAAAGAUCAUGUGGAAGAUGGGAACGUUGAAAUUCAUUUUGUUCGAACCACUGAUCAACUGGCUGACAUCUUCACCAAAGCUCUUCCUGAAGCGUCGUUCAACAAAAUUCUACAAGGGCUAGGUAUGAUGGAAUCAGAGUCAGUACCAAAAAUUACCUCUCAUACUCAAAAGUAAAAAGCGAAAUAGACCGAACGUUCGGGUUCAGGUCUUGUACUAAUGUACCGAAAUGAACCGAACGCUCGGGUUCGGUUGAAUCAUCUACUUUUCGCUCCUCAAUCAAAGGUAGUUUUGUUGGUUGUAAAUCUUAUGUAUAAUUGUUCCAAAUGCAUUUCUCUUAUUGUCAACAUUAUUCUCUUUUUGAAAAUCUAUUUUCUUUGGUAACCGAAAUAGACCGAACGUUCGGGUUCGGUUUCAAAAAUUUUCUCACCCGAAAUAGACCGAGCGCUCGGGUUCGGUUCCAAAGUUUUUCACAACCGAAAUAAACCGAACGUUCGGGUUCGGUUACAAAUUUUUUUUUUCUCUCUGUUUUUUUUAUUUUAUUUUUUAUUAUCAAAAAUUCCAAAAAUAAUUUUUUUUUAUAUUCAAAAACUCCAAAAAUAUUUUAUUCUUCAUUUUCUUUUUGGCUUUAAUUUUAUUUGUGUGUUCGUUUAUGGGGAAAUUGUUGAAUUAGCUAAGUGUCCCUAGAAGCAUGCUGCUGUAAGCGUCCAAAGCCUCACCUGAUUCUGAAUAAUAGCCUUAAUGACUUGGUAUACACAAACUUUGUCUUCCCAAUUAGGCUAUCACAUUUAUUCUAAUCAUGAGCUACCUAACUCUCUUCUCACAUGAGAUAAGAGUUUUCUGCUUGGUCCUAUUUUUCACAGCAGAGGUACUUUGAUUUCUUACACCAUCUACAUUUCAUUUCUCCAUCACACUCGUUUCACAAACGUAACCCUUGAGACUCUCAGAAAUUACCACUGAGGUUUAUGGUUACACAAUAACUGUGUUCAUGAUCUUAGUUUCGUGCCACUACGAGCUAAGUGAACCCAAAAUUCAAUACCCAAUACAAAUUGACGGUGAACAAUUAAUUUGCUCUAGUUUUCACUAUUGAAUUGACGGAUGUGUCUUCAUGAAAUCUCAAAAUUUUCUUUUGUGUGAUUCCUAUGAAAUUGUUACAACCAAUAACAUUUCUUCCCUUGGGAUCCAGUUUUAAUUUUUUUUUUUGAGAUUUUAUAUUCCUAGCCUAUUUAAAUUAUUCCCAACCUACUUGUUCAACAGACUACACCGGUCUCACAAGUACUUUGUUCACUUUCUAUCUUAUAUCAAGAUUAGGAAUGUUGAAUCGAAGCGAAAGCCACCCUCACAAGCCUAAUUAAAAGAAGCCUUUCAACACUUCUUAAUAAGUGUAUGAUCGUUAUUCAACGGGAAACCACAUAAACACUUUAAGGUCUCUCUUGACUUUAAAGAAAGAAAUUCAUGCCCGGGAUCAUUUGUUUCGUGUCUUUAUUGACAUCACAUUUUUUCCUAAAAAUUAUUGCCUUAUUUCUUUUCUUUUACACCCUUAGCAUGAAAAUCUUUGAUUUUCCAAAAUUCAGGUUCUAUUAAUUACAGGCAUUUUCAUUGGAUUAAUGGUUGAUUAAAGGUUGUGGUUGAUUUUAAUCCACGUGGGCGUAUUCUUCAAAAGAUGUCGUUACAAUUUAAAGGGAUAAGGUGAUGACUUUCUGACUCAGGCGGGAGUCUAAUCAAUUUGAUUUCAAACGGUGCAAAAGGGAAAGCAUGUGAAUUGGAACCGUCUCAUCUCCAAAUGGCGCAGAAGGGGCGCGUAUGAAUCUGAAACGGUUCAUAUCCAAACGGUGCUUGAUGGGAGGCGUGUUCUUAGGGGUCUGACAUUCUCUCUCAUGCGUGAUCAUCGGCAACCCCAACUAUCAUGCAUCAGUCAACUCUGAAAAACCCUUCGAUUUUCAAUCGAAGAUUUGGGAAGAUCUUUCUCUCUCCUAAAACCCCAGUAUAAAAGGCAGUAUAAUCCUACAUUUACCUCUUUACCGCAAUUAAAAUUCCCAAAGAGCAAAAAUUCCUCAAUCCUUCCCUGUUCAUCAUCUUCUCCACUCUCUUCAAACAAUGGCAGAUUCAUUUUCUUUUCACGCAACAUCCCACAUACUACCCAUUCGCCCACAACAAAGCCUCAUCAUUGAUUUAACUCCUCAAGCUUACGAUGCCUUCAUGUUCCCCAUAAUCGAGUGCUUGAAGUUUUCUCCGAUCGCUCCUGCACUUACAAGAGAUGAAUCUGUUCCAAUGGAGUUCUUAUCGCAAAUCUUUGCGACUGCUCAUUAUGACAAGGCUGUUGACAAAAUUUUCUUUGAUGUUUUCAGCACAAGGCAUCAAUUUCAAAGCAAAGGUUUGCUCCCUGUUAGGGUUUGAAGCUGAUUCUACGAGGGUUAACCCUGAGAUGAUUCCAUUAGGGCACUUAUUCAACAUGUUUUAUAACAUGGGUUAUACGGAGGUGCUUACUGCAGUCGCAAAGUUCAAGAAGUCGUGCCUACCUCCACAGUGGAACGGGAUGUUCACUGUUCAAAUCAAAGGGUUAUCUGAAAGAAGCGUUGGAUCUGAUGGUGCCAGUUGGUUAUUUUUGUCAAUAAUGUAUGGUAUCUACAAUGGCAUCAAUGUAGAUUAUGGGUCUGUUCUAUGGCAACAACUCAUCCAGAGUCUCUCCUCAACUUCCAGGCAUUCAGAGAUUUCUUACGCUAGGUUCUGGACUUUGAUCACGAAAUGGGUGAUGGACAAGUACCACGUCCCCAUUGUCACUGGUGCUCCAAUGUCUUCGAUUGGUACAUUCCAUACCACGAAGAUCAUUGUCUCAGACACUUCCAAGUUUCCAUUCAACAGUUCAAUUCCGGAAACCAUGUAUGGGGAUGUUCCUGCUGAUAGCCAGAUCAUUAGGACGUACAAGGAGUUCAAGCGUUCUGGUCCGAGGGAUCUUCCUCCGGAGAUGCUAAAUCCAUACAUGACACCGACAAGCCUGUUCCAAGAGGCAACAAGGCGGAUAAGGGAAAACAGGUGGCCAAGGGGGCAAAAGGCCCGUCUCCCAGAAAGAGGAAACCCACAAGGGCUGCUCUAUCUCCACAACAGAAGAGGAGAAAAACUCAGCUGAGGCGAAAGCUGGUUAUUGCUUCCUCCUCAAGCGAGUCAGAGGGUGAGAGUUCGGAUUCUGACGACUCUCCACGAGGAAACACUCCACCCAGAUCUCCUACCCCCAUAACUUCCACUACUUCAAUACCACCCACUUCAAUCCCAAUACCAACACCAAGAUUCACCGACGCAACCACAACAUCCACUGCAGAUGUUAGAGCCAACAUAUCUGAUACGGGGGUUCAUACUGAUGCACCCGAACCCACACCAGCACCCGAAACCACAAAAGCACCCGAACCUACCCCUACACCAACACCCGAAACAACCCAACCCGAACCUACCCAUACUUUUGCACCACCAGCUUCACCACCCCCACCCUCUCCUGAUCAUGAAGAACCACUCCUUGGCGGAGAGGAUAUGACGUUUGACUCGGUCUACUAUAGUCCGUUUCAAGUACAGAGUGAUGACGACGAUGACGCUCCCGUAACCAAGAGACAUCUCAAGGAGCUUCAUGACAAGAUUGACUUGCUCAUCGCCUCUUCUUCCACUACUCAGUCAUCCUUUUCUGAAGAUGCAGUUCAGAAGAUUGUUGAUGCUUUCUCCAAGGCUCAGCAAGAUUCCAUUGCUUCUGCAACCUCCGCCAUCGACGUCUCAACAAAAGCUUGUCAGGAUGCGACCAAAAAAGUCGAUAAACUAUUUUCUGAUUCCUCUGUUCUGUUACAGUCUUUACAGGAGAGUGCAAAUGUUGCUAAGAUUAUGUUAGAUCCAAUUGUUCAACAGUUGACAACGUCUGUCUCCACUGAGUUGAAGUCCUUCGCUUCAUUUCGUCAAACGCUUUCAGACGACAACUCGGCAUUUCGCGCAACCAUUGACGAGCGUCUCUCGAAGCUACAAGAAGAUUUAGCUGCUGAGAACUCUCUCAUGGAUGUUCUAGCCAAGAAGACAACUGCUCUAAAGGUCAAGAGUGUUCAACUCUCCCACUCUCAGCAGGAGAUUGACUUUCUUCGGUCUGAAAGGGAGGUGAUAAAGUCGUGUCUUUUGGAUGUCCAUUCUGCCAUCUCCAACAUCCUCAAAGCACAUGAUCCCAUCCAUAACUACACUGUGAGGCGUGACCUUGCAGAGAAACUAGCACCCGCUCUUGCCCUGCUAAGCAAACUCGAAGGGUUACUUGAUUUCGUGUCCAUUUCGAAACAAGGGGGAGAGAAGGAGUCAAUGUCUUAACCACCUCCAUCCUCAAAGGAAACUCACACAACCGAACCUCCUCUAGUAGGCCAAGCCUCUGGUUCUGGUGUGAAAGAUAAAGGCAAGAACAUUGCUAAGGAAGAAGAUGAAGAUGAAGAAACUAUCGCUGAUCUUUUAAAGCGAAAACGUCGAAAUGAUGAUGCUGAUAUCAAUGCUCGUGUGGCUAGAGAAGCUGAAGAAGCAGAAAGAAAACAGAAGGAAGCCCACGACCUUCUUGAGAGUAGGAAAACUCUUUUUCCUGCCUGGAAUCUCGAGAGGAUGAUAAAAGAAGCCAUCGGCACUCCGAGUAUCUUGUGGCUGGAACCUGUAAUCUCACUUGAUUGUUCCAACACUGUCGACUCUCAAUUCGACAUGCCUCUGACCCGAAAGGCGUUCAUCUUUCACACCUUCGCCAACGUUUCAGACUUCCCUAAUCCUCAUCCACAGGUUGAUCGGGACUUGAUCAAUUUUUAUCUGAAGGCCGCUCAACCUCAAUCUCAGACUUGGAGCGCUCAGAAAAUUGUAAACGUUCGGGUCUUGAAGCCGUACAGUGAAGGGAACUUCAUCAACAUUCGGUUCAAGAUACUUCGGGGAUCUGCCAAAACCGAACAUGCCAUUUCUCUUGCAGAUCUUCCGAACCUCAAUCCCCAUGAUUGGAUAAUCUUGCACAACAUCCUACUCACUAACGAAGCUGAAUACGGUCUGAUCAUCGACCAUUUCAAAAGGAUGCUCGUGUGCUACAUCAUGGAAGUUGCGCUGAUGGAUUAGGAGAUAGCGAGCAUAUUCAAGAAGAAACCAACAAUAUAUCCUGUUGGGUCUGCCAGUGAUCUGAACAAAAUGCAGACGGGCAAAAUUGACUCGAGAAGGAUUUCGGUCAUGUUCACCAGGAACGAAGGACAGAAAUGUCUUUUUGCCUUGGCUGACAAACAUCUGUACACUACUGCUUGCUUAGAGCAUGUUUUGGGGAUGAUCCACAGAUGUAAGCAAAACUCACCGGAUGAUGUCAAGUACUUCGAUGACAUGAUACAUUGGUACAUUCGGUUCAGACAGACGAUUCUUGCACUAAUCUCUCGUCUGUUUGAUACCACAAAGAAAGUUCCCGCUGCUGGCCCAAGUAAGAAGAAGAAGUAGUCUCGCUCCAAUUCGACGCAAAGGGGGAGAUUGUUGGGUCAUGUUUUGUAUGGUGCAUCUAUUGGGCUCGUUUGUCUGUCCGUUUUUGUAUCUCCGGUAUGGGCCUGUCCAUCUGUGAGUAUAGUAGGGUUUAUUAUAAAUAUAGGUGCUUGCAUGCAUCUUAGGUUAACGAUAGUAACGAUAGAACAGAUUGAUCAGAGCAUUAUUCAGAAGUUUUAUUAUCGUUCUUGUAACCCUAAAUCCUCUACAGCGGAAGUUCUUAGUCGAGCUCUGCUGAGGAUUGUUUGAAUUAAUCAUUCGACACAUUGUGAUUCAAUCUUGUCUUGUUUAUUGUUUUAUGUUCUUCGCACUACCUGUUACAAAGAUCUAAUCGAUCUUCAAGUUUAUUUAAUAACUCAUCAUGCAUCAAUUUAGUUCGGCUCAUACACCUCAGCAAAAUGGUGUUGCUGAAAGGCGGAACAGAUUGCUAAAAGACGCUGCAAGAACAAUGUUGUGUGAUUCGAAGCUGCCAGUUUUCUUCUGGGCUGAGGCGAUAAACACUGCUUGUUAUGUUCAGAAUCGAGUGCUUAUCAACAAAGCUCAGAUGAAAACUCCGUAUGAAAUCUACUAUGGACACAAGUCAUCAGUCAGUCAUUUACGUGUAUUUGGUUGUCCUUGCACCCUCCUUCACUUAGAUGCCAACCCGAAGUUUAAUGCCAAGGCCGAUGACUGCUACUUUGUAGGGUAUGCUGCUCGCACUGCAUAUAGAGUCUACAAUAAGCAAACCAAACAGAUUGUGGAAUCGUAUGACGUGCGUUGGUUGGAAGAAAAUGAGACAGAUGCUAGAGUGGGUCCGGAUUGGUUGUUUGAUUACACAUCACUUUUCAAAUCCUUAAACGUGUAUUCAAGCGAUAUGUCUAGAACUGAUUCGCACUGGAAGAGUAUCUCUGAAGAUGAAGACGAAGAAGUUGUGUACAAGCCUGUAUCUAAAUCCUCUGCUUCAUCGAAAGGGAAAUCUAAAGCUUCACUUGAGGGAGAGUCCUCUGGCUCGAAAAAAGGAGGAUCUGCUGCUGCAUCUGAGAGGGAGCCUUCUACUGCAUCUGAGGGGGAUCCUUCUGCUGUAACUGAGGGGGAGUCUUCUGCAACAUCUUCGGGAGAGUCCUCUGCUACUCCUCAAGGGAGGCCAUUUUUGGAACAUGAUAGUCCUCAAUCAGUCCAUACUGAUUCUUCUGAUGCUGAAACGACACCUCACAUAUCUAUAGAGAAAGAGUUCGUUCCAAAUGAUGCUUUCGCUGUCUCUUCAACCUUUAUGGAAUUACUCUUUCUUGAUCUUAUUGCAGAUGAGUAUGUCGCAGAACCAUCUGGUGCUGCUCAACCAGCAAAUGAAGGAGGUAUCAACAUUCACACUCUUCCUGUCUCUCUCAAUGACAUCAGCCAAAAAAUACCUUCAAGGGUUCAACGCGAUCAUCCGAUCGAAAAUGUUAUUAGCCAGCUACAUGAUGGUGUUAAAACUAGAAGUCAGAGUGGAGACGUAAAUACAUGUCUGUACUGUUGUUUUAUUUCUCAAAUUGAGCCCAAGAAUGUAGAAAUGGCUCUAAACGAACCUAGUUAGGUGGAUGCAUUGCAUGAAGAAUUGCACCAAUUUCAUAAACUCGGUGUUUGGAAGUUAGUUGAGUUACCGAAGGGCAAGAUGUCUCUUGACACACGAUGGGUCUAUCGCAACAAGCAAGAUGAUUCAGGGGUUAUUGUGGCUCAAUUGGUAGUUCGUGGGUUUCAACAAGUCGAGGGUCUUGACUACACUGAAGUUUAUGCUCCAGUGGCUCGCCUGGAGGCUAUUCGUAUCUUCCUAGUGUAUGCUUCUUAUAUGAACAUUACUAUCUUUCAAAUGGAUGUCAAGACUGUCUUCUUGUAUGGCAAGGUGAAGGAAGAAAUCUACGUUGAUCAACCCCUAGGUUUUGUUGACUCAAAAUAUCCUAAUCAUGUCUACAAGCUGGACAAGGCUUUAUAUGGGCUGCAUCAGGCUCCUAGAGCAUGGUAUGCGACCUUAACAAAGCAUUUGCUCGAACAUGGUUACUCUCGUGGCACUAUCAAUCAAACCUUGUUCAUAAAGCACGUCGACAAGGAUCAAAUUCUCGUACAGAUAUACGUUGACGACAUCAUCUUUGGAUCAACUAGUCAACAACAUUUCAAGGAGUUCGAAGGUCUAAUGAAGAAACGAUUCGAAAUGAGUUCUUUGGGAGAAAUGACCAUGUUUUUGGGGCUUCAGGUUAAACAAAAUUCAACCGGAAUCCUGCUACAUCAAGCCAAGUAUGUGGAGGAUAUUCUUGAGAAGUUUGCGUUUCAUGAUGCUAAACUUGCGUCAGCACCGAUGCUGAACGACCUCUUCUGACUCCAAAUCCUGAAGGCGAGUCCGUAGAUCAAACUCUUUAUCGAUCAAUGAUCGGAUCACUGAUGUACCUUACUGCAAGGCGACCUGACAUUAUGUUCGCAGUUUGUCAAUGCGCAUGCUAUCAGGCUAAUCCUAAACUUUCUCAUCUUAUUGUUGUCAAAAGAAUUUUCCCGUAUAUCAAAGGAAGCCCUAAAUUGGGUCUUCGGUAUCCGAUAAAUUCUGAUUUUGAUCUUUAUGCUUUUACUGACAGUAAUUAUGGAGGUUGUGAGCUUGACAGGAAAUCUACCUCAUGAGGAUGUCAGUAUCUAGGUGACAGGCUAGUCUCGUGGCAAUGCAAGAAGCAACACACUGUCUCGACUUCCACAGCAGAGGCGGAAUACGUUGCUGCAUCAGCGUGCUGCUCUCAAGUUAUCUGUAUCCAACAUCAUCUGUUAGACUACGGUUUUAAUUACUUUGAAACCCCUAUCUAUUGUGAUAAUGAAGCAGCAAUUCAAAUUGCUAAAAACCCAGUCCAACACUCUAAAACCAAGCACAUCGAAAUUAAAAUUCACUUUAUCAGAGACUGUUAUGACGAUCGUUAAUCCGGCUAGAACAGAUCCACACUGACAAUAAUGUGGCAGAUUUGUUCACAAAGCCAUUUAACAAAGCUCGCUUCGAUGUGCUUGUGUGAUUUCUGAAAAUUAUACGUUUUGAGGAUUAAGUUUUUUUUCUUAAUUUAUUUUAUUUUCUAUUUCUUUCAUUUCGAUUUCUUGUUUUAGGAUGGUUUAAAUUUGCACAUUUUUUUAAUUUCUUUAUUAUUCGUGUUCUCAGCCAUGCACAAAUUUAGGGGGAGAAAUAUAAUAAUCCAAAAACAACAAAAAAUCAGAAAAUAAAAAUCCAAAAAUAGUGUCAUUUAUGUUCAGAAAAUUAAAAAAUUAGUGUUGACAGCUUCGGUGGUAGGUAUUGUGAUGGGAAAUGAAAUUAACAAGUGAUAAAGGGCAACCUGAAUCGGCGUAACGUACUUAAGUUGAAUCAUCCACGCUAUGUACUCGAUGUGCUGGUAGGCACGAAAGAUUUUAAAUAGACUUGACUAAGAAAGUUGAACCUAAUGAAUUUAAGGACUUGACAAACUUUGACCUAGUUAAAUCAGUUUAACCUAAUGUUACGAUGCUCGGAUAGGUUGAGCAGCGAGAUAUACAUGAGAAUCUACCUGUCACAUUAAUUGAACCCGUACAUGGAACCGUGGCUUAACUUUUCCUCAAUGUGCGGAUUCUGUCCUUAAUUCCGGUUGGAUGGGGCGACUGGUAAAUUCUGAUAAAUUAGGUCUGUAGAAUAUCAUUUUCUUUCUUUCCGUCUGUUAGCCAUAUGUUGUCUCCUUUGCGCGACUUCUAAUCCGACCUGGUACACAACAUAUGCAACUCUAUUUCUCUGCAGGAUAUAUAUAUAUAUAUGUGUGAAAUAUACUAGUGAAAUACUUCUCAUCUGUAAGCCAUAUGCUGUCUCUUUUGCGCGACUUCUAAUCCGACCUGGUACACAGCAUAUGCAACCUUCUUCUUCUCAACCCCUCUGAAGUAAUUAGCAAUAGAAUUCUGAAUCUAUUCUCUCUUUGAAUGGUUGUCUGCUCACCCGGUGUAAGGAGUACUCUGGAAGUUCUUGAUGGCUGGGGCAUAUCAGGAAGCGGGAAACACGUUCCAGUACACUUAAAAUUGAACUCAUACAGAUUGUCUGUAGAUCUCGCUGCUCGAUUUAGGUGGACAACAAUAUCCCUGGUUGUAGUCAGUUAAAUGGUCAUAAGGUGAAUUUAUUUAAGAUUUAGGAGUUAUCAUAAUUACAGAAAUUUACAAUUACAUAUAUGCCUGAAUCAUGUCAUUGGUAAAAUGUCCAAAACUGUCACAAAUCUUUCGUGUUUAAGUAGACCACAAUACUAUCAAUCGGUCAGACGAAGAUGUGAAGAUUAGGGUACCAAAAAGUGGAAUAAGGUCGUCCAACAACUUUGAUCCAAGCAUCACAAAAGUUAUAGUGGUUAAGUUUUGUUUUGUAAAACUAUUUUUAGUUGAAUUUUUUUUAAAUCUUAAUUUUAUUUUUUAUUUUUUAUUUUUUAUUUUUAAAAUGUUAUUUUUAAUUUAAUUUUUUUUACUGUGUUCAUUUUUAUUUCUUAAAAAAUUUCGUUUUACUUUUUCUAGCAAUUAAAUUGUGUUUUGUUAGUUUUAUCUUUAUUUUAUUUUUUAUUUUUGAAAUUAUUUAAAAAAAAAUAAUCCUCAAUGUUUUUUUUAAAAAAUUAAUUUUUUGUUGGAAUUCGAAAAUACUGGGUAGUUAUCAUGUAAGAGGGUAAGUGAGGGUGAAAAAGGGUAAAAAGGAAUUCACUGUCGGAAUCUCCUCAUUCACAAGAUUCCGGCCGCAAACACAUCUUAAACCCUCUCAAAAGCUCGAAAAAAAUUUCUUUGAUUUUUGGAAAACCGUUUACAUCAUCACAAAGGUAAUCACUUCUAGAUCACGAAUAUGUGUUUUGUUUCAAUUUUCACCGAGCCAUUUUGUCGGAAAUCGCGAAAAAGGAUUCAACGGAGCUUACGACCGUAAACUCCGUUUGGUUGAUGUUUGGAUUUGUUUUGAAUAUAUUUUGAUGCUACUAAUCCCUGCAUUUGCAGAUAUCUAUGCAUUAUACAUCAAUUCAUCGUUUAGAUAUGUUUUUCGUGGCUUUUUCAAUUAAGUGUUCGUCGGCCACAAACUCGGUGUUUACGGCCCAAUAACAAUUCAUCUAUUGCUCUGAUAACUGAUUAAGUAAUUGGGGUUUUUCGAUAUGAUAAGCUUGUAAAAAGGCUCUUAGGCCGUAAACAUUGAGUUUACGGCCCAAGAACUUAGUUUACUGCCGGAUUUUUUUAUUUUAUUUAAAAUUCGAGAUUUAUUGUUUAUUUCGGCCGUAACUCAUUUUUCAAUUAAAUUUCUUUAAUAAAAUUUUGGUUUGAUCAUACUUUUAAUUAAAAUAAUUUUUGGGUCAAAAUAAAAUUUUAUUGUAAAGUUUUUCUUACAGUUUGUGUUUAAGUGCAGAAAAUGGCGAAUUUGAAAUUUGUAGACAUGCACAACCUUGCAAUCGUGCUUGUAGACCCUCCAACAAUUCACUAUGAUAUGCGCUCGAUGAUUCAUCGGUUGUGGGAAUGUUGUUUAGCAUCCGCGAUCACAUUCAAUCCAGUGGUGUAUCAAAAUUUGAUUCGCGAGUUUUGGGCGACCGCUCAGUCGAACAUGGAUGAUGAUGGCAAUUUCACUGUGAAAGCCAAAGUUCAAGGAUAGGAGAUCGUGAUUGAUGAAGGUUUCAUUCACGAGGCGCUGCUUAUUGACGAUCAACCAAAUUUCCCAACUGAAAUUGGAAUUGAAGACGCUCAACGGAUUCUACGCAGAAUGAGCUACGAGGGAACUUUUCCGCCGACACUGAAGAAGUUGUCGCAUCCAUACUAGAGAUUCUCAGUGCAUGUUUUUGUUAGCUGCAUUUCGGGCAGAAGGUCUUGAGCCGAUGAGAUUUCACAGCACACAACUGGUGCAUUGGUAUCCCUUGCUGCUGGCAUAAGAUUCAACUUUUCGAAGUUCAUCUUGGAUGAAUUUGUCAUUAACAUUAGAGCCUCUACCCGAGAUACUUUUCUGCUGUCUCCUCGUUUUAUCCAAGCAUUCAUUAACAUUCAGUUUCCUAAUGUAAGGAAGGAGGGCGAGACUCUGGAUAUGAAAUCCUUGGGUCCCCACACGGUGGGACUCAUCAAACAAAAUCGUAAAGGCAAGGCUAUAUUUCAAGGACUGUAUCCCCUAGAGAAGUUUGGAAAGUUUACAGAGUUAGAUGAACCGACAGAGUCAUACGAUUCGUCUGAACAAACCUCGUCAGAGCAGGCAUCUGUAGAAAAAUCGACUCCGAACAACAUUGUUAUUGAUGUAUCGAGGAUGAAGAAACUGAAAGGGAUAACUCACCAACUCCUGACGCUCAAUUCGCCGCAGAACUUGAAAAGGAGUUGAACCAAGAUCAAGAUGAUGCGGAAAUGCAUGUCGGUGAAGAAAGAAAUGAUUCAUUUGGUGAUCUUGAUUUAACAGGUUUUGAUCGUGAUGAUAUUGCGGCUUCCUUAGCCAGCAGUGCAAAUGUUGUGUCACAAGAAAACCUUGAUACGAUUUUCAACAAUGUCGAUGACGUUGUUCUGCCAACAACCGAGACUAGGAAGUCAAGCGAAACGUUAGAAACUCAAACUCCAACAUCAAAACAAAUGGUGUCUGCUUCAAUUCACAUGGAGAUGGUUAUAGGAUGUUCCCCUCCGAUAUCCAAUUCUCCUAUAUCUGAACCAUUUAUGAGUGUAUUUACCCCAGAUUCUAACCAACCUCAGUCCAAGAGACAAAGAUUAGACGUGAGGCAAUCUGAGCUAAUUGCAAACUUGAUUAGCGGUCUUCCUACCCCUCCUGUCACUACUGCUACCACUAGACACACAACCACCAAGAUGUUUUCAACAGGUCCGAGCUCAGCAUUUGAUGUGGGUGGUCCCUCUACACCGCCUGGUUUCCCAGUUCCAUGGUAUAAUCGGGUUGUUGCUUCUGAAAGGUUGGUGUUGCACAUGGCUGAAGAACAACUUCUGUCGCCAGACCCUCGUGGAAAAGGUGUUUCCAUUAAAGAAGGUGGUGCUAGGGAUGACAAUCUCACUCUUUUUGGUUUGCAAAAGGAGAUUUCAGUUCUAGGCCAGAAGAAUAUUGAGUUAGAUAUUUAAGUAGCGGAACUUCGUGCUGAGAAUGUCAAUCUUAGUAUUCAAGUUUCUAAGUUGCAAUCAGAUAAAAAUCUUGGAGUACAAGUGGCCGAGCUCAAGAAGGAUAAAAAGCUGAAGUCUAAGCAGAUUUCCGACUUGCAAGAUCAUUUCAAUCUGCUAACAUCAAGUUAAUUUGAGCUGAAGAAGAAAAUUGAAGAAGACCUUGGAGACAAAUACCAAACGUCUGUUGAAGAACAAAGGAUUAAUCUUUACGUACAAGCUUUCCCGGUUGACCUACCAGUCAGUCAGUCUUCUGGUACUGCUGAUCGUGGUGUUGAUGAACCUCCUCUGGCUCCUCAUAUUGCAGAAAUCAUUUGUCGUGGUCAAGAAGAAGAAGAAGUGGAGAAAGGUUAGUUGUUGUUCAAGAGGAAUACUAAUCUGAAUGCUUCUCGAGGUGAACCGUUAAUUACAAUUACUGAUCUUGAAGUAGUUCGGUUCCGAGAUUCGUUUGGCGACAGAUCGGGAGUUGCUUCUUGGGGUUCCCAUGACCCCCUUAAGAUGUGGAUAGUCAUUCGCAAGAGCGGGAAUUUUGAGUUGUACAAGAAUAGUCAUGAUUUUAGCUCGUUCACGAGGAUUGAUUUGACAGAGCUGUCUCGAGCUCCCUUCAUCAAUUUAAUGAAUGAUCCACAAGUUACUCAAUUCAAGCACUUCCUCGAUGAUCAAGUGAAAAAGGGGUUUCCAUCUAUGCCGACAGCAGAAUCUAUUGUAUUUGAACACACAGAUGUUUUGGAACCGUCCACCGACAAGCCGUUACAGGUAGUAAUGUGGCCUGCAACAAAACAAGUCAAGCAGUUUCCGGUGCUUCAAGGCUAUUCAGAUGGGUCUCUUAGUCCAUUGAAGUGCUGGGUUUUUGAUGAAACUACUUCUGCUGUCGUCAUUAAGCUUAAGAAUAGGUGCAUCAGGUUGUAUGAUCGCAAAGACUUGUUGCAGUUCAGGAAAUGGGAUAUCCACUAUAUUAGUAACUUUCAGAUUAAGGUUGUUGAAGAUAUAUAUGAAGAAGGUGCUAAAGUCUAUACGACGAUGGUGGCUGAGAUUUUGAGCAAGCGUAUGUGGAAUGGGGCCAUGGGACAAAUGGACAUUAUGAUUGUUAACAAGGGGAUGGCCUCGAGCUUGUCUAAACCAAGGGGGAGAUUGAAAGGCCCUAUAAAAUGGUUUGGUCUAGGUAUAGUAGCUAGUGAUAGGGGUUGUGUAUGAAAAACAAUUUUGUAAUAGUUUGCGGUUGUACUUGAGUUUACGGCCGUAAACUGCUCACGGUCAUAAGGACUAUAAAUAGGGUGUUGUGUCAGAUGUUUAAGGUUGUUGAUGCCUUUCGUAUUUUCCAGUUCCACCAAGUUGUAUCCGACGUUUUAAGGCUAUAAAGCGUAUACAAGCUUGGUUUGUUCUUUCAUUGCUUAUUAUUUCGUAUUGUGUGGUUGCUAUUUGUUUUUGAUCAUUGGUAGAUCCGAUUUUUGGACUUUACAGUACUCCGAUCACUGUAUAAUGCAGUAGAGUUUUAGGCUUGAGUAGCCCUAGUAUGGAGUUUUUGGAGAGCCUGGCAGAGUUGUACAUGAGGGAGGUGGUAUCGCGGCACGGAGUACUGAUCUUGAUGGUCUCAGAUCGAGAUGUACGUUUCACUUCCAGAUUCUGGAAGAAAUUCCAUGAGGAGUUGGGCACGAGGUUGCAUUUUAAUACCGCCUACCACCCACAGACUGACGGGCAGAGCGAGCGGACGAUUCAGACGCUCAAGGACAUUCUUCGGGCAUGUGUAUUGGAUUUCGGAGGGAGUUGAGACACGUACUUACCUUUGGUUGAGUUUUCCUAUAACAACAGCCAUCAUUCGAGCAUUAGUAUGCCACCCUUUGAGUUGUUGUAUGGGAGGAGGUGUUGGACUCCAAUUUGCUGGGGAGAGGUAGGGCAACGUGUGAUGGGUAGUACAGAGAUGGUGCUUCAGAGGACCGAGCAGAUUCAGCAGGUCAAACAGAGGUUGCUGACGGCCCAGAGCCGUUGGAAGAGUUGUGCGGAUAGACGACUGUCAGACCUCGUGUGGUGUUAAAAGAUAUAUGGAAUUUGGAGUUGAGGCUUACGAAUGGGAUGUUUGAGGACAUUUCUGAGCGAGCAUGGUUAUGUUUUUUGUGUCUAAGGACAGAGUGUUGGGGAUUCUUUGUUCGGAGGGUUUCUGAUAGCAGUCUAGUAAAUGUGCCCCGGUGGAGUGUGAACCCUUUUAUUCGUGGGGUGUGAUUCAUAUGAUUUAGCAUGAUCGGCUUGGAGGAGAGAUAGCCGGUUGUUGGACGUGGUCUUAUGAGAAUCAGAGAGCCAGUGAGGAAACUGGGUUGAUAUUCAAGGAGCAAAAAUCAAGGUGAUCGCUCAAGUAGGCGGUUUGGCGGCGGAUCAGGCCACUAGAGUUUCCGGUUAUUGUGAAGGGGUAUUUUUAUUGGCGAAAGAGUUGGUUUAAACUCUGGUUUUGGAGGUUCUAUGUGGUUCGGAUGUCCAUAGAGAAAGAUAUCAGUGUGGUAUGAAGAUCUUUUUGGUAGUGCCUUUCGGAUUAAUGAUUAAAUCUAUGUGUGGUUAAGAAAUGAUUUUGAGGGUGAAAUCUAAUUCAAGAGGGGGAGAAUUGUAACAUCCGGAUUUUCAGGGUUAUUGUUGUGUAGUUUAAUCUUUUGAUUAAAGGAGAGACUUGACGAGCUGAGGAUCCAACUCGCCGAGUCGAGUCGGGUUUCUCACGCGGAUUUAAUGAAUGGAGGCAACGAGUCAGAGGAAGGACUCCCUGAGUAGGUGCUAGGCAGAGAAACCCUAAUUUCUCGGGUUUGGGACCUAUUUAAAGGUCCUUAUGGCCUUCAUUUGUGGCCACUACACCCUGAGAAAACAUAGAGAACAGAGAGGAAGCUUUUGGUACAAAAGGAGGGCUAAUUCGUCAUCCUUUGGAGUGUCUUAAUAAAAGGAAGGAAGGAUUUCGAGUUGGGUUGUCCUGUGGGACUCAAAUCUUCCAUCAUUUCGUUCAGAGCUGCUGUGAGAGGUAAGGAUUUAUGUCCAUCUUCGUUUGAUUUCAUGAAUCUAAGGUUUCUUCUGAUGGGUUUUAGCCAUAAGAACUUUCCUAUGUGCGCAUGCAAAACCCUAAUGCUUGGAUCUAGGCUUUCUAAUAAACAUGCUUUGAAUCCAAGUCUUCUAAUGACUAAUUAGGUUAAAUAACAACAUUGAAACAGAUCUAGAAUCAUACCUUUGAGUUCCUUGUUGAUCUUGAGGUCUUGGAGCUUCUAGAGUCACAAAUGUCACUCCUCUAAUGGCUUACAAACACCAAUAGCAAGAAGAAUGAUAUAGGAGAGAGGAGAGGGGAGGAAUUCGGCCAGGGUUCUCUUACUUUAUGAGAUGUGUCGAAUUCCCUAUGCCAUGGGGUCUAUUUAUACUUGUAGACUCCUUAAGGGUUACAACCUAAACCCUAAUUGGAUAAUCUUCUCUUAAGGCUAUCCAAAUCCAUUCCAUAGAUAAGCCUUUGGACGAUUUUGGCUAUCCUAACACUCUUAGAAUUCGUCCAAAGCAUAUCCCAAUGGAUUUACAGUCUAAAGCUUAACUAUCAAACAAUUGACAGUUUAUACCCCUUUAUUUAAUUAAUCUCUUUAAGUCACCAAAUUAAUUGUAAUUAAUUCUAUGACUUAUAUUAAUCAAAUAACAAAUAUAUUAUUCAUUAUAUUAUUCUCAUAAUAUAUUAAUAAUAUUUACUCUCUCUUAAUAAAUCAUCCUAUCAAGUUGCUAUGGUGAAGGCAACCCAAAAGGACCAUGCACAACCGGAUCAAAUACUUGCCUAAUAUAGUUACAGCCUUAGACACUAUUCCAACAGUCUCCCACUUGGAUAAGUCUAGUAACUAUACAAGUACAAUUCGGUUUGCAAUCGUAGCUCUCAAAGACGCUGUCAACUCUGAUCUAAUCAAUCUUGUCCUUUAGAUAAGGGAACGUACAGUCCUCUGUUAGAUAUCAUGCUGACAAUCCUAUGGAAUGGUUAGUCAAGCAUUUAGGUUUCUCGAUCUCUGAUUUAUUUGACAUAGAACUUAAUCGAACACAUCAAUUCAGUUCUGACCGGGCCCGGCACAUAAGUCAAAUCAAAUCAUCGAGCGGCCGAGAUAUCGCUUUUACCUUCUUAGAUAAAAGUUACAGAUAAACUUCGACUUAUAUGCAUUUACUUAUUCAUUAACCAACUAUACACAACAAUACGUUUUAUAACACCAAGUUACUGAUGCGUUUUCGUAUUAUCAAUGUACAAUCAAUUAACAAAUAAUAAACCAUAUAUCUAGGUUUUAAGACUAUAUGAUAUUAUCGUCUUGCGAUCACCUUUUAUAUCGUAUUCCAUAAGGUGAUUCCAGCAAGCGCGGGUUUAUUCCAAUGCUCAAAACUAGUUCAUAAGCACUCAUGAACGUUGCAGCAAUCCUUUGCUAUGUCUAACACCAUUUAGACAUUCUACACACCAAUUCAUGACAAUCUUCAUUCAUAUCUACUCCCAACAUAUGAACGAUUGUGGACCAUUUGAACAAUUCGAUUAUUCCUAAUAAACUCAAUUAUUCUGGAAGUCAAAACAUGCAAAGUGAAACAAUAGCUAAACAAUUAACAUAAGAUAGUAACAUUACUCAUAAAUAAAACUCCUUUAUUUAAUCAUCAAAUGUUAAUUACAUUUAUCUAUUACACGUUUCUAAUACUAUCUAAUCUAUGCUAAUAUCAUCCUUCAGCCCAAUACUCCUAGCAUGCUGCAAGUGCUUAACCCUACUCAGUCCCUUCGUAAGCGGAUCUGCUGGGUUAUCUUCUGAUGAUAUCCUCUUCACUACGAGUUGUCCUUCUUCUACACGAUGUCUAAUGAAGUGAUAUUUUCUGUCGAUAUGUCUUGAUCUACCAUGAUCCCUCGGUUCCUUGGUCAAGGCAACCGCUCCUUCGUUAUCACAGAAAAUCUCCAUGGGCUCCUUUAUGGCAGGUACAACUCCAAGAUCACCGAUGAAGUUCUUUAGCCAUAUUGCCUCCUUCGACGCUUCGCUCGCUGCAAUGUACUCUGAUUCGCACGUUGAAUCAGCUACGGUUUCCUGCUUGGAACUCUUCCAUGUCACUGCUCCUCCAUUUAGGGUAAAGACCCAGCCCGACUGCGAACGGUAGUUGUCCCUGUCGGUCUGAAAACUGGCGUCACUAUACCCUCGCACCUUCAAGUCAUCACUCCCUCCGAGGACUAAGAACCAUUCCUUUGUCCUCCGAAGGUACUUAAGGAUAUUCUUCACCGCAAUCCAAUGUGCUUUGCCAGGAUUCCCUUGAUAUCUGCUAACCAUGCUCAAAGCGAAGGCUACAUCAGGGCGAGUACAAGUCAUAGCGUACAUGAUUGAGCCAACUGCGGAAGCGUAUGGUACUCGGCUCAUUUCUGCUAUCUCAGCUUCGGUACUCGGACUUUGAGUCUUACUCAAUUUGGCAUUACUUUGUAUCGGUAGUUCUCCCUUCUUUGAGUUUUCCAUACUAAAACGUUUUAGUACCUUCUCUAAGUAAGUAUUCUGACUAAGUCCAAUUAGUCUCUUACUUCUUUCUCUUACUAUCCUUAUUCCCAAAAUGUAAGAAGCCUCUCCGAGGUCCUUCAUAGCGAAGCACUUCCCGAGCCAGGACUUAACCUCCUGCAGAGUCGGGAUGUCGUUUCCUAUGAGUAAUAUGUCAUCGACAUAUAGAACGAGGAAGCUUACUAUACUCCCACUGGCUUUGACAUAUACACAAGAUUCGUCUUCGCUUCGUACAAAUCCAAACUCUUUGACUUUCUCAUCGAAGCAAAGAUUCCAUCUGCGAGACGCUUGCUUAAGUCCAUAAAUGGACUUCUCAAGCUUACACACUCUAUUCGGAUGCUUCGGAUCCACAAACCCCUCUGGCUGAGCCAUGUAAACAUCCUCAGCCAACUUUCCGUUAAGGAAAGCGGUCUUGACAUCCAUUUGCCAAAUCUCAUAAUCAUGAAAUGCGGCAAUAGCUAGCAUCACUCUAAUAGAUUUAAUCUUCGCAACUGGUGAGAAGGUCUCAUCAUAGUCAACUCCGGGAGUUUGAGUAAAGCCCUUCGCAACCAAUCGCGCUUUAUAUGUGUGUACGUUUCCAUCCACGUCGGUCUUCUUCUUGAAGAUCCAUUUGCACCCAACGGUCUUACGUCCGGGCACAUAAUCAACCAAAUUCCAAACUUGGUUAUCAUACAUGGAUUGGAUCUCGCUAUCCAUUGCCUCUUUCCAUUUUGCAGACUCCGGGCCUGCCAUGGCUUCCUUAUAGCUAUUAGGUUCAUCAAGAUUUACUAGUGUACCAUCACUAAUAUACGUGUCCCCUUCGGUAGUAAUAUGAAAGCCAUAAAACUGGGGAUGAACUCUAACUCUAUCGGAACGUCUAAGAGGUAAGGAUUCGUCAAUCGGUUCAACCGGAGUUUCCUCCUCGGGUUGAGUGCCAGCGGUAGAGGUUCCUUCAUCUAUCGACUCUUGAAUCUCUUCAAGUUCGAUUUGCCUCCCACUGUCUCCUUGGCUUAUGAGUUCUCGCUCUCGGAAAACUCCUCUCCUCGCAACGAAGACAACAUUGUCCUUCGGUCUAUAGAAGAGAUAUCCAAAGGAUGUCUGCGGGUAGCCGAUGAAAAUACAUCGCUCACUUCGAGGUUCAAGCUUGUCGUGAGUAUCUCGUCUUACGAAAGCCUCGCAACCCCAAACCUUGAUAUGUGCCAACGAGGGAGCUUUCCCUGUCCACAUCUCGUGAGGUGUUUUGGCAACCUUCUUAGUAGGGACUCGGUUAAGGAUAUGGGCGGCAGUCUCUAAGGCAUACCCCCAAAAAGAGAUUGGUAGUGAAGCACGACUCAUCAUAGAGCGAACCAUAUCCAAUAAGGUUCGAUUACGCCUUUCUGCCACACCAUUCAACUGCGGUGUCCUAGGAGGCGUCAAUUGUGAAACUAUUCCACACUCCUUGAGAUAAUCGUGGAAUUCAAGACUUAGGUACUCUCCUCCUCGAUCGGAUCGAAGCAUCUUGAUUUUCCUGCCCAAUUGAUUCUCCACUUCAUUCUUGAACUCUUUGAACUUUUCAAAGGUGUCUGACUUUUGCUUGAUUAAGUAGAUAUACCCAUAUCUACUAUAGUCAUCGGUAAAAGUCACAUAGAAGCGGUUCCCAUCCUUCGUGGUUGAUCUAAACGGUCCACAUACAUCGGUAUGUAUUAGGUCCAAUAGACCCUCGCCCCUUUCACAUGUACUCGUGAAGGGUGACUUAGUCAUCUUUCCAAGCAAACAAGACUCGCAUGUGUCAUCUUCCCUAAGGUCGAAUGACUCCAACACUCCAUCCUUUUGGAGUUGGGCUAUGCGUUUCUUGUUGACAUGUCCAAGACGACAAUGCCACAAGGAUGCUUUAUCCAUACUAGUGGAAGAAUCAAUAUUCAAAACAUCAUUUCCUAAGUUAUCAACAAUCAUAACGGUUUCAUAUAUUCCAUUACAUGGUAUAGCUUCAAAGUAAAAGACACCAUUUAGAUAAGCCAAAAUAGAACCAUUCUCAUUAUUAAAAGAAAAUCUAAAUCCUUGUCUAUAUAAACCAUGAAAUGAAAUGAUGUUUCUUGCCAUUUCUGGCGAAUAGCAACAAUUGUUCAAAUCUAAAACUAAACUAUUCCUAAGCACUAAGGAAUACACUCCAAUCUUGGUCACAGGCGACGAUCUUCUGUUCCCCAUGAUUAGAUUGAUCCUUCCUUGCUCCACAUCCCUACUUCUUCUUAGUCCCUGCACAUUAGAACAAAUGUGAUAACCACAACCGGUAUCAAGAACCCAAGAAAUAGCAUGAUUAGAAUCGUUAGAUUUGAUUGUAUAUAUACCUGCGAAAGAUGGCUUGAUCUUUCCUUCUUUGAUUGCUUGCAGGUAAUCCGGGCAGCUUCUCUUCCAAUGUCCUAUCUUGUGGCAGUGGUGGCACUCUGCCUCCUUCGGGUUAGAGCAGGGCUUAGCGGGAUCAACUUUGGUCCCACUAGAAGAGGCACCAUCUCGGGCUUUCACCUUGCGAUAGUUCUUCGAUGAAGCUUUCCUCUUCUUUCCCUUCCCUUGUCCAAUAGCCAAGACAGGAGCAGCGGGCGGAUUGGGAGUAGGUGCAACAGACUUGUCUUUGAAGUUGCUCUCAGCAACCCUCAAGAGACCUUGGAGCUUGCUUAGGGUGACCUCUUCUUUGUUCAUGUGGUAGGUCAUCCUAAAUUGAUUGUACAUCGGAGGCAAAGAGUGAAGCACCAUGUCGAUCGCCAAAUCCUCACCGAAGUCAACAUUUAACUUGCGAAGGCGGUCGACAUACCUUUGCAUCUUUUGCAAGUGCACGGUAAGAGAUUCUCCAUGACCCAUCUUCGCGGAAAUCAUGUUAGUGAAAAUCUCGUACCUCUCUUGUCUCGCGUUUUGGUGGUACCUCUCCAAUAAGUCUUGGUGCAUCUCGUACGGGUACAUGUCCUCGUAGGACUUUUGGAAUUCGGAGUUCAUGGUGGCGAUCAUGAUGCAAUGUACCUUCGUUGCAUCUCGCUCAUGAGUUUCAAAGGCGGUGAUUUCGGCGGGAGUAGCAAUUUCGGGGUUGAUUUUCUCGAGCUUCUCAUCGAGGACAUACUCCUUAUCCUCAUAGCGAGCAAUGGUGCGAAUGUAUCUUAUCCAUUCGCUAAAGUUCGUUCCAUCGAAGGUGACCUUUUGGCAAAGGCUCAUCAACGUGAAAGAACUAGCAGCAGCGUUGUUUGCGUUCGACAUCUACAAUUAGAAAAGGACAAAGAUAGAUUAGAAUAAGAAUCCCUAAUUAUCACCCAAUAAGAAAAUUAGGGCUAGGAUCCAACAAUAACAUUUACAUACUAGAAAAGGGAUGCCGUAAUCUAACAUGCAAAUAAAUUGAAGGUAAGUGAAUGACGAUUCACUAAUUCUCCAUCACAAAACUUAAACUAUUAGUCCUAAGUGUUUUUGAGAAUUCCUAGGUUCGGAUGAGAUUCAUUGAAACUAUUCAAUGGCAUGUUUAAAUCUCGAUAUGCCCCUCUUGUUUGUGACUGGGAUGCCGAGGAUCACAAAGCGGGUGUGAAUUACCAUGCAAAUUCACAUGGUGCCUUCAUUGUAACGAUCACCUAUUCGAUGUGCCGGUAAACCACACACGCUCCAUCGAACUAUGAUAAACAAUGAAUCACCCUUUGCCACCUUCGCUUAGAACCAAUUAGUGUGCCGGUAAACCACACACGCUCCACUAACAUCUUAGCAAGGUGCAAAGUGUAAUUUCAUGGGAUUGCAUCAAUUCACUUUUCCUAAAGUAACUAGGAUUGGGAAAUUUUAAAAAUAUGUGUAGUUACUUUAUAUUUCUUAUUAUACUUUUAAUGAGAGGAUGAGGUUGCCCUAUCCUACCCGUUCGGCUAACGACCCUCCACCAAUCAAGCAAGCGGUGGGUGUGAGUGUACACCCAUUAAGCGCCAUUUUAUAGGCCGCAACCUUAUACCCACCUUAUAGAUCGGCUUCGUGAAUGAGGCCUACUAACGGUAAGACUAGCAUUUAGUUAUACAUAUAUAUAUUAUUCUAGUAAUAUCAUAUUAGUAUAGGGUUGUAUUUUAAAACUUUUAAAAUCUAGGGUUUGAAAUUUAAGUUGUCUAAAUUAAAACUUUUAAUCACAAAUAUAAAUUUCAAAACUUGAGGGUAGGUUUUAAACAUUUAAAACAUGGAGGAUCAAAUAACAAAUAAUUCCAAUUAACAAUUAAUAUCCUAAUUAUCUAUAUUUGAUUUUAUUCAAGAUAAUUACCAAAAUAAUUAAAAUAAUUAAUUAAUUAUCAUAUAAGGAAAUUAAAUAUUUUAUUAGUUGAUAAAUACCUUUAACUAGAUCAAGAUAAUAGUCAUAUAUAUCAAAAAAUCGGAUUUAGAUUGAUCUAUUAUGAUUAAGGUAAGUUUCCAUAAGAUAAUUAUGAAGAAAUCCCGAAUCUGGCCAUUCCUGACGCCUGGACUCGCCGAGUGCACAAGGGGACUCGCCGAGUCAGGCCUACUCGCCGAGUCCACCUUGGGACUCGCCGAGUCAGUGACUCAGAAACCUAAAAAUCGAAUUUUGCAGGUUUGUUUCAGUUAAUCAAGCAACAAUUUAAAGAAAACCAAGCUAGGCUCUGAUACCACUGAUGGGUUUUAGCCAUAAGAACUUUCCUAUGUGCGCAUGCAAAACCCUAAUGCUUGGAUCUAGGCUUUCUAAUAAACAUGCUUUGAAUCCAAGUCUUCUAAUGACUAAUUAGGUUAAAUAACAACAUUGAAACAGAUCUAGAAUCAUACCUUUGAGUUCCUUGUUGAUCUUGAGGUCUUGGAGCUUCUAGAGUCACAAAUGUCACUCCUCUAAUGGCUUACAAACACCAAUAGCAAGAAGAAUGAUUUAGGAGAGAGGAGAGGGGAGGAAUUCGGCCAGGGUUCUCUUACUUUAUGAGAUGUGUCGAAUUCCCUAUGCCAUGGGGUCUAUUUAUACUUGUAGACUCCUUAAGGGUUACAACCUAAACCCUAAUUGGAUAAUCUUCUCUUAAGGCUAUCCAAAUCCAUUCCAUAGAUAAGCCUUUGGACGAUUUUGGCUAUCCUAACACUCUUAGAAUUCGUCCAAAGCAUAUCCCAAUGGAUUUACAGUCUAAAGCUUAACUAUCAAACAAUUGACAGUUUAUACCCCUUUAUUUAAUUAAUCUCUUUAAGUCACCAAAUUAAUUCUAAUUAAUUCUCUGACUUAUAUUAAUCAAAUAACAAAUAUAUUAUUCAUUAUAUUAUUCUCAUAAUAUAUUAAUAAUAUUUACUCUCUCUUAAUAAAUCAUCCUAUCAAGUUGCUAUGGUGAACGCAACCCAAAAGGACCAUGCACAACUGGGUUAAAUACUUGUCUAAUAUAGUUGCAGCCUUAGACACUAUUCCAACAUCUUCAUGCUUUAUUUAGCUUGAAUCUACAGUAUGAGAGGUCCCAUUGUGAAAUGAUUCCUAGAUCUGGACCUUAAGAUGUCUAGAGAGUCCCUUCCAUUCUGCUUUAUUCCUUUUCCUUCGAGUUAUGAGUUAGGGUUGUCAUGAUAUGAAGGAUUUCACCAAAAUAAGCAUAGAGAGCCUUGCAUGUGUACCAAGAUUCGGCCUUUUCAUGGUUAUUGGUCAUAGGGAAGUCAGAUCUAUGGAUUAGAGGAACGGAUCUGACCUUAGAAGGCCAGAUGAGUGUUGUCAUGGGAGCACCUCGCCGAGUUCAUGAGAGGACUCGACGAGUCGAGUCGAGGUUGCCCCAUGAUUCAUACCAGGCGUAACUCGUUGAGAAAGGAGUUGGCUCGACGUGUCAAGCGAGGCUAAAAGGAGGAUUCUGUGGACACAUGUAGACUCGCCGAGUUGCCCAUGUGCACUCGACGAGUCGGGUCAAAGUUUGACUGUUGACUUUCGUUGACCUUAGGGUAUUGGUCAAGACUGACUUAAGAGAGUUCAGGGAAGGGUAGAAUGGUCUUCUACCCAAUCUUUAGAGAUGAGACAACGAGAGAGUGUUGAUCGGGGAUGUUAUUUGAAUAAUAGGAGCAGGCUAGGUCGGGACGUUGAGCAUGAGAGUUCAUCCGAUUUCGUUUGAGGUGAGUCUUCUCACUAUACUUUACCUAGAGUGGUAACAGAGUUGUGUGACAGAGUUGUUGUAUGCUAUCUAUGCGAUGUGUGGCACUGCAUUAUUUUUAUGUGAUUUAUGAUAUGUGUAUAUCAGAGUUAGGACCGAAAGGUCCAUAGAGUUAGGACCAAAGGUUCCACAGAGUUAGGUUUAGAGUUAUGUGCCAGUGUAUUUGUAUGCUAUUUAUUUUAUGAGAUUUAUUGUGAUAUGUGAUAUGCAUGAUUCAGAGUUAUCAGAGUUAGGACCUUUGGGUCCAUAGAGUUAGGGACAGAGGGUCUACAGAGAGUUGGGACUGGAGGGUCCCACUGAGACACACUGACUAGAGGAUCAACAGAGUUAUAGCCUUGAGUGGCUAAUAUGUGUUAGAGUGGUAUUUUGGGGAACUCACUAAGCUUCGUGCUUACAUUGUUUUGUGUUAUAUGUUUAAGGUUUUCUCCGGAUCACGUGACGGCACCGGCUCGAUUGUACACACCAGAAGAAGCGUUGGUUUUGAGGAUCCUGGUCUAUUAAUUGAUUGAACAAAAGAGUCAUGUAUUGUAAUUUAAACAAAAAGGGAGAUUUUUAUGAAAAAUGUUAAAGAGAUAGCCGAUUUUAAACAAAAAAUUUGUUUUAAAAAUUUCGGUGUUACAUCGUCGAGUCGCUCUAGUGACUCGGCGAGUCGAGAGGGUUUUCUCCUUCACGGUCAAGGGUUCACAGUCAAAGGUUCACGGCCAAGGGUUCACGGUCAAGGGUGUUCGGUUGGAAGUUUACGGCCAUGACCAUCAAAGAACUCGACGAGUCUCUCGGGUGACUCGGCGAGUUCAUGAGUUAAGUAGGGAACCCGACGAGUGGCUGAUUGUACUCGACGAGUCAAUGUCAAUAUGGACUAUUGACCUUGACUACAAACCUUGACUUUGACCAGGGUUGAUCCUGGGGGUUUUUAUGGGAUUAUGUUGAGUUAUUUACUCAUUUAUUAUAGGUAGAGGAGCAGUGUGGGAUUUAUCUGACUUGAGUUUGCCCGUUCAGCCUUUGAGAGGUGAGUUUUCUCACCAUACCAAUGGGUCUAAGGUACCAAGGCCAGUCCAUUUCACAAUAGUUGGUUUACUUGCUAUGUAGAGGUGUGAUAUGUAUGUAUGCAUGAUAUGUGGUAGAGAUAGCCUUUGUGGCUAAUGGUAGACAUAGCGUUAUGGCUAAUGGUAGAGACAACCUGUUGGGUUUUCAGCAUUCCAACACACCCAAGUGUACAUGCAACCCUAAAUACCUUGGAUCUAUGUUUUCUCUACUAUACAUGCAAAUAAGAACUUCCAAGGUAUUAUCCUAAUCUAGCAUACAAAACAAUGAAUGUAACAAGAUAGAAUACAUACCUCUUUGGUGUAGAAAGUCUUCAUGAAGCUUGAGUGCCUAGUGCCCCAAGUGUGACACCUCAAAUGGUUCACACAACACCAAAUACUCUUGGAAUGACUUGAGAGAAAACUACACUCAUGAAAAUUGGCUAGCCCUUUUACUUCACACACUAGUGGCCAAUUUUGGUCAAGAAUAAGAUGCUUAUAUAGUUAGGGUUACACCAUGUAAACCCUAAUUGGCAUGGCCUUUCAUUUCCAUGAUUCAUGGGCACAAAUACACCAUGGAGCAUCCAUGGACCAUCCUAUGGGUUUUAGCCCAACUUGAUUAUCCAUGGAGCAUUAGCCCACUAUACAAGUAUGGAUGAUUUACACAAUCAACCCAUAUAUUUAAUUAGUCUUCUUUUGAUCACUUAAUUAAUCCUAGAUUAAUUCUUGAUCAAUACUAAUUAAAUAAUCUUAUUAUUCUUAUUAUUAAUAUACUAGAACUUAUAAUAUAUUAAUAACCAUAAGUGUCUUAUUUCUCUCAUUAAAGUCCAUGAUGGUAUGCAACCCAAAUGGACCAUGCCGGGUCGGGUCAAGUCUUACCAAAUAUAGUUAUGGACUUAGACAUUAAUCCAACAGUCUCCCACUUGGAUAAGUCUAAAACUAUUAUUGCGUAUGACUUCAGGAACCAACUGGCAAUCGUAGCUCUCAAAAGCUUCUGUCGAACUCUGACCUUGUAGAUGAACUCUGACCUUUGUCAGUGACUUGUCCAUUAGAUAAGGGAUCAUAUAUUCCUCCAUUCUAGAUAUCAUAUGGACUGAGACAUGGAUUAUAAUCAUUCUCUCUGUCCAUUUGUUGUUUCCCGAUUUCCGAUUUAUGACGACUGACUAAUUGAACAAAUCAAAUCAGUCCUGGCCCGGCCGAGCACUUCCAUUUGUCAUCAUCAAAUCAUCGAGGGGCCCACAGAUAUCGCUUUUAUCCCGAAGGUAAAAGGAACGGAUAAACUUCGACUCAUAUGGCUUGUUCUACUACUUGUUGAAUCAUACACAAAGGCACGUUUUAUAGCACCGAGUUACCAAAUGCGUUUUCGUGCAAUCAAUGUACUAUCAACUCAUAGUAACAACUCAUAUCUCUAGGUUUGAAGAAUAUAAGAUAUUAUCGUCUCAUGAUCACUCGUGAUAAAAUCCAUGAAGUGAUUCCAAUGAGCGCGGGUUGAAUCCAAUACUCAGAACUUAUGAGCACUCAUGAGUGUUGUAGCCCUUUGUCCAACACCUUAGACCUCUACAAGCCAACCCAUGACAGUCUUAAUUCAUAUCUACUUCCAACAUAUGACCGACUGUGGAUGGUUUGAAUAACUUAGUCAUUCCGGAAGAAUAACCUAGUUUAUUCGGGAAGUCAAAACAUGCAAAGUGAAACACAAUAAUAAUUGAAUCCAAUAUGGUAUCAACCCUUUGAACAUAAAUAAAACACCUUUUAUUUAUCACCAUAUGAUUACACAUUAUUCAUUGUAUACUGUUUCAGCUAUCAACUUUAUUCUUGAAUUUAAAACAAUAGUUGUCCCAUGCUCCAAGCAUGUACACUAUGUUUUCUUAAACACUAGUCAUGCCACACACCAAGUAUGCAUACUAUGUUUGUCUAUGAUCUUUACUUUGUGAACUAGAUCAAUUGAACAUAACUUCAAUGAUUCUCUUUUCACACUCCCAAAUCCUUACUGCAAAUGCAAGAAUUCCAAAUUCAUGCCAUUUACUGAAAUCUGUUAGAUUCUAAACUUAUAUGCAUUGAUCCUCUUGUAAUGAUUAUGCACAAAGUCAGAAAGACUUGACAACAAUCAUUACAGAGUAUUCCAAAGGAGAUCAGCUCCUUGGAAACAUCCUUCUUGCAUUAAGUUUCCUAAUCUUAAACAGAUUGAAAAUUCUAACUUUGAAACAUUUCCAGAUUCCAUUUUGACUAUCACUUCUGAACAAGAGUUGCCUCCUUACAGAUUAUGUCAAUAUGGUCCUUCCAGAAUUAUCACUAUACUUCCAACUGUCCUUGAGCAACCAAUCUUUGGUAAACCUUAGAUUGUCCUCGACAAUUGUUUAAUCCUUUUAGUCAUAUCCAGUUCUAAACCUUUUCCCUUCUUAAUGCCCCAGGCAUUUGGAAAAUUUUAGAACGGAUGAAUAUAGCACAUGUAAUCGAUCCUAUAUCCGAAGCAUAUGGGACACGAUUCAUGAUGUCUUACAUAAAGACUAAACCAGUCUUUUGCUAUAAUAUUUCCAUUUCAAUUUGCCAAGUUCUCAUAAUUCAGAUUAUGAAAAGGGAUGCCGUAAUCAUAAUCGAAUUUUAGAACGCAAAUAAUGGACCCAUAUACAGAAUUUCCUUAUGUUGAGCCAUUCCAACAUGAAAUUCAUAUAUAUCCUUGACUAAAUGAUUAAAACCUCACGAUCUAAGCUUAUAGAUUUGAGAUGAAGCAUAAUUUCCUCUCCCUUAAUUAUAGCAAAACAACUUUUUCCCAAUUGAAACUUUUGUUUUCUAUAAUUAACAUUGCUAACUUGCAAUACUUAUCAUAAUUAUCAUGCUCCCACUAACAUGAUGAUUAUUAGCAUAACACUUAUGCUCCCACUAGCUUUGACAUGUACUCAGAAAUCAGCUGGACUUCUAGAAAUCAAUACUUCAUUGACUUUCUUACCAAAGUUCAGAUUUCUGAUGCUAGAUUGUUUUGAUAAAGCUUUAUCAAAAUCAUACACCUUCCCUUAGAUAGCACACUUGUGUAUCUAAACAAUUAUGAAGAGGGAUGCCGUAAUCAUAAUGUUUAGACCUUUUUGCCACUUCUCACAAGUCCAAAUUAGUGUGCCGGUUAACCACACGCGCUCCACUAACGACUUUGAGAAUGCAAAUAUCACAAUUGCUAUCUAGCUAAAAUCUACUUAGUGAAAGUGUUUCCUCACCAUCAUUUUCAUGAAUCGGAGAGAAACCUUAUGACACUUAGAUUUAAUGGUGUAUGUGUUCUUAUCCAUGUGAAUUGUCAAAACCAUAGUCACAAGACAAGGAUAAUGACAAAUCCAAACUCAUAUGGACUGAACUCAAUCUUAAUUUCUUGCCACCUGGCAGCUCAAGGGCCUACCAUUGCUUCCAAGUUGUUGUGCAACAAAUUGAGAACUCUAAGAACUCAUAUGCAAAGCCAACUUUAACUGGAAUGGGCACAGAAUAUGUCAACACGAUAGGUUAUGAACCUCAAGUUGUGUGCUAGUGAAGAACUUUAGGUUUUAUUCUUGAUUAGUUCUUGAGACUUUCAAGACCUUUAAGACUCCCACUGUCCUCUUGACAUAUAAGACUCCCUUGUCAAACAUCCAAGAGAUAGUGCGGAUUCUAAUCAAGAAAAACACUUUACCCAAUUGGCCUAAGUUGGUCUUUGUUUUAUCCAAAACAUCACAACUUACCAAUUUCAAAUGUACAAGAGUAGAAAACUUUUACUCUUACAUUUGACAAGUGUUUUAAACCUUCUUUAAGACAUGUCACUCAAAUGACAAUCUUGGAGUAUGACUCUAAGACUUGUAUUGGAACGAAGUAUGACUCAUCUUCUUGAUUUAACCAUUUCAACAAUUCAAGUUCCUCUUCUUAGUCAUAAGAAUGCACUAAGAUUUCCUUAGAGAACUAAUUUUGAUAUGGUUUCUUAAUCAUUAAGAUGAUCACAAAACUGAUACUAAAGUACUCUCCCAUCUUUUCAGAUUUGAGAAACUUUUAUCCUUCUGCCUUAUUUGAUUCUUCUUAUUCGCCCUGCCAUACAUUGGAACCUUUUCCAAUGUCUCAGAGUUACACUUAAGCUUGUAAGUAUAAUCAUAUUUACUGAGCUUUAGUAAACUAUGACGAAUAGUCUUAUCAAUCUUUUGUGGUGGACUUAAUCAGUGCACAAGAAUGUGUACUCGAUCCCUUAGUCCUUUACUUGACUCACACAUCCAUGUGGCCGAGUAAUUAGUCUUAAUUUUCCAAAACUUGAAAGUUCUCAUUCAUCAUGCUAUACAACUUGCAUGAUUCCAAGUUCCGGUCCAAUUGAAACUUGGGUGAUGAGAAUCUUUCCUUAUUUGGUAAAUCUAGACAUUACCACAAAUGAAAGAAUCAAUUUCAUAUUUCCACUCUUGCUCUUAAUGGAAUCAUAUAAGCAACAAUUUUUCCUCAAAAGCCAUUGUAAGGAUAUUUUAAAAUAAAUAAAAUCAAAAAAAUUUUCUUUUAUUUUAAAACUUUGCGGAAAAACUUAUCCUUACAAUCCAUAUGAAAACUUGUUGUUAUCUAUUCCUAAGCAAUAUCUCAUAACUCCUAAGAAGUUGCUCAAGAAUCCGAUCUUCAAACUAUGCGAUAGAAAUCCAUCUACGCCAUCAGAUUCAGCAUAUUCUUUCUUUAAGUUUCUUCACUUUUCUUUGAUUCUUAAAACAUCACCAUGUGACCCAGUCACAUCAUGUAUCAGGAAUCUCAGAAUAGAAACUUAACAGAGUUAGAUAGUGGUCUUUACCUGAAGUAGAGUCAAACUUAUUGACUUUAACAUCCUUAGGUAAAUUUGGCAGCUUCGCAACCAAUGCCCCUUCCCUUGGCAAUAUAAACAUAUGGACCCUUUGAUAAUGGUACACGAGACUAUCACAGACUUAGCUUUUCUCUUUACCAUUUGGUCAACCGAGUUGACUAUGGCCGAUCCCUUUCCAUUGGGAAGAGAAUGCUUUACUGGAUAUCCAAUGUCAUCAUUGUCAAUGUCCAUAAAGUUUUAGGAAGUUGAUCUUAGCAAAUAGAUAAGAUCAUUAAGGGUCUUGUCAUAGUCUGUUUCAUAGGUGUCCCAAAGGAACUCACUAUGUGACUUAGAAAGUGAUUGAACCACCAACUUUCUCAAGACUUUGACACCCAACUCUCCCGGCUUGUCAAUAUGUGACUACAUCUCCAAGAUGUGAUCACACCUAGACCUUGCCUUGCCAAUAGGGCUUGAGUGACCUUAAACUUUUCAAGAACUUGUGGGUUAGGGAGAAUAAUUGGAGGAGGUGAAAGAAGUAUGAUUUCCAAAGGACAUCAUCUUCAUUUAGGAAACCUUGUUUCACUAGAUUUGGGAAGAUCAUAGGUGUCUAUUACAGACAUCUUUUGGGAGAUAUUCAAGAUAGUUGAUUUAAAGUCCUUAAUAUGACACCCAAUAUGAAAUAUUAAGGCUAGGACCCAACAAACUAUUUUAUAACUUAGAAGAGGUAUGCCGUAAUCCAAGCUAUAAAAUAUUUGAAGGUAGGUGAAUGACGAUUCACCAAUUUCCACCAAGAUAAACGAAAUGUAUUAUUAGGUUUUAAUUGGUUUUGAAACUCCUAGAUCUUUGAGAUUCAUUGAACUUUUCAAAGGCAUGUUUCAAUCUCGAGUGUGCCCUUCAGGUUUUGUGACUGGGAUGCCGAGGAUCACAAAACAAGGUGUGAAGUAACCAUGCAAAUCACUUGGUACCCUUAAUAAAUUACCCCUCAAUCGAUGUGCCGGUUAACCACACACGCUCCAUCGAUACUAUGAUAAAUAUUAAGUCACCCUUUACCUACCUUGUUAAGUCCAAGUUAGUGUGCCGGUUAACCACACACGCUCCACUAACGACUUAGACAAAGUGUAAAGUGUAAUUUCAUGGAUUAGCACCUUAUUCACAUUUUUCCUAAGUAACUAAGAUUGGGUAUUAUUAAGAGUUUAGUUACUUAGUAUUAUCAUUAAUACUUUUAAUGAAGGGAGAAUUCUAGUCCUGUCAAACCCGUUCGGCUAACGACCCUCCACCAGUCAAGCAAGCGGUGGGUGAGAGUGGACACCCAUUAAGUUGCCAUUUUAUAGGCAACAACCUUAUACCCACCUUAUAGACCGGCUUCGUGAAUGAGGCGUACUAGCGGUAAGACUGACUUUACUCUUAUACAUAUAUAUAUUAUUAACUUAUAAUAUUAUAAAGUAUAAGGGUUGAAUUUUAACUUUUAAAAUUCUAAGGGCUAACUUGGAAUUAAAGUAUUCAUAAGUGAAAACUUUACAAAUUCCAAAACUUGAGGGCAAGUUUUGAAACUAUUCAAAACUAAUUAAUUCCAUAACUUAUGUGUUUAAAGUAGUUUUAAUCCAAAAACUCUUCAAGUUCCAUAACUUGAGGACAAGUUAUGGAAGACUUUAAACUAAUAAAAGAAUUAACUUUUCUUUAUUUUAUAACUUAUGGAAUUAAUUAAGGUUACACUUUUUUUUUUUUUAUUUUAUUUUAUUAAAUGAAGAGACUCUUGGUCCUCCAUAACUUGAGGACAAGUUAUGGAGUCAUAAAACCAUUUAAUUAGAACUAGACUCUUCAUUUUUGUAACCUUUGCCAAUUUUUAUGAGUUUUAUGAUUCUUAAAUGUGACUUUUCAUAUAACUUGAGGACAAGUUACAAAAACACAUUUUAGAAUCAAUUCUUAGAUUAAUUUGGAUUAAAACCAACUAUCACAUAAUUUUAUUCAUUAAUCUAAAUUCACUCAUAAAACAAGGUAACACAAAAAACUUUUGGUGAUCCAUAACUUAUUCUUAAGUUAUGGAAUCCUUUAAAACAUUAACACCAAAUUUUGUAACUCCAAAAAAACUUUGAAUCAAUUUUUUUUUUAAAACCUUUUCAUAUCCAUAACUUAUGGAGGUUUCAAAAAAUAAAACUCUUUAGAUCAAACUUUUAAAACUAAUAAAAUAAUCAUAUUAUUUUAUCUUUUAUUAAAUUUGACCUAAUUCAACUCAUAAAGCAAAUUAUUCAAAUUUUACAAAUAAUUAGUUUUUCACAAGAACAAGUAAUUAUCUUAAAAUUUGACAAACUUCAUGUUUUUUUUUUUUUUUUUUUUCAACUUUGAAAAUAAAAUAUUUGCAUCAAUAUAACAGAAAACAACCCGUGGCUCUGAUACCACUGUUGGGUUUUGAGCAUUCUAACACUUCCUAAGUGUACAUGCAACCCUAAAUACCUUGGAUCUAUGUUUUCUCUAUUAUACAUGCAAAUAAGAACUUCCAAGGUAUUAUCCUAAUCUAGCAUACAAAACAAUAACUAUAGCAAGAUAGAAUACAUACCUCUUUGGUGUAGAAAGUCUUCAUGAAGCUUGAGUGCCUAGUGCCCCAAGUGUGACACCUCAAAUGGUUCACACAACACCAAAUACUCUUGGAAUGACUUGAGAGAAAACUACACUCAUGAAAAUUGGCUAGCCCUUUUACUUCACACACUAGUGGCCAAUUUUGGUCAAGAAUAAGAUGCUUAUAUAGUUAGGGUUACACCAUGUAAACCCUAAUUGGCAUGGCCUUUCAUUUCCAUGAUUCAUGGGCACAAAUACACCAUGGAGCAUCCAUGGACCAUCCUAUGGGUUUUAGCCCAACUUGAUUAUCCAUGGAGCAUUAGCCCACUAUACAAGUAUGGAUGAUUUACACAAUCAACCCAUAUAUUUAAUUAGUCUUCUUUUGAUCACUUAAUUAAUCCUAGAUUAAUUCUUGAUCAAUACUAAUUAAAUAAUCUUAUUAUUCUUAUUAUUAAUAUAUACUAGAACUUAUAAUAUAUUAAUAACCAUAAGUGUCUUAUUUCUCUCAUUAAAGUCUAUCCAAGUGCAUGAUGCCAUGCAACCCAAAUGGACCAUGCUGGGUCGGUUCAAGUCUUACCAAUUAUAGUUAUGGACUUAGACAUUAAUCCAACACAACCUUUAUGGAUGAUGGUAAAGAUAGCCUUAUGGCUAACGGUAGAGAUAGCCCUUCUGGCUAACGGUAGACAUAGCUUCAUAGCUAACUAAUGUGUGAUAUAUGGUAGAGGUAGUUGUUAUAGAUAAUCGAUAUGUGUUAUGUGGUAGAGAUAGCUUUUAUAGCUAAUAUGGCAUGUCGAUGUUGUGUGGGGUAUGCUUUGGGUGACUCACUAAGCUUUCAGCUUACCGUUUCGGAUUUGUUUCAGGUACAUCGAAGCCCAAGGGAAAAGGAAAGGCUUGAUGAUGUGGUGUGCACUCUAUCUCUCUAUUCCGAUAUGAUUUGGGGACACUCUGAUGUUUUUAAAAUAAUGUGUAAUGAUGGUGGAUUUGAAAACAAUUAUUUACAUCUUCAUGUUUUACAAAUUAUGAUUGACUAAUUAAAAACGAAAAAUUUCUUUGAAAAAUUAGGGUUGUUACAUCAUCUGAUCUCGUGCAUCAAGGCACAAAAGUGCCUGCAUAAGAGAAACUAUGCCUUCCUCGCCCACAUUGUGGAUAAAGCAAAUCAGGAAAUAAACUUUAACGACGUCCCAACGGCAUGCGACUUUCCAGACGUGUUUCCUGAGGAUCUUCCAGGAAUACCCCUAGAAAGACAGGUCGGAUUUCAAAUCGACCUAAUAGCAGGAGCCACAUCAAUUGUCAAAAUCACCGUACAUGUUAGCUCCUGCCGAAAUACAGGAGUUAUCCAUUCAAUUAAGCAAACUUCUAAACAAAGGAUUCAUCAGGCCGAGCUUCUCGCAUUGGUGAGCUCUGGUCUUGAUUGUCAAGAAGAAGGACGGAUCCUUCAGAAUGUGCAUCGACUAUCGGGAGUUUAACAAACUCACUGUCAAAAAUUGAUAUCCCCUCCCUCGUAUUGAUGAUCUAUUUGACCAACUUCAAGGAGCUAGUUAUUUCUCCAAAAUAGAUCUAUGAUCCGGUUAUCAUCAACUUUGAGUCCGGGAAUAGGAUAUUCCGAAAACUGCUUUCCGAACUCGAUACGGCCAUUACAAAUUCGUUCUUAUGCCCUUCGGUCUGAAAAAUGCCCCCGCAACAUUUAUGGACCUCAUUCCUUGAUAAUGUUGUAAUUGUCUUCAUUGAUGAUAUACUCAUAUACUCUUGAAGCAUGGAGGAGCAUGGUCAGCACCUCUGUCAAAUCUCGGAAACCCUAAGUUUUGAAAAGCUAUAUGCAAAACUCUCCAAAUGCGAGUUUGAGAUUCGUAGUGUCAACUUCUUGUGUCAUGUAGUCAGUGAGGAGGGAAUUCAUGUUGAUCCUUCCAAGAUCAAGGCCAUUUAAGGCUGGGCGAUUCCGAAAACACCAAAAAAAACGACAAUUCUUGGGUCUUGCAGGUUACUACCGAAGAUUUAUCCAAACCUUCUCUAAGAUAGCAAAGCCCCUCACCACUCUAACACAAAUGGUCGUACUCUUCAACUGGACAGACAAACAAGAAGUUGCCUUCCAACCCUUAAAGCGAGACCUCUGUAGUGCUCCAGUGCUAUCCUUACCAGAUGGAACCGAAGACUUCAUAGUAUAUUGCGAUGCUUCGAACCAAGGGUUAGGCUGUAUCCUUAUGCAACGGGAAACGUGAUAUCUUAUGCGUCCUGGGAAUUGAAGACACAUGUAGUGAAUUACACCACACAUGAUCUCGAACUGGGAGUCGUGGUCUUCGCCUUAAAGAUUUUGAGGCACUACUUCUAUGGUACAAAGGGCACCAUCUUCACUGACCACAAAAACUUCCACCAAAUUCUAAAUCAAAAGGAGUUGAACAUGAGGCAGCGAAGGUGGGUUGAGCUGCUAAAUGAUUAUGAAUGUGAGAUCAAGUACCACCCAGGGAAGGCUAAUUGUUGGAAUAAUGUCUAAGGCUGCAACUAUAUUAGGCAAGUAAUUGACUCGAUUGUGCAUGGUCCUUUUAGGUUGCCUUCACCAUAGCAACUUGACAGGAUGAUUUAUAAUGAGAGAAUAAAUAUUAUUAAUAUAUUAUGAGAAUAAUAUAAGGAAUAAUAAUAUUGUUAUUUGAUUAAUAUAAGUCAUAAAUUAAUUAGGAAUUAAUUUGGUGACUUAAAGAGAUUAAUUAAAUAAAAGGGUAUAAACUGUCAAUUGUAUGAUAGUUGUACUUUGGGCUGUAAUCCCUUAUGGAUAAGGGGUGGACUGUUUUAGGGCUUUGAAUAGACCUAGAAAUCGUCCAAGGCUUAUCAUAAGGGGGAUUGGAUUGCUUAGGGCCUAAGUUAUCCAAUUAGGGUUUAAGGGUGAAACCCUAGGAGCCUUACAAGUAUAAAUAGACCCAAGGGGUCAAGGAAAUCGACACUCUUGUCUUUGGAAGAACCCUGGCCGACUUCUUGCCCUCUCCACUCUCUCUCUAAUCAUCCUCUUGCUAAGUUGGUGUUUGUAAGCCAUUAAAGGAGUGACAAUUGUGACUCUAAGCUCCAAGGUCAAGAAGAUUCAAGCAAGCAACUUAAGGUAGUCUUCUAGAUCUGUUUUUCUUAUGUUAUUACCUAGAUCUAUUGCUCAAAAGUCUUGGAUACAAUGCAUGUUCAAUUAGAGAAACCUAGAUCCAAGCAUUAGGGUUUGUAUGUGCACAUAGGAAUGUUCAUAUGGCUAAAACUAAUCAGUGGUAUCAGAGCAUUGAUUGGUUUCUAUUGAAUUGAUGCAUUGGUUGCUUGAUUGUUGCUUGCAAAAUUUGAAUUUUGUCAUUCUGCCUGAUGAACUCGGCGAGUUCCAUAGUGGACUCAGUGAGUAGGCCUCAACUCGGCGAGUCCAUUGUGGUACUCGGCGAGUUCGAGCAUCAGAAAGAGCUAACUUCGGGAUUUCUUGCUGUUUAUCUUUUGGAAACUUACCUGAAUCUUAAUGGGUCAAUAUAAAUCCGAUUUUAAUAUAUAUUUGAGUAUAUUCUUGACCUAAUUGAAGAUAUUUAUCAAUUAAUUGAAUAAUAAUUUCCUUAUGUGAUAAUUGAUUAAUUAUUUUAAUUAAAUUGGUAAAUUGUUUUGCAAGAAAUAAUUAAAUAAAUCAAAUAUGGAUAAUUAUGUGAUUAAAUGUUAAUUUGGAUUAUUUGUUAUUUGAUCCCCUAUGUUUUGAAAAGUUUAAAACUUGCCCUCAAGUUUUGAAAUUUAUGUUUUGUGAUUAAAAGUUUAAUUUAGACAAUUUAAAUUUCAAACCCUAGAAUUUUACAAGUUUAAAAUUCAACCCUAUACUAAUAUAAUAUUACAAGAUUAAUAUGUAUAUAUGUAUAACUAAAAUGCUAGUCUUACCGUUAGUAGGCCUCAUUCACGAAGCCGGUCUAUAAGGUGGGUAUAAGGUUGCGGCCUAUAAAAUGGCGCUUAAUGGGUGUACACUCACACCCACCGCUUGCUUGAUCGGUGGAGGGUCGUUAGCCGAACGGGUAGGAUAGGGCAACCUCAUCCUCUCAUUAAAAGUAUAAUAAGUAAUACAAAGUAACUACAAUUUUUUUAAAAUUUCCCAAUCUUAGUUACUUUAGGAAAAGUGAAUUGAUGCAAUCCCAUGAAAUUACACUUUGCACCCUUGCUAAGAAGUUAGUGGAGCGUGUGUGGUUUACCGGCACACUAAUUGGUUCUAAGCAAAGGUGGCAAAGGGUGAUUCAUUGUUUAUCAUAGUUCGAUGGAGCGUGUGUGGUUUACCGGCACAUCGAAUAGGUGAUUGUUACAAUGAAGGCACCAUGUGAAUUUGCAUGGUAAUUCACACCCACUUUGUGAUCCUCGGUAUCCCAGUCACAAACGAGAGGGGCAUAUCGAGAUUUAAACAUGCCAUUGAAAAGUUUCAAUGAAUCUCAUCCAAACCUAGGAAUUCUCAAUACAUUUAGAACUUAAAGUUAUGUUUUCAUGGUGGAGAAUUAGUGAAUCGUCAUUCACUUACCUUCAAAUUGUUUGCAUGUUGGAUUACGGCAUCCCUUUUCUAAUAUGUAAAUAUUGUUGUUGGAUCCUAGCCCUAAUUUUUCUUAUUGGGUGAUAAUUAGGGAUUCAAAUUCUAAUCUAUCUUUGUCCUUUCUAUUUGUAGAUGUCGAACGCGAACAACGCUGCUGCUAGCUCGUUCACAUUGAUGAGCCUUUGCCAAAAGGUGACUUUCGAUGGGACGAACUUUAGCGAAUGGAUAAGAUACAUUCGCACGAUUGCUCGCUACGAGGACAAGGAGUAUGUCCUCGAUGAGAAGCUCGAGAAGAUCAAUCCAGAAAUCGCUACUCCGGCUGAAAUGACUGCUUUUGAGACUCAUGAACGUGAUGCAACGAAGGUUCAUUGCAUCAUGAUAGCCACAAUGAACGCCGAAUUCCAAAAGUCCUAUGAGGACAUGUAUCCGUACGAAAUGCACCAAGACUUAUUGGAGAGAUACCAUCAAAACGCGAGGCAGGAACGUUACGAGAUCUUCACUAACAUGAUCUCCGCUAAAAUGGGUCAUGGAGAAUCUCUAACCGUGCACCUGCAAAAGAUGCAAAGGUAUGUCGAUCGUCUUCGCAAGUUGAAUGUCGACUUUGGGGAAGACUUGGCUAUCGACAUGGUGCUUCACUCCUUGCCUCCGUGUUACAACCAAUUUAGGAUGACCUACCACAUGAACAAGGAAGAGGUCACCCUAAGUAAGCUCCAAGGUCUCCUUAGGGUUGCUGAGAGCAACCUCAAGGACAAGUCUAUUGCACCAACUCCCAAUCCACCCGCUGCUCCUGUUUUGGCGAUCGAGCAAGGUAGGGGUAAGAAGAGGAAGGCUCCGUCUAAGAGCUACCGCAAGGGAAAGUCCCGAGAUGGUUCCUCUUCUAGUUGUACCAAAGUUGAUCCUACUAAGCCCAACCCUAACCCAAAGGAGGCAGAGUGCCACCAUUGCCACAAAAUAGGGCAUUGGAAGAGAAGCUUCCCAGAAUACCUGCAAGCCAUCAGGGAAGGAAAGAUCAAGCUGUCUUUCGCAGGUAUAUACACAAUUAAAUCUAAUGAUUCAUCUCAUGCUAUUUCUUGGGUACUAGAUACCGGGUGUGGUUACCACAUUUGUUCUGAAUUGCAGGGACUAAGAAGAAAUAGGGAUGUGGAGCAUGGAAGAAUAGAGCAUGGAAGAAUAAAUCUAAUCAUGGGGACUGUGACCAAGAUUGGAGUGUAUUCUUUAGUGCUUAGUAAUGGUUUAUGUUUGGAUUUAAAUAAUUGUUGAUACUCGCCAGAAAUGGCAAGAAACAUCAUUUCGUUUCAUGGUUUGUUUAGAAAAGGAUUUAGAUUUUCUUUUAAUAACGAGAAUGGUUCAAUUUAUGCUUAUCUAAAUGGUGUCUUAUAUUUUGAAGCAAUCCCAUGUAAUGGAAUUUAUGAAACUGUUAUGAUUGUAGAUAACCUAGGAAAUGAUGUUUUAUGCAUGGAUUCUUCCAAUAGUAUGGAGAAAGCAUCCUUGUUGCACUGUCGUCUUGGACAUGUCAACAAGAAGCGCAUAGCCCAACUCCAAAAGGAUGGAGUGUUGGAGUCAUUCGACCUUAGGGAAGAUGACACAUGCGAGUCUUGUUUACUUGGAAAGAUGACCAAGUCACCUUUCACUAGCACAUGUGAAAGGGGUGAUGGUUUAUUGGACCUCAUACAUACUGAUGUAUGUGGACCCUUUAGAUCAACCACGAAGGAUGGGAACCGCUUCUAUGUGACUUUUACCGAUGGCUAUAAUAGAUAUGGGUAUAUCUACUUAAUCAAGAAAAAUUCAGAAACGUUUGAAAAGUUCAAAGAGUUCAAGAAUGAAGUGGAGAAUCAAUUGGGCAGGAAAAUCAAGAUGCUUCGAUCCGAUCGAGGAGGAGAGUACCUAAGUCUUGAAUUCCACGACUAUCUCAAAGAGUGUGGAAUAGUUUCACAAUUGACGCCACCUAGGACACCACAGUUGAAUGGUGUGGCAGAAAGGCGUAAUCGAACCUUAUUGGAUAUGGUUCGCUCUAUGAUGAGUCGUGCUUCACUACCUAUCUCUUUUUGGGGGUAUGCCUUAGAGACUGCCGCCCAUAUCCUUAACCGAGUCCCUACUAAGAAGGUUGCCAAAACACCUCACGAGAUGUGGACAGGGAAAGCUCCCUCGUUGGCACAUAUCAAGGUUUGGGGUUGCGAGGCUUUCGUAAGACGAGAUACUCACGACAAGCUUGAACCUCGAAGUGAGCGAUGUAUUUUCAUCGGCUACCCGCAGACAUCCUUUGGAUAUCUCUUCUAUAGACCGAAGGACAAUGUUGUCUUCGUUGCGAGGAGAGGAGUUUUCCGAGAGCGAGAACUCAUAAGCCAAGGAGACAGUGGGAGGCAAAUCGAGCUUGAAGAGAUUCAAGAGUCGAUAGAUGAAGGAACCUCUACCGCUGGCACUCAACCCGAGGAGGAAACUCCGGUUGAACCGAUUGACGAAUCCUUACCUCUUAGACGUUCCGAUAGAGUUAGAGUUCAACCCCAGUUUUAUGGUUUUCAUAUUACUACCGAAGGGGACACGUAUAUUAGUGAUGGUACACUAAUAAAUCUUGAUGAACCUAAUAGCUAUAAGGAAGCCAUGGCAGGCCCGGAGUCUGCAAAAUGGAAAGAGGCAAUGGAUAGCGAGAUCCAAUCCAUGUAUGAUAACCAAGUUUGGAAUUUGGUUGAUUAUGUGCCCGGACGUAAGACCGUUGGGUGCAAAUGGAUCUUCAAGAAGAAGACCGACGUGGAUGGAAACGUACACACAUAUAAAGCGCGAUUGGUUGCGAAGGGCUUUACUCAAACUCCCGGAGUUGACUAUGAUGAGACCUUCUCACCAGUUGCGAAGAUUAAAUCUAUUAGAGUGAUGCUAGCAAUUGCCGCAUUUCAUGAUUAUGAGAUUUGGCAAAUGGAUGUCAAGACCGCUUUCCUUAACGGAAAGUUGGCUGAGGAUGUUUACAUGGCUCAGCCAGAGGGGUUUGUGGAUCCGAAGCAUCCGAAUAGAGUGUGUAAGCUUGAGAAGUCCAUUUAUGGACUUAAGCAAGCGUCUCGCAGAUGGAAUCUUUGCUUCGAUGAGAAAGUCAAAGAGUUUGGAUUUGUACGAAGCGAAGACGAAUCUUGUGUAUAUGUCAAAGCCAGUGGGAGUAUAGUAAGCUUCCUCGUUCUAUAUGUCGAUGACAUAUUACUCAUAGGAAACGACAUCCCGACUCUGCAGGAGGUUAAGUCCUGGCUCGGGAAGUGCUUCGCUAUGAAGGACCUCGGAGAGGCUUCUUACAUUUUGGGAAUAAGGAUAGUAAGAGAAAGAAGUAAGAGACUAAUUGGACUUAGUCAGAAUACUUACUUAGAGAAGGUACUAAAACGUUUUAGUAUGGAAAACUCAAAGAAGGGAGAACUACCGAUACAAAGUAAUGCCAAAUUGAGUAAGACUCAAAGUCCGAGUACCGAAGCUGAGAUAGCAGAAAUGAGCCGAGUACCAUACGCUUCCGCAGUUGGCUCAAUCAUGUACGCUAUGACUUGUACUCGCCCUGAUGUAGCCUUCGCUUUGAGCAUGGUUAGCAGAUAUCAAGGGAAUCCUGGCAGAGCACAUUGGAUUGCGGUGAAGAAUAUCCUUAAGUACCUUCGGAGGACGAAGGAAUGGUUCUUAGUCCUCGGAGGGAGUGAUGACUUGAAGGUGCGAGGGUAUAGUGACGCCAGUUUUCAGACCGACAGGGACAACUACCGUUCGCAGUCGGGCUGGGUCUUUACCCUAAAUGGAGGAGCAGUGACAUGGAAGAGUUCCAAGCAGGAAACCGUAGCUGAUUCAACGUGCGAAUCAGAGUACAUUGCAGCGAGCGAAGCGUCGAAGGAGGCAAUAUGGCUAAAGAACUUCAUCGGUGAUCUUGGAGUUGUACCUGCCAUAAAGGAGCCCAUGGAGAUUUUCUGUGAUAACGAAGGAGCGGUUGCCUUGACCAAGGAACCGAGGGAUCAUGGUAGAUCAAGACAUAUCGACAGAAAAUAUCACUUCAUUAGACAUCGUGUAGAAGAAGGACAACUCGUAGUGAAGAGGAUAUCAUCAGAAGAUAACCCAGCAGAUCCGCUUACGAAGGGACUGAGUAGGGUUAAGCACUUGCAGCAUGCUAGGAGUAUUGGGCUGAAGGAUGAUAUUAGCAUAGAUUAGAUAGUAUUAGAAACGUGUAAUAGAUAAAUGUAAUUAACAUUUGAUGAUUAAAUAAAGGAGUUUUAUUUAUGAGUAAUGUUACUAUCUUAUGUUAAUUGUUUAACUAUUGUUUCACUUUGCAUGUUUUGACUUCCAGAAUAAUUGAGUUUAUUAGGAAUAAUCGAAUUGUUCAAAUUGUCCACAAUCGUUCAUAUGUUGGAAGUAGAUAUGAAUGAAGAUUGUCAUGAAUUGGUGUGUAGAUUGUCUAAAUGGUGUUAGACAUAGCAAAGGGUUGCUGCAACGUUCAUGAGUGCUUAUGAACUAGUUUUGAGCAUUGGAACAAACCCGCGCUUGCUGGAAUCACCUUAUGGAAUAUGAUAUAAAAGGGUGAUCGCAAGACGAUAAUAUCAUAUAGUCUUAAAACCUAGAUAUAUGGUUUGUUAUUUGUUAAUUGGUUGUACAUUGAUAAUGCGAAAACGCAUCAGUAACUUGGUGUUAUAAAACGCAUUGUUGUGUAUAGUUGGUUAAUGAAUAAGUAAAUGCAUAUAAGUCGAAGUUUAUCUGUAACUUUUAUCUAAGAGGGUAAAAGCGAUAUCUCGGCCGCUCGAUGAUUUGAUUUGACUUAUGUGUCGGGCCCGGUCAGAACUGAAUUGAUGUGUUCGAUUAAGUUCUAUGUCAAAUAAAUCAGAGAUCGAGAAACCUAAAUGCUUGACAAAUCGUUCCAUAGAAUUGUCAGCAUGAUAUCUAACAGAGGACUGUACGAUCCCUUAUCUAAAGGACAAGAUUGAUUAGAUCAGAGUUUGACAGCGUCUUUGAGAGCUACGAUUGCAAAUCGAAUUGUACUUGUGCAUAUAGUUACUAGACUUAUCCAAGUGGGAGACUGUUGGAAUAGUGUCUAAGGCUGCAACUAUAUUAGGCAAGUAUUUGACCCGAUUGUGCAUGGUCCUUUUGGGUUGCCUUCACCAUAGCAACUUGACAGGAUGAUUUAUAAUGAGAGAAGAAAUAUUAUUAAUAUAUUAUGAGAAUAAUAUAAGGAAUAAUAAUAUUGUUAUUUGAUUAAUAUAAGUCAUAAAUUAAUUAGGAAUUAAUUUGGUGACCUAAAGAGAUUAAUUAAAUAAAAGGGUAUAAACUGUCAUUUGUAUGAUAGUUGUACUUUGGGCUAUAAUCCCUUAUGGAUAAGGGGUGGACGGUUUUAUGGCUUUGGAUAGACCAAGAAAUCGUCCAACUCUUAUCAUAAGGGGGAUUGGAUUUUAUGGCCUAAGUUAUCCAAUUAGGGUUUAAGGGUGAAACCCUAGGAGCCUUACAAGUAUAAAUAGACCCAAGGGGUCAAGGAAAUCGGCACUCUUGUCUUUGGAAGAACCAUGGCCGACUUCUUGCCCUCUCCCCUCUCUCUCUCUCUCCAAUCAUCCUCUUGCUAAGUUGGUGUUUGUAAGCCAUUAGAGGAGUGACAAUUGUGACUCUAAGCUCCAAGGUCAAGAAGAUUCAAGCAAGCAACUUAAGGUAAUCUUCUAGAUCUGUUUUUUUAUGUUAUUACCUAGAUCUAUUGUUCAAAAGUCUUGGAUACAAUGCAUGUUCAAUUAGAGAAACCUAGAUCCAAUCAUUAGGGUUUGUAUGUGCACAUAGGAAUGUUCAUAUGGCUAAAACCCAUCACUAACAUGGUAGCCGAUGCCCUAAGCAGGAAAGAAUACUGAGGUCGACGGGUGAAAACAUUAUCGAUAACCAUCCACUCUCACCUAACUUCACAAAUCAGGGAAGCUCAACUAGAGGCAUUAAAGUUGGAGAAUGCUGCUAAUGAAACCCUGCGUGGAAUGGAUAAAAAUCUAGAAGUCAAAGGAGACGGAGCUUACUGCUUCACGACAUGUAUCUGGGUCCCAAAUUUUGGAGGUUUCAUGGACGUAGUCAUGAAUGAAGUGCACAAAUCACGAUACUCUGUCCAUUCGGGUUCCGAUAAGAUGUACCUAGACAUUAAACAACAUUAUUGGUGGCCAAGCAUGAAAGCAUAAAUUGCCACUUACAUGAGCAAGUGUCUUACUUGUGCCAAAGUGAAAGUGGAACAUCAGAAGCCCUCGGGAUUGUUACAACAACCAGUAAUACCCGAGUGGAAAUAGGAAAGGAUUACCAUGGAUUUCAUAACCAAAUUACCUAAGACAUCGAACUGAUUGGUUGUUAUCCGGGUGAUUGUCGAUAGGUUAACCAAAUCCGCCCAUUUCCUUCCAAUAAAGGAAUCAUACAAAAUGGAGAGGUUAACACGAAUCUGUAUAAAGGAAAUUAUGAAACUCCAUGGAGUGCUGUUAUCUAUUAUCUCGGAUCGAGAUAGUAGAUUUACUUCACAAUUUUGGGAGUCGCUCCAGAAGGCAAUGGGAACACAACUAGACAUGAGCACUGUUUACCACCCUCAAACUGAUGGCCAAAGAGAGCGACCCAUUCAAAACUCUUGAAGAUAUGCUCCGAGCAUGUGUGAUUGAUUUUGGCAGGGCAUGGGAUACCCACUUGCCCUUAAUUGAAUUCUCGUACAAUAACAGCUAUCACACUAGCAUUAAGGUUGCUCCUUUUGAGGCGUUGUAUGGUCGCAAGUGCAGAUCGCCUCUUUGUUGGGCUGAGGUGGGAGACACCCAGUUGGCAAGGGGACAAACACCAAAUAGCACUCUUACAGGACCCAAGAUCAUACGGGAGACAACAGAUAACAUAAUUCAAAUCAAAGCACGACUCCAAGCAUCACGAGACCGAAAAAAGAGCUAUGCUGAUAAACAACGGAAGCCUUUAGAAUUCCAAGUUAGAGAUCGGAUGCUGUUGAAGGUCUCUCCCUGGAAAGGGAUGAUCCGUUUGGGAGGCGAGGAAAAGUAAACCCAUGAUACAUCAGACCGUUUGAGAUUCUUGCCCGGAUCGGUCUAGUGGCUUACAAGUUGCAGCUACCUGUGGAGCUCAACAACAUACACUGUCACAACUAGCAUUUUUGGCUAGAAUAUUUCCGUCCGCAUUUAAACAACGACUAUUGUUACACUUGUACUAAAACAUUAAAGUUUACAUUAUGAUUCCUAAUGAGGCAUGUAUUGUUAUACUGCAAAUCUCUCCCCAAUCUCUCUAUGCAUCUCAAAUCUCUCCCAAAUCACUCUAUGCAUCUCAAAUCUCUCUAUGCAUCUCAAAUCUCUCUAUGCAUCUCAAAUCUCUCGCAAAUCUCUCUAUGUAUCUCAAAUCUCUCCCAAAUCUCUCUAUGUACCCCAAAUCUCUCUCUAAUUUUCCCAUGAAGUUUUCUUAGUUGAGAACAACACAAAACAAAUGGAGAAACUGAAAGAUGUAAGUCCCCAAAAUUGCUUGUGUAUCAAUCAGAUCCAAUUGAUGGUGCGGAAUCCCAAUCAAUUCGAUGAUGUCAGAUCAAUAUAGAAGAGAAGGAGAAGAAGAAGAUUAAGAAUCUAAUGAUGUAUUCAAUAUGAAUGAUGCUCCAUACAAUAGAUUCUCUUUCACACACACUUCUUCUCUCUAACUUUCUCUCUCUUUUCUAGCCUUCUCUCUUCUAACCGUACACUCCCACAUGCACUCCUCAAUUUAUAUGGAUCUCCAUCCAUACACAUGUGUACAACCGCAAACCAUGUGUACGGCCGUACACAGGGUGUGCGGCCGUACACACAUGUACGGCCGUACACAAAAACCGCAAACACAUACAACAUUACAUAAAAAUAUAUUUUCCUAGAAAAGCAAAGUAUAAACCAUAUUUUUGACCCAACAAUCUCCCCCUUGGUUUAUAGCUUUCUUUUCUAAUUGGCCCAACAAGCUCCCCCUAAAAAGUAGCUGGCUUUUCUUGUUAAUCUUCAUUGGGAGCUUGGCUUCAGCAUUAAUCUUCAAAUUGCUUCACAGCAUCAAGAUGAACAUAGGAAUCUUCAAUAAAUGACUUCAUCUUGAGCAGUUGGAAUUUCUACAGAAUUUGACAUUGAACGCACAUUGGGUGAGGAGGCUUCUUGUAGAGAUUCUUGAAAGAUAGCGCUUUCAGCUUGAGAAUCUUCAGAGAGAACAACGGAGAGAAAUAAUCUACUGGAUCACUUCAGCAGGUUUAAGAUAGCAGCAGACUGAUUGAGGAGGCUUCAAUGCAAUCCGUCACAUAAUCUUCAAGUACAGCUUCACCAUGCUUCUGGGGUUGACAGAUUGAAUGUCGAAAGAAUAAUCUUCAUUUCUUGCUCCUUCGAAUGUGAAUUCUUCGAUGCUCACGAAUGAAGCCUUGGCUCAGAAGAUCUUCAAUACAGUCUCCACGAGUCUCAUCUACGCCUGAAAUCACUUUUCAAGACAAAACAAAACUAAAAGAAAAAUUAGCACAAAAAAAANNNNNNNNNNNNNNNNNNNNNNNNNNNNNNNNNNNNNNNNNNNNNNNNNNNNNNNNNNNNNNNNNNNNNNNNNNNNNNNNNNNNNNNNNNNNNNNNNNNNNNNNNNNNNNNNNNNNNNNNNNNNNNNNNNNNNNNNNNNNNNNNNNNNNNNNNNNNNNNNNNNNNNNNNNNNNNNNNNNNNNNNNNNNNNNNNNNNNNNNNNNNNNNNNNNNNNNNNNNNNNNNNNNNNNNNNNNNNNNNNNNNNNNNNNNNNNNNNNNNNNNNNNNNNNNNNNNNNNNNNNNNNNNNNNNNNNNNNNNNNNNNNNNNNNNNNNNNNNNNNNNNNNNNNNNNNNNNNNNNNNNNNNNNNNNNNNNNNNNNNNNNNNNNNNNNNNNNNNNNNNNNNNNNNNNNNNNNNNNNNNNNNNNNNNNNNNNNNNNNNNNNNNNNNNNNNNNNNNNNNNNNNNNNNNNNNNNNNNNNNNNNNNNNNNNNNNNNNNNNNNNNNNNNNNNNNNNNNNNNNNNNNNNNNNNNNNNNNNNNNNNNNNNNNNNNNNNNNNNNNNNNNNNNNNNNNNNNNNNNNNNNNNNNNNNNNNNNNNNNNNNNNNNNNNNNNNNNNNNNNNNNNNNNNNNNNNNNNNNNNNNNNNNNNNNNNNNNNNNNNNNNNNNNNNNNNNNNNNNNNNNNNNNNNNNNNNNNNNNNNNNNNNNNNNNNNNNNNNNNNNNNNNNNNNNNNNNNNNNNNNNNNNNNNNNNNNNNNNNNNNNNNNNNNNNNNNNNNNNNNNNNNNNNNNNNNNNNNNNNNNNNNNNNNNNNNNNNNNNNNNNNNNNNNNNNNNNNNNNNNNNNNNNNNNNNNNNNNNNNNNNNAUGAAUAAUACAUGACUAUUUAUAGGGAAAAGACAAGUCUUGGGCUUUUAACCUAGAAUUCAUCAAAGGGGCCCAUUGCCAUCAUCCAUGGAGUGCUUUGAAACCCUACAAUCUCCCCCUCAAAGUAUGGAAUGGAUGACAAUGCUUUAACUUCCAAAACAAGCAUCUAGCAAAUAAAAAGAUCUGCAACGAGGAAUAUAUGAAGCAAUCCACGAAUCUUGAUUCUUCAAUAGUCUUCAAACACGAGCUCUAGGAUAUAUAAAUCAAGCACUGAAGUAAUGUCUUUAAACUUCAUUUUCGAAUGUAAUCCCAAAGAAUCUUCAUGAAAACCAAACCCGCCAUAAAAACCCAUUUCAGAACAAAGAAACUGAAUCACUUCUUGUCUUUGAAGAGCUCCCCCUCCAAGUCACAACGAUCUUCAAAUAAGCUAAUGAUAUAAGCCAUCAAAAAAUAUCAUGUAACAACCCAAACUUUAAGAUUCGUAACGCCACUUGAUCGAGAAAAUACAAGAAGUCGGAGAUAUAACAAGUCCUUAGCAGAGCUCAAUGAAAAACUUCCGCUGUAAAGGAUACUUCUCUGUAAAAGCUUUAGCAGAGCUCGAUGAAGAACUUCUGCUGUAAAAGCUACCUUCAUAAUUCUACCACAAGCUUUAUCAAAAAUCUUCAACUUUGAAAAGUCACAAAUCUAAUUUCAAAUGGCCAUACCAAAUUCUCCCCCGAUUUAUAAUCAAAAACAUGAUUAUAAAGCCUUCAAAUGGUCAUGAGAAUGAUCUUGAAUGGAUAAAAAUUUACUAAGCUCCCCCGUGACAAAAUGAUAUUAACGAUGAAGUAUAAAAUCCGAAAAAGUCGUGAAAAUUUGACGUUAUCACGAAAAACUACUUUCCGAACCGCCAAGACUUGAUGGAAUCCAUAAUUUUCUGUUCACGAAAAAAUAUGUGCAAUAAAAAAAAUCCAAAAUUGUUCACCAACCCUUAAAUUUGCAAUAUUGUCGAAAAAACGGGCUGAAACUAUCACACUACUGAAAGUCAGGGACUAAAAAUGUAACUCUGCAUCAAUUUCUCUUUGAUUUGUAACGGUUUCUAGAAAUGGACCAAAACAGCCAAGGUGUAAAAACAACAUGGACCAAAAGAGUCAAAUCGUUGAAUUUGCAAGGUCCAAAAAUGAAACUUUAAUAUCUUCUUCCCAAUUCAUCGUUGAUUGAACGAACACAGUUCUUUUACCAAAACCAUCGAAUCCAAUCGAUCUAUAACAAUGGUACCAAUUACAAAACCUUCGCAGAAAAAAAAUAUUGUUCCAAUCGUUUUCGUUCCGAACCCUUCGUAAUUCUAAGCAUCAGUUCGUUCCAAAUCAAUCCAUCCAUUUACACUUCCGAUUGCGAGCCAUAUUACGAUUGUGAAUUCGAUGAUGCCAAACACCGAAUCAAUCAUUCGUUCCGAGCACACCGGUACAAACAUGAAUCCAGGUCCAGAUUUCCUGUGCGAUCGCAAAUCAUCGUUGGUGAGAUUGUUCGUACCAUGAGAUACACCAUUUUAAUUUUGACUUUUCAUGGUUUGACCCUCCAAAUUGAAUACAAUCCAGCUCAAUUGACCACCAUUCCGACUGAGUUUUCACCACCAUGAACAGUAGAAUACACCAUAAAUCUUCAUGAACAGUAGCUUGAACAUAAUUUUGAUUCCAAAACUCAAAACACCAAAAUCUUCAAUAACUUGUGCAGAAAAAUCACCAAAUCAAGAACCGAUACUUCAAAAAUCAACAGAUCUUCAAAGACCCGCUCUGAUACCACUUGUUGGGAUUAAAACCCUAAUUGUGAUUUGAUGAACAAGAUGCGGAAAAUAAGAACAAACACAAAUAAUGAAGAUUAUGUCGAAUGAUCACUCGAUUUAUUGAAAUAUGAGGAAUAAAUUACACUUAAAGCAUAGACUAAAGAAUCUAACACUACAUAAGAAACCUCACGUGGCGGCUACAUUUUGCCUCACACUCUUAACCCUAAUUGUGAAUAAUACAUGACUAUUUAUAGGGAAAAAACAAGUCUUGGGCUUUUAACCUAGAAUUCAUCAAAGGGGCCCAUUGCUAUCAUCCAUGGAGUGCUUUGAAACCCUACAAAUUUUAAGUGUAAUAGAACGUGUUUCCCGCUUCCUGAUAUGCCCCAGCCAUCAAGAACUUCCAGAGUACUCCUUACACCGGGUGAGCAGACAACCAUUCAGAGAGAGGAUAGAUUCAGAAUUCUAUUACUUAUUACUUAUUACUUCAGAGGGGUUGAGAAGUAGAAGGUUGCAUAUGCUGUGUACCAGGUCGGAUUAGAAGUCGCGUAGAGGAGACAGCAUAUAGCUAACAGAUAAGAAGUCUUUCACAUAUAUAACCUAUAGAGAAAUAGAGUUGCAUAUGUUGUGUACCAGGUCGGAUUGGAAGUCACGCAAAGGAGACAACAUAUGACUAACAGACGAAAAGAAAGAAAAUGAUAUUCUAGAGACCUAAUUUAUCGGAAUUUACCAGUCGCCCCAUCCAACCGAAAUUAAGGACAGAAUCCACACAUCGAGGAAAAGUUAAGCCACGGUUCCAAGUACGGGUUCAAUUAAUCUGACGAGUAGAUUCCCAUAUAUAUCUCCCUGCUCAACCUAUCCAAGCGUCGUAUUGUCAGGCUAAAUGGAACUAUUAUCUAGGUCAAUAUUUGUCAAGUCAUUUGAUUUCCUAAGUUCAAUUCUACCUAAUCAUGUCCAUUUAGAAUCUUUCGUCCCUACCGACACAUCAAACCAGAGCAUAGACCCUUCAACUUUGGGUACGUUACACAGACUCAGAUUGCCUGUUAUCACUUGAUAAUAUCACUUCCCAGAACAUCUCCCUCAAGCAGCACAUUUCAUAACCAACAAUUUUUUUGAUUAUCUGAUUUUCUAAUGUUUUUGGAUUUUUAAAAUUUUCUAAUUUUUGUUUUGUUUUUAUUUCUCCCCCUAAAUUUGUGCAUAAGAGAGAANAGAGAAACGAAAGUAAAUGCGCAAUUUUAACCUAUCCUAAAACAAAAAUUAGUCUUUAAAGCGAAUCGGGUUAAGAAAAACUCAUGAGUAUAGAGAAGAAAACUCAAACCGUAAGUCACCGAUUGAAUUUGCAUCCAGAAGGUCUGAGAAUAGCACGCGUAAUCUCAAAACAGAUCCGAAAAUUCUUCAUGUCAUUAAGCACAAACACCCUGUGAUCCCUUCCUUUUUUCCUUUCCCGCAAAGGACACAUACUCUCAAAUAAAUGUCUGAAUGUUGUACAGUUGAGAGAUGUCCCCUAUCAAGUGUCAGGAAUAUCCACUACCAACAAACCGAAGUCUGAUGAUAUGCCUCCAUAGCUGCUCCAACACAGAGCGGGAUCACUUGGCCUUUGGAACCCAAUCCAUUUUGAAACUGGGUCGACCUUUGUCAUCUUUGCAUAAUACUUUCUCCCAUGACAUAUCCUGCUUAUCACAAACAGAAGAUGUAGAAAUAUUAGAAUCGUUAGAAGAUUUGGGAGACUGAGCCUUCGGAACCCAUUUGUAGUUGGGUUUAACCCAUUUCUUUUCCAAUUUGAUGGGUGGCUCAGUACUUGUUCUUGAUCUAGAUGUCGGCCGUCGAGAUGACUUUGAUUUUGGCUUCACGGGAGCAUCUCUUGGAUUUGAUUUCUUAGCCAACAUUCCCUUCUUGCCCUUGGGAGUUUGAUUCUUGGCCUUAUGGCUUUGAUUCUUGGCCUUCUGGGCAUUCCAGUCGCUAUUGUAUGAAUGUGGCCUCGAAGGGUUUCUUUUGAAGCAUCUCCCUCUUGGCGCGUUCUUCCAGCCUUGUGCAUAAUAAGGAACGUAUGCGUGAUUUGGACAAUUUCGGGCAAUAUGACAAGGUGUUCCACAGUGAAAACAAGCCUUUUUCUUCACUGGGAAAUUGUUUCUUCCUGCCCCUGGUGGCGUCUCCUUGCCUCGCCUCUUGCUUUUCCCACACGCACAGCUGCAACAGGUCGGCUGUUUCACUUGACUUGGUGGCCUGUACUUCUCAACAGCAGGUUGAUCAGAAGCAACUGAGUUCGAAGAAACAGAUUCAGAGUUCAAGGAGAUGUUGGUUUGUUCAAUGGUGUUCUUGUUCUCAUCCUCUGCUACUUUACCUGCACAUCAAGUAGAAGCAUUAAUAUCGUUCAACUCAGCUCCCUCAGUUGGCCCUGAUUGUUCAGUCUUAACUGAAUCUGGAGCAGGGGUUUGGCCAUACUGAGCAGGCAUUUCUUCCUCAUUGGUCUCAAAGGGUGGGUUAUAAUUGUGAUUAAAAGGAGGUGGCACACUGUGAUACCCUAGACCCUUGGUUUAAUUAUCUUUAAAACUCAAUUGAUUUUCUACUAAGGACUCGACUAUCUUACUUGAUGCAAUAUAAUUUUUGAAACUAAUAUCUAUUUGCUUUUAAAGGUUUCUGACCUUUCCUUAGAGUAUAGCCUUCAUAUUUAAGGUCCUCAUUUUCCCUUUUUAAUAAAUCGAUUUAAUCGCGAAGAAAUUUAAUCGUAGCUUUACAAGAUGUAGUACAUAAAACUUCAUUUACCGGAAUUGAUGUGGAAGUCAUUUUUUUUAAUUUUUUUUAAUUAAUUUUUUUAAUUGCCCUUUGACUUAAUAACCGAGAAAGUCAACCUUAAAAGUCAAAUUUAAAUAAAAAAAAUUCAAAAUCAAAAGUCAAACUGAAAAGCUAAAUUUGAAAAAUUAAAAGUCAAACGAGAAAGUCAAAGGUCAAACUUGAAAGUCAAAGUCAAAAUUUUAAAGUAAAAAGUCAAAAAUAAAAAUAAAAAAUUUUGGGUUGAAAAAGAAAUUUAAAAAUAAAAGGAAUUGAUUUUUGGGUUUAAAAUUAGCAAUUUGCGAAAGUUGGAACCGAGAAGCACUUGUUUUGAGCUAAAUUUCGAAGCAUUAUUUCAUCUACCAACUUAGAUCAGCUGGAAAGGGCGCUUUCUUGUUUAACCAAAGCAUCCAGGUUCGAAUCUUGCAGCCCUCGGUUUCCUUUUUGAUUAUUUUCUGAUUGCUUCUAUAUGUGUAAAGGAUAAAAACGGAAGGUAUGAAUCAACAGUCAGCUUAGCCGAGUUGGUAAGGUGAGUUGCUUUGUUUGGAGGAGACCCGGGUUCGAUCCACGGCACCUCCAAAAAUUAUUUGUACUUUUUUAGAUGCGAAGCGAUGCAAGGAAGCUGCUGCAAGGAUGGCUGCGACGCGAAGUUGCGAUGCGAGGACGAGGACGAGGACCGCACACCGAGACCGAGCCGCACACUCCGAGGCGUACACCGUGACCGCACACGUCCGAGCAGCACACCGAGCCGGCCGCACACACCGAGGCUGCUGAGCCGCACACACCGAGCCGCACUCCUUCAACCAGCAGCACACCUUCAACAGAUUUGCGAAAAAAAAACGACGUUUUUCACCCUUUUUUUGCUCUAAAACACGAUCAAAAACUCGUUUUUAUGAAAAAUGCAAAGAAGUAACCCCCCUUAUUUUUGCGAGAUCUAUCCAAAAACGCUAUUCUCUUUUCAAAAUAAGAUCAAAUAAGCUCCAGAUCUGACAAAAUUGAUUGAUACAACCAAGCUCUGAUACCAAUUGUAAGUCCCCAAAAUUGCUUGUGUAUCAAUCAGAUCCAAUUGAUGGUGCGGAAUCCCAAUCAAUUGGAUGAUGUCAGAUCAAUAUAGAAGAGAAGGAGAAGAAGAAGAUUAUGAAUGUUAACCGCUCCAUCAUUUGUUGUAUGGUCUGUAGAGGAUGAACAAGGUUCGUUAGAAGAAUCCGCUACAAACUCUUCUGCAAUAUUUUCUGGAAAAAUAAGUUCCAUCAAAGUUGAAGUUACAGCGGAAGCCUCGUGAUUCAUGAACUCUUUUUCCAUUGGAGUUAAGGGAGUAGCAAUGGCAUCAGGAGAAGGUUGUUGAGGAGAUUCAGAAGAUUCAAAAUGAGUAGGGGGUACCGAAGGAGGAUUAGUGGAAAUCAAUGGAGGUCGAUAAACAACUUCAUCUUUUUCGUCUUCACUAGGAAUCUUCGAAUUGGAAGUAGAUCCUUCUUGAUUAUCUGAAGACACAUUGAAUGAUUUGAAAAGAGAUGUGUAGUCAAAUAACCAAUCAGGACCCACUCUUGCAUCUGUCUCAUUUUCCUCAAGCCAACGAACAUCAAAGGAUUCUACAAUCUGUUUAGUCUUCUUAUUGUAAACCCUGUACGCAGUUCGAGCAGCAUAUCCAACAAAGUAACAGUCAUCGGCUUUGGCAUUGAAUUUGGGAUUGGAUUCCAAGUGGAGAAGGGUGCAAGGGCAGCCAAAUACUCGGAAAUGACUGACAGAUGGCUUGUGUCCAAAUAAAAUCUCAUACGGCAUCUUCAUUCUGGCUUUGUUGAUUAGCACACGAUUUUGAACAUAACACGCAGUGUUAAUCGCCUCUGCCCAGAAGAAUACAGGAAGCUUGGAAUCACAGAGCAUCGUCCUUGCGGCAUCUUUUAGAGUUCGAUUCCGACGUUCGGCAACCCCGUUUUGUUGAGGUGUUCGAACAGAACUGAAUUGACGCACAAUCCCUUUCUCAGCGCAAAAAUGAUCAAGAACAGCGUUCUUGAACUCUGUUCCAUUAUCAGUACGCAGCGCUUUCACUUGAUUGUUAGUCUGAUUUUCGAUCAUCACAAUGAAUCUUUUGAUAAGGUUAGGAAUUUCUGCUUUGUUAGACAGAAAGAAAACCCAAGUGAAACGAGAGUAAUCAUCUAUCACAACAAGGCAGAAAGAGUUGCGAUUGAUGCUCAACACAUUAACCGGACCAAAUAAAUCCAUAUGCAAUAACUCGAGCACAUGACUUGUGGAGUUUAUCUGCUUUGGAAAGUGUGGUUUUCGAUGAUGCUUUCCCUGGGCACACGAAACACAUUUCUCAAAAGUAAUGAAAUCUUUGAUGGGUAGCCCAUGAACCAAUUCGUUCUUCGCAAGCCGAUUCAGGUUCUUUGCAUUCGCAUGACCGAGACGACGAUGCCACAACAUCGCAUUUUGUUCAGAAGCUUUGGAGAAGAGACACGUGACAUCAUCAGGGAAAUUGCUAUUCAUGUCUAUAAUGUAGGCAUUUCCAUCCCGUUUAGAUCUUACAAGAAUCCAAUCGUCAGGGAUAAUAAUGCCAGGUUUUAAGAUCAGACAUUCCUUAUCUGUGAAAUGAGUAGAGUAGCCCUUGUCGCAUAUCUGGGAUACACUCAGCAAGCUGUGCUUCAGUUCUGGAGCAAAGUUAACAUUCUCAAAAUUCAACACUCCAUUGGACACAGUUCCUCUUUGAGUAAUUUUUCCACCCUCUCCGCCCGCAAAAGAAACAUAUCCCCCAUUAAAAGUUUGAAUGUCGUGCAAUUGGGAUAUGUCUCCAGUCAUGUGCCGGGAGCAGCCGCUGUCGACAUACCAAGGUCUGGCGACAUUCCUCCGCAACUGUCCCUGCACGAUGAAUGGAAUUAUUUAGUUUUGGGAACCCAGGUCAUCACAAUCCUGGGUUGAUUUUUUCUUUUUACAAGUUUUUCAUUUGAUUCUUUCUUUGCUUUUGAAUUGGAGAGUAAUGGAGAUUGAUCUGAAAGAGAUUUUGGAAUCCAUUGAAAGUUAGGUUUCAAAAAUUUGUGAGUUUGCUUUGAACUGGUGGAUCUCUUACUUGAAGAGUUAGAAGAUCCUGUCCUGCUCUUUGACAAAUUCGACUUAGGCUUGGCCUGAGUUGACUUUGGCAAACUUCUGUUGUUUUUGCAAAAAACCUGUUUAUUCUUUUGAAAUCUUUUGAAUUUUUUGUUUAAAGUUGUAUUCAAAUCUCCAUUUCUAGAAUGAGUUUUGGGAAUUUUCCUAGUCAAGGAUCGUCCCCGAAAUUCAUUCUCCCCUCUUUUUGUUGUAUGAGAUACAAACAUCCGGUUCAUGCAGUUUCUUGCAAUGUGUCCAGCAGUGCCACAGUUAAAACAAAUUUGUUUGUUAUCAGAAACUUUGGCACUGCUGUUGUCAGUGUUGUUCUUAGCUUUUCCAUUUCUAACACAAUUACACUUGCAAGAUCCAUCAUAGAAUUUAGUAACAGAUGUGUUAGAUGCAGAGACAUGUAAAUCAGAUUUAGCAGUUUGAUCAGAAACAACACUAUUAGAAUCAUUUUCAGACUGAAAUAAAAUACCACCCGACACAAAAACAUUUGUGUUUGAUUUUGACACAGACUCAUGACUGACACCGGACUCAAUCACAAUAUUAUUUGACUCAAAAGUUUCAGCAGCAUGCUCCCCCUAGACUAUUGAUAUAUCUGCACUUGAAGCAAAAGCAUUAGUAUGCAAAGUCUCAUAACUAGACUGUAUUUCCUGCUCACAAGCUGACUUUCCGUACACCAUGCAAGGUUCUUUGUCAAUUUCUUCUUGAGACAGAGGAAUAGCAGUAUAAUUGUGAUUGAAGGGAGGAGGGACACUCUCAUAACCUAAUCCAACUUUUAUUUGAUUACCAUGAGUGAUAUCUCUCCAGUGUGAUUGACCUUCGAUUAAUUUUGCAAUCUUUUCACUUGACACAUCGUAUUUUUUGAAAUUAAAUUCAGCUUUUUCAAAACAAUUUUUCAAUGUGUCAAGUUCCAUGGUUACAGCAGCAAGUUUUCUUUUGAGAUGAUCAUAGUUCUCGCAUUUGUUGCUGUAAUCCUCUUGCAAUUUUUUAAAAUCUUUUGUUUUAUUUUCUAAUUGAGUUUUUAAGGGCUUUUGAUUUUUUCUAAGAGUAUAUCCCUCAUAUUUCAAGUCCUCGUUCUCUCUCUUGAUUAUUUCAAUUUGAUCUCUCAAAAACUUAACAGUUUUAAUACAAGAUUGAGAACAACCGAAUUCACUAACCUCAGAUUUGACUGGUUCAGGAGUGGUCUGAACCAUGAAUGCAAACUGCAAAUUCAUCAUCUCCUCCUCUGGAUCUGCUUCCAUUUCUUUACAUGCAUCCUUGACUUGAGCAAGAUUUUCCUUUUCAGGUUCUGAAAUGUUUAGGGCCUGAACUUGAUCUUCCCAGUUGAACGAUUGAGCUACCAUUGCCAUGUUUGCAGACUGAUUGUUUGAAGUUGAUCCUCUGUUGUUGCUGUGAACGUACGUUACUGGCACCAUGGUUCUUUCCUGGUUCAUGACAAUUAUAACAACGCAACUUUCCUUUGCUAAAACCCAUCUUUUUGUCUGAAUUUACACCCCAGUUGUUCUUUCCAGUCUUUUUUGAGAAUUGUUUAGCCCUGAAUACUGCCAUUGCUAUUUGCCAUGUAACAUCCAUCUCUUCCACAUCUUUAGGAUGAAUUUGAUCAAGAUUCGUGAAUGAAAGUUGUGGAGAGAGCUCUCCAGCAACAAAGGCAUUGUAGCAGUUCACCAACCCAGUAGCUAAAGCCAUAUUUUCCUCCUUUUCUUUUGCAAAUGAGCUUUGGGAACCAAUUCCAUGAGAUUGAAUUAAAACAUCUGUGGAAGGACUAACACUAGAACCAACUUGAGAUAUGGUUUGAGGGAAUUGAGUUUGUUGCAUGUUAGGUAUGAUGUAUGGUAUGUUUUGAUGGACUGUAUGACGUUGAACUUGAGGAACCUGGAUUUAAGUAUUUUGAAGAGUGGUGAAGCUUGAAAAGCGGUGUUGUUAUUUUGAAGUCCAAGAUUGGCUGGAGAGUAUGAAUUGACAUGGUUGAUUUCUCUUUUUUUAUCAUCAAGAUCGCAAGCUUUGAUGAUUGCCAUUGUUUCAGACAGGCUUAAACGAUUCAAAUCUUUUGUCUUUUUAAUCACCGAGACAUUCAUGUCCCAUGAUUUUGGAAGAGAAUUUAGUAACUUCUUGUUGAUUUCAGAUCUAGUAACCAUCACUCCUGCGGAGCUCAUUUCAGUGGUUAGUGUGAUAAAUCUUUGCAAUUGAUUUUCGAAUGUUUCUCCCAAUACGUAGUUAAACAUGUUGAAUUUUUUUCGGAGCAUGUCUUGUCGACUUUGCUUCAUGUCUUCAUUUCCUUCAUAAACUUCUAUGAGUGCUUCCCAUAAUGCUUUUGUUGAUGUAUACUCAUGAAAUCCUUGUGCUAUUUUCGGAGACAAUGCCAUAGUCAGUGUGGCAAGAGCCUUUUCUUGUUCUUCAACUCGUUCAAAAUCAUCAUCAGUGUAGUUUUCAACUUGUUUGUCAAUUACCGUUCCAUCUUCUAAAGUAGAAGUAAUCCGAAUUGGUCCUCUCAAAAUGCUUCUCCAAAUUUUGAAAUCCUUCAUUUUGAUGUAUUUUUCAAUUCGAUAUUUCCAUUCAGGAAAUCCUUCAGCUGAUAGCAAUCUAGGAAUACGAGUAGUUGUUCCCAUUAUUGCAUCCAAAUCUUGAUGAACAGUCAUGUUUUGAGAUUCCAUUUUAGUAAUUUUAAACUCUUAAACACACACUCCUUAACCGCACACACUUAUCCAGCCGCACACUGAAUUGAGCCGCACACACAAAUCUAACCGCACACUAAACCAACAAUCACUUUAACCGCACACACCUUCAACCGCACACACCUUCAACCGCACACACCUUCAACCGCAAACUCCUUCAACCGCACACACCUUCAACCACACACACCUUCAACAGUUGGCACCAAACACUCAACAGUAACUUCAAUUGAUACCAAAUUGGCUCUGAUACCAAUUGUAAGUCCCCAAAAUUGCUUGUGUAUCAAUUUGAUCCAAUUGAUGGUGCGGAAUCCCACUCAAUUGAAUGAUGUCAGAUCAAUAUACAAGAGAAGGAGAAGAAGAAGAUUAAGAAUCUAAUGAUGUAUUCAAUAUGAAUGAUGCUCCAUACAAUAGAUUCUCUUUCACACACACUUCUUCUCUCUAACUUUCUCUCUCUUCUCUAGCCUUCUCUCUUCUAACCGUACACUCCCACAUGCACUCCUCAAUUUAUAUGGACCUCCAUCCAUACACAUGUGUACAACCGCAAACCCUGUGUACGGCCGUACACAGGGUGUGCGGCCGUACACACGUGUACGGCCGUACACACAAACCGCAAACACAUACAACAUUACAUAAAAAUAUAUUUUCCUAGAAAAGCAAAGUAUAAACCAUAUUUUUUACCCAACAAAAGAGCAAGCUCAUUUCUGAACCUCCUGUGCUCCUUCAAAAUUUCUUUGAUCCAGAAACCCCAACUUCGGAACCUUCAGAAAAAGGCUCUGAAACUAACGUGCUUUGGAACUCAUCAUGCCCUUGCACCGGACAAUCUUGCUCCGAAAUAACCUCUCAUCCGGACAAUCUCGUUUAGAGCCUUCGUGUUUGCUUCGUAACUUCGCAUACUUCGGAAGGUCUCGCCUCGUAUUCUCGGAUGGAAUUGGUUCUAGAUCAGAGCUGAAUCCGGAAGUGAGGCUUGACUCCGGAAAUUGAGGAUUGACUCUGAAACUUGAAGAAUGCCUUCGGAACUCACCUAGUGGCUUCGGAAUCCGCUAUUUGGCUCCAAAUUUUAGACCAUAUCGGAACUUUUCUUCAUUUUAAGGCAUUUUGAUGUUAGGAAUCCCACCAAACUCGUAUUUUUCAUAACUUAGACCACUUAAACCUCUAUUUUAUGCCAAAUUUGAGUAUUUGAAACAUAUUUACAUGAAAUAAUAGGUAAUAUUGAUGAAUGUAUUCUACUAAAUCAUAAAGAGAUAAGAGGGUUUGACUUUAUGAUGUGAUGUAAAUUCCCAUUUCGCAUGCAAUUCACGGUAACCCAUGAAUUACCCACAGAAUAUCAAGGUUUUAACCUCCAGAUUUCCAAGCAAGCACCAACCCCAUCUUAGACAUGUCCACCUUAAAACACCCCACCAUAUUUUUAUUUGCUACAUAUAACUUUUCUUUAUCUCUCAAAAACUCUCUCUCCCAACUUUUGAAGAAGGUUAAGCCCAAGUUCAUCCUGAGAAUUUUUGGUAAGUAUUUUCAUAAUCUCUGAGUAUUUAUAUAUGAUUAUAUGAUAGUUCCACCAUUUUUAUACACAUAUUUGUGUGUAUUGAUAUUGUUAGGAUAAUAAUCAUCCUUAGAAGCUCCUCAACUCUUCCAAAAGUUUAGACGUGAUUUUUUCACUCCAUCACUCCAAUCAUCCCAUAAACUAACUCAAUGUGAGCUUCAUACCCCUAUCUUUUGAGUUUUCUUUUGUAACAUCCCAAGUCCAUGUAUAUUCAUUAAAACUCUGACCUUGAGCUUUUGUUCAUUUUUUACCCUUAAUUGAGAAAAGGGUGGUGAGCGAGUACGCAGGGCGUACUUGAGAGUACGCUUAGCGUACUCGUUUGCGUGUUUGUAAUGCGGAUGGCCACCUAGUACGCUAGGCGUACUAGGCGCAGAAUGAAACCCUAAUUGUGAGCAAGCUCCCUAUUUAAAGGAAAAGAUGGCCUCAUUUCUUGCCACCGUUCCUAGACACCAAAACCUCUGAACCCAUAUUCUUCGUCCUUGUAGCUGGAGAGUGCAUUUAGGAGCUUAUGAGUACAUCUUUGUGAUCUGGAGGUGGAGAAAGAGCUUGGAAGAGAAGAAGUGAGAGCCAGGAGUUUGGAUCUGAGCUUAGCUAGGUCAAAGGCUUCCAAAAAAUGUUUUAAGCUUAAAACUUUCUUAUCCUUUUCUUUGGUUCAUUCAUUUGGUGGUUUAAUCCAAAAGGUGGAGAUUUUAUGAGUAAAUGAGCUCCAAAGGCCUUGAUCUACCCCGUUUCAAUGUAUAUUGUGAUAUAGAGUCAUAAAAAUCCCAUCUUGGACGUUAAGAGUGAGCCAUGCAUGAGAUGUGAGCUUCUUAAGGAAAGGGGUUGUGAGUUUUGAGUGUUGGUGACCUUUUCAGCCAUGCAAAUGCUUAAAGUUACUGACUUUAUGGAUUAAGGGACAUUAGAGUCACCAGAUCUGAAACAUGAGUCCAUGUCUUAACUGAUUAAGACGAAAAUCAUGAGGAGUGUGAAACUGGAGCGUACACUGGGCAUAACCCCAAGUACGUGCAACGUAAAGGUCUAGCACCCCUGAUUCUGUAUAGCAGCCGAGUUCGCCCAGCGUAGGGAGGUGGAAUGUGCAGCGUACUCCCUGCUGUUGACUUUUAGGGUUUGGUCAAGUUGUGAACUAUUGAGCCUAUGGAGGGGUAAAAUGGUCUUUUACCCUUAUGUGAGUGUAGAAGGGUGAGUCUAGCUUCUUGAGGACCAAUAUUAAUUGGGGAUAAUUAUUAUGUGAUAAGCAGAGGCUAGAUCGGUGGGUAGAGUUCGAGAUUUCCGAGUAUGAGGUUUUCACUUGCUAGCUUACGAGGUGAGUCUUCUCACUAUACUUACCUUGAGUGGUAAUUUAUGUGUGACCAGAGGGUCUUAUGUGUAUGUGUUGUGUAUUGAGAUAUCCUGUUAUUUGUUCUGUGAUAUGCUUAUUGUGUAUUAUAUUGACUUGCUGAGUUGUGGGACCGGAGGGUCCCACUGAGACACAUCGACCGAAGGGUCCUACAGAGUUAUAGCCUUGAGUGGAAAAUGUGUUGUAUGUGGUAUUUUGGGGAACUCACUAAGCUUUAUGCUUACCGUGUUAUGUGUUAUGUGUUUCAGGUAGUCUCGAGGAUCGCGGCAAGGCACCAGUAUGGUUGUACACUGGCGGGAGAUUGUUUUUACGAUUCUGGGAUUGUGUUUUAAUUGAUGACAUGUGAGACAUAUGUGAUUUUGAGAAUUAUCAAAUGAGUUUUAUUAUGUUUGAAGAUGAAAAUUUUGUUUGAAAAUUUAUGUUGUUACAUCUUUCUUUUUGGGGGAGAAUACAAGUCAAGGGUCUUGUGAAAUCUUAGUGUAUUUGCUUGUUUAUGCAUGUAUGUUAUGAUAUAUGUGCUUAAAGUUAUGAAAUCCACCUAAUGGUUCAGGAACUCAAGAUUCUUAGCAAGUCUCAAGGUUUUGAACUAUACAUCUAUAUAUAUCACCCAUUUAUAUGUUAGAAACAAAAACUAGUAUGUUUAUGAAAUAUUAAUCAUAAAUGGUUACAUCAAAAAUCAUAAGAUUUUACUUCAAAAUUUGUUUAAACCAAAGGUUAAUCAUAAUAUUUUGGAAAUGGUUAAAUUUGAAUAUUAUUAAUAUUUUGGGACCAUUUUCGGCCGCAUAUAUAUAGGGACCAUUUUGGAUAAUGGAAGAAAAUUUAAGAAUUAUUGAGCAUCUUAAUUUCAAAGGACCAAAAUGAAAUUUUUGGGAUAAACAAGGGCCUUUUUGAAUAUUUUCAUAAAUAUAAGUCUAAAAUAAACAUUUUAGAAGAAAAGGGUUGUUUUUGACAUUACGAUAAGUUUGGGGUCAUUUUUUAUUAUUAUGAUUCCAAGUGGAUUUUCCCCAAUAAACGAAAAUGAUAAACCUAGUCAACUAACACAAGUAAUGUUAUUUAUUAAAUAAUGGAUGUUAUCGAUUACUCAAAAACCAGUUGGUAUUCUAGUGAAGACAAGUCUCAAAAAAUACCUAAAUAUAAAUAUAUUAGUGUACGUCUAAAUUCCUGUAAUGAGUUAUAACCAGAGUCUCCUGGAUGGAGAGCGGGAAUUUGUGUAUAGAGCUAUAGGGGGUUGACACCCUGCAUCUUCGUUGUUCGCUACAGCUAGAUCGGCUAGUCUAGAGUGAUAAAUGUCUUUAAUCGAUUUGGGCGUCUGAGAAACGCCAAGACAGGCCUCCGUCAUAUUAGUAUGUUUAUAGCGGCUCACUAGAAUAUGUUAAUGUAUCUAGAAAUUCAUGUAUGGAAAACCUCAUAAAUAAAUUGGCACAUUGUGUUGACUGCCCAUAUGCAUGGUAGUGAUGGUCCGCAUUUGUUGUGUUGACCGCCCACUCAACUUGCAUGGAAGGUUCACAAUCGCGUGUUGAUUUCUCACACCUCUCCAGUCUUAGGGUUUUUAAGACCACCAUUUUAUAUAUAUCAAAAAAUAUAGGAUUUUCUGGGGAAAAACGAUUGUAUACGAUUUUGAAAACGAUAAACUAUCACACACAUAUGCAAGUAUACUCAAUUGAAAAACAGGACUCACGACUAUUUUAUAUAAGAAAAUAUGGGAUUUUCUGGAGGAAAUGAUUUUAUACGAUUUCGAGAAACGAUAAACUAGAAUACACAUACAUGCAACUAUACUAGAUGGAAAACAAGACUUACAACUGUUUUGACAAGAAAACACUGAAACUUUCUGGAUUUCAAAACCAUCACAAAUUCUUAUACAAAAAUGCUUAUGAACUCAUCAACAUAUUUUAUGUAGACGCUUUUCAAACGACUUGUAUUCUCAGGGAUCUAGUAAGCAGGUUAAAGGGACGCGGACUCAGGACUAUUUCGCAGUAGUUUGAAAUUUAUUUACUUACGUCUCUUUGUGUAAUGUGAAGAAUAAAUACAAUAUGUAAACAAUGUAAGUUUGUUAUCUCAAUGUAUGAUGUUUGGAUUUGCUAUGUUUCAUUUAUAUUCAAUUGUUAUGAUACUGCACAAUGAAGUCACUCGCCUCCGGACAUUUCCGCCGUCUGGUCUGGGGGUGUGAUAGAUUGGUAUCAGAGCAUUGUUUAUAGUGAACUAGUAUAUCUAGCCAUACAAGAUAUACAACUAUAAAUACAAUGGGACUAAAACACUCUUACUAAAGGUGUACUUGAAAGAUCUAAGUAUUUAUAAAAGAAUACAUACAUACUAGCACAAUAUCAUAAUGAGGAGAAAACAAAAGUAACUAAAGGUUGAACAUUACAGUCAAACCUAAGAAGUUAUGUAAUCACAUUUGGGAUAAUAUAGCCUAAUCAACUCUAUUUAUUUGAGAUAUGACCAACAUGUGCUUGAGAGUGAUAGUGGUGUUGCAACAAACCUAAAACCAACCAACUAUACAUUCAAGAGAACACCGGAAUCUAACAUCAAGUUUAAAAUACUAUAGGAGUAUUUUAGGAUACCAUAAACCCCCACACCUAAACUUUCCCCGUAUUUCUCAUACACCUAUUCUCACACAAACGACAUAGUUGAAAAUCUUCACAAAGACCUCUACUACCCUGUCGAGGUGACUUGCGGAUGGGCCAAGGAAGGACCAAAAGAGGUCCAUAAGAAGAGCCCAGAGGUGAAGUCUAAGGCAUACCAAGAUAUGAAUUAUGAAAGGGAGGAUUCCAACUAAGAGCCAAGCACGGAUGAAAGAGCCAAAGAAACCCUCAGCGAGCCUUAUCCUGUUAGCAAGAAACCCUUUCAUCUCUCUCCUCCCAGAUAUAUAUGUAAACACCAAAUGUAAGUGCCCUUGGAAUAGACAUGCCUAGUAACAAAACAAUACCCACGCAAAGACAAGUUUACUGAUUGACACCUACCAAGUUCAAGAUGCAUUGCCACAAAAGGCAAUCCCAUCCACAAUCGACGUGCACCGUGCUCCGAUCCUUAACACCCUCACAAUACAAGCACCACCCCCAUAUGGACCACAAGUAACCCGAUUUGACUCCCGGUUUACUACUCUCUGUCAUGGAGUAUUGAAAACUGAAAGCAAAGCCCGAUAUACGACAAUGUAAAUCCGACUUUCCCACGAAUAACUAGAACACCAUUCCAAAUCCUUAUGGAAACAACACGUGGAACUAGAGAACCACAUGAACCGUCUACACUCUAUAAAGGAGGAAGUGACCACCCUGAGACGACAUCUGAUUACCACUAAGACUAGGACAUCCUUAGCAUAACAAAGAGCGGAAGGGGCCGCUCAUGAAAUGAGUAAAAUGGCCGAGCACCUUGUGCACCAUUUCGGCAUAAGAAAAUCACCACACUACUCGCCUGAGGCUUAUAAUAUCUUAAACGGCAACCAAUAAUAGUAUACCAAGAGAUGUACGCCCUCCAAGAACCCAUGUAAUCAGAAUCCAACCAUUUUAUAGGUGGCUAUACCAUAUCCCGAUAAAACGUAACAUUCGUGCGAUGCUUAAUUCUACUCUCAAUCGUAAAUACAUCAUAGGGAUGUAGGUCGAAACAACGAGAAACGUAUAACGAAACAUGUGAUUUAUAUACGUACAUGCAUAAGUUCAUACCUAUAAUCAUAGAUAAGAUAUGACUAGAAAUAACCAUAGUUACUCAUGAACCUGUAUCCCCUCAUGCAACAGGAUCAUGUCUUCCCAUGGAAACAACCAGCUAGCCGGCGAAACACCAAUUCUGCAGAUGGACCCCACGACCUUCCAAGCCGCUGUAACAACUGUCGUAGCAUCUGUCAAGGCACACCUCAAUGCCAACAAUACAAACAAAACUGGAAGCGGUGUCGAUAAUUUCAACCGUAGUAACAAGGAAACCAACAAAGGACAACUUACCAUGACACCCCAAACUCCAAACAUAAGGUCAUGAAGCAAAAGUUUGGGAAUGAAGAAAGAGGCGAUUCGACCCAGAGGCUUACCAAAAGGCAACAAGUGGAGCAGUCCUUCCCUUACUAACCCUACUCUUCCCACAUUGAGAAAACCAUAUCUUGGAAAGUCUCCACACUGCAACAAGUGAAAAUACCACUAUUGGGGAGCCUGCCGGGAUUUUCGUUGCAGAAGGUGCAACAAGAUGGCACACACCUCCCGCUACUGUAGGGCCCCGGCCCUAUGCGUCACUCCGACCCUCAACCCGGAAGCAAGUCCAGUAUGUCACAAAUGCGGUGCAGCAGGACAUUUUAAGAGAGAUUGUCCAACAGAGAUGAAUGACGGAGGAGUUGACAACUAGACAGGAAGAGGCGACAAGGAACCCUACCGAGAUUUUUGGUACGUUCCCACGAUAAACUCUAUGCAUCGAAUUUCCACAAAAAGGUUUUGUCAGUUAAAAACAUAAUAAAAAACAAAUUUCCUCAUUUGAGCAAAUCCUGUAAAUCACAGAGAAACUAGAGAUCCUUGCAAAUGGACCAUGAUGGUUCCAUAUGAACAUUAGUAUCAUAUAUAGUUAGGAUUCCACAAACUCAGAGUGUAUGAUCCCACUUUAUUUUCCCUGUUUCUGGUUUGAAUGUUGAUUAGGGCAGAAUCACGCGGUCAAUUAUCUUUUAAAAUCCUAAGUAUGUACGGUUAGGCCACACCCAUCUAUAGUAGAAAAACCUAGCAGAAUUCGGGUUACGAAUACCCUUGCUUUAUAUUGGUGCUCUCGUGUUACUAAAACACCCGGCAAGCGGGAACAAAAUAGAUGCAAUAAUAACAACAAAAACAAAACUUGCAGUGAUAAGAACAUGAAUAACAAAUCUCUUUCAACCUGUAAUGAAAAAUCCCUUGCAUCCAGACCCAUAAGCCCUUAUGUAAGAGAUGCCACGCUCCUUCAUAGACCCAAUAACGAUUAGAAGCAAGAAACAAAAGGCAUCAAGGCAAUCCGAAAGGCCUAUAACCUCCCUCAAAUAUUCCCUAAGUCCCUUUGGAAGCAUCAACCAGGUGCUAAGUCGAGUUUGGAAUCGCCUUGACCCUUGGAACCAUCUCACUAACCAAACCUCCGAUAUCACUUAGCACCGUCAAGAAAACAGAUAUUGUCUGAUCACAAGAACGAUAUAACAAGUAAGGAAAAACAUCAGACCAAGCCUCAAACCGCAAGAAGCACCCAUCUAACUCAUAAGGGGAAAAAGUGAAGUGCCCAUAAAACCACUGACUACUAAUAAGUCAAACAAACCAUCCUUAAGGACCGAUACUCCCUACCCCGAAUCGGAGACUUAUUUAACUAACAGCAAAGAAAUGGCAGAGGCUGCCCUACCGUUAGCUCGGAAAAUCCAUAGGAAGAGAACUCCCAAGAUAACCAAAGACUCAUAGGGUCAACUACAUCAUACACAAACUCAGCGUUGGUGACCAUAGUGCCAACCCUUAAGGCCCAAAAAACUCUACUCCUAGGACACCAAUCUCUAAAAUACCAUUCAAAAGUCCUCGCCAAGAUAGGCCUAAUAACCUAUAGCCUCCGAUUAUCCUAAGAACUCAGUCUUGUACGCUUCACAUUCCAUGCAGUCACCGCUCAUAAGUGUCGGACCACUGAAUCCCUAGAUAUCCCAACUGACGUGAUCGGGGGUAAACAAGAACCCUCACCUUGAUGAGAAGCAUGCGUAAUAGACAUGGGAAAAGUUUAGAUACCCACCUUCCCCUAAUCGAGUACUCAUAUAACAACAACUACCACUCGAGCAUAGGAGUUUCACCCUUCGAGGACCUGCGUGGCCAGAGGUGCAGAUCAUCCUCUGUUGGGCUGAGGUGGGAGAGACCCAACUGACAAGAGGAAAAACGCCCAAUAGCACACUCACUAGACCUAAGAUUAUUUGAGAAUCAACUAAAAGGAUAGCCCAAACUUGAGCACGACUCCAAACAUCGCGAGACCGACAAAAGAGCUAUGUAGAUAGCAUCUUAAAGCCUUUGGAAUUCCAAGUAAGAGAUCAAAGUAUUAUUAAAAGUCUUCCCUUGGGGAGGGACGAUACGAUAUGGAAGGAAAGGUAAACUAAAUCCCCAAUGCAUCGGACCAUCCAAGAUCCUUGCACGGACCAGUCCAGUAGCCUACAAACUCCAACUACCCUCCGAGCUUAGUGACGUACACCUUGUAGUCCAUGUGUCGAACCUAAGGAAGUGUCUAUCGGACAAAAACCUCCCAGUUCCACUAGACAAGAUUGAAGCGAGCUAGAAUCACCUAACCAUAGAUCAGCCUAUCUACUAUGGAUAGAGAAGCUAAAUGCACAAAACAAAGUCGCACCCCGAUUAUGAAGGUUCGAGGGAACACUAAGCGUGGGCCGGAAUUCAUUUAGGAACGUGAAGAACAGAUAAAGAAAAAGUACCCUCACCUAUUCUCCUCUUCAUGAUCCUACCCUUCGAAAGAAUUUCGAGACGAAAUUCCCUCUAAUGGGGGGAUGAUGUCACAACUAGCAUUUUUGGCUAGGAAAUUUUUGUCCUCAUGUAAACAAUGGCUAUUGUGAGACUUUUACUAACACAUUAAAGUUUACAUUAUGAUUCCUAAUAAGCCAUGUAUUGUUAUAAUGCAAAUCUCUCCCAAAUCCCUCUACGCAUCUUAAAUCUCUCCUAAAUCUCUCUAUGCAUCUCAAAUCUCUCCCAAAUCUCUCUAUGCAUCUCAAAUCUCUCCCAAAUCUCUCUAUGUAUCUCAAAUCUCUCCUAAAUCUUUCUAUGUACCCCAGAUCUCUAUCUAAUUUUCCAAUGAAGUUUUCUUAGUUGAAAAUAACACAAAACGAAAGGAGAAACUGAAAGAGCAAGCUCAUUUCGGAACCUCCUGUGCUGCUUCAGAAUUUCUUUGAUCCAGAAACCCCCACUUCGGAACCUUCGGAAAUGGCUCUGAAACUAAUGUGCUUCGGAACUCAUCAUGCCCUUGCACUGGACAAUCUCGCUCCGGAAUAACCUCUCAUCCGGACAAUCUCGUUUGGAGCCUUCGUGUUUGCUUCGUAACCUCGCAUACUUCGGACAAUCUCACCUCGGAUGGAAUUGGUUCCGGAUCAAAGCUGACUCCAGAAGUGAGGCUUAACUCCGUAAAUUGAGGAUUGACUCCAGAACUUGAAGAAUGCCUUCGGAACUCACCUAGUGGCUUCGAAACCCGCUAUUUGGCUCUGGAUUUUAGACCAUUUCGGAAUUUUCUUCAUUUUAAGGCAUUUUGACGUUGGGAAUCCCACCAAACUCGUAUUUUUCAUAACUUAGACCACUUAAACCUCUAUUUUAUGCCAAAUUUGAGUAUUUGAAACAUAUUUACGUGAAAUAAUAGUUAAUAUUUAUGAAAGUAUUAUAUUAAAUAAUAAAGAGAUAAGAGGGUUUGACUUUAUGAUGUGAUGUAAAUUCCCAUUUUCCAUGCAAUUCACGGUAACCCAUGAAUUACCCACAGAAUAUCAAGGCUUUAACCUCUAGAUAUCCAACCAAGCACCAACCCAUUUCACCUCCCCAUCUUAGACAUGUCCACCUUAAAACACCCCACCAUAUUAUCAUUUGAUACAGAUGACUUUUCUUUAUCUCUCAAAAACUCUCUCUCCCAACUUUUGAAGAAGGUUAAGCCCAAGUUCAUCCUGAGAAUUUUUGGUAAGUAUUUUCAUAAUCUCCGAUUAUUUAUAUAUGAUUAUAUGAUAGUUCCACUAUUUUUAUACACAUAUUUGUAUGUAUUGAUAUUGCUAGGAUAAUAAUCAUCCUUAGAAGCUCCUUUACUCAACUCAUCCAAAAGUUUAGACUUGAUAUUUUCACUCCAUCACUCCAAUCAUCCCAUAAACCAACUCAAGGUGAGCUUCAUACCCCUAGCUUUUGAGUUUUCUUUGUUUUUGGGGUAGAAUACAAGUCAAGGGUCUUGUGAAAUCUUAGUGUAUUUGCUUGUAUAUGUAUGUAUAUUAUGAUAUAUAUGCUUAAAGUUAUGAACUCCACCUAAUGGUUCAUGAACUUUAGAUUCUUAGGAAAUCUCAAGGUUUUGAACUAUACAUGUAUAUAUAUAUCACCCAUUUAUAUCUUAGAAACAAAAACUAGUAUGUUUAUGAAAUAUUAAUCAUAAAUGGUUACAUCAAAGAUCAUAAGGUUUUGCUACAAAAAUUGUUUAAACCAAGGGUUAAACAUAAUAUUUUGGAAAUGGUUAAAUUGGAAUAUUAUUAAUAUUUUGGGACCAUUUUCGGCCGCAUAUAUAUAGGGACCAUUUUGGAUAAUGGAAGAAAAUUUAAGAAUUAUUGAGCAUCUUAAUUUCAAAGGACCAAAAUGAAAAUUUUGGGAUAAACAAGGGCAUUUUUUAAUAUUUUAAUAAAUAUAAGUCUCAAAUAAACAUUUUAGAAGAAAAGGGUAGUUUUUGACAUUACGUUAAGUUUGGGGUUAGUUUUGAUAAUUAUGAUUCCAAGUGGAUUAUCCCCAAUAAACUUAAACGAUAAACCUAGUCAACUAGCACAAGUAAUGUUAUUUAUUAAAUAAUGGAUGUUAUCGAUUACUCAAAAACCAGUUGGUAUUCUAGUGAAGACAAGUCUCAAAAAAUACCUAAAUAUAAAUAUAUUAGUGUACGUCUAAAGUCCUGUAAUGAGUUAUAACCAGAGUCUCUUGGAUGGAGAGCGGGAAUUUGUGUAUAGAGCUAUAGGGGGUUCACACCCUGCAUCUUCGUUGUUCGCUACAGCUAGAUCGGCUAGUCUAGAGUGAUAAAUGUCUUUAAUCGAUUUGGGCAUCUGAGAAACGCCAAGACAGGCCUCCGUCAUAUUAGUAUGGUUACAGCAGCUCACUAGAAUAUGUUAAUGUAUCUAGAAAUUCAUGUAUGGAAAACCUCAUAAAUAAAUUGGCACAUUGUGUUGACUGCCCAUAUGCAUGGUAGUGAUGGUCCACAUUUGUUGUGUUGACCGCCCACUCAACUUGCGUGGAAGGCUUACAAUUGCCUGUGAAUUUCUCACACCUCUCUAGUCUUAGGGUUUUUAAGACCACCAUUUUAUAUAUAUCAGAAUAUAUAGGAUUUUCUGGGGAAAAACGAUUGUAUACGAUUUUGAAAACGAUAAACUAUCACACACAUGUACAAGUAUACUCAAUUGAAAAACAUGACUCAAGACUAUUUUAGUUAAGAAACUAUGGGAUUUUCUGGAGCAAAUGAUUUUAUACAAUUUCGAGAAACAAUAAACUAGAACACACACACAUGCAACUAUUCUAGAUGGAAAACAAGACUUACAACUGUUUUGACAAGAAAACACAGAAAUUUUCUGGAUUUCGAAACCAUCACAAAUUCUUAUAUAAACAUGCUUAUGAACUCACCAACAUAUUUUAUGUAGACGCUUUUGAAACGACUUGUAUUCUCAGGGAUCUAGUAAGCAGGUUAAAGGGACGCGGACUCGGGACUAUUUUGCUGUAGUUUGAAAUUUAUUUACUUACGUCUCUUUUGUGUAAUUUGAAGAACAAAUACAAUAUGUAAACAAUGUUAGUUUGUUAUCUCAAUGUAUGAUGUUUGAAUUUUCUAUGUUUCAUUUAUAUUCAGUUGUUAUCAUACUGCACAAUGAAGUCACUCGCCUCCAGACGUUUCCGCCGUCUAGUCCGGGGGUGUGACAUACACCCGUGUGUCCACGUGUUGAAUUUGAAAAAGUGCUUAUCAGAUGAAACCUUCGUCGUUCCUCUGGAUGAGAUCGAAGUCAACGAGAAUCUCCUGUUUUUCGAAGAGCCCGUUGAGAUAAUGGAUAGGGAAGUGAAGCGUACAAAACAAAGCCGCAUUCCGAUUUGGAAGGUUUAAUGGAACGCUAUGUGUGGGCCGGAAUUUACAUGGGAAUGCGAAGACCAGAUGAAGCAGAAGUACCCUCACCUUUUCUCUAGUUCCUAAGUAUAUCUUUCAAAAGAAUUUCGGGACGAAACUCCCUCUAACGGGGGGAUGAUGUCACAACUAGCAUUUCUACAUACGAAAUUCUAUCCAUGGAUGAUCAACUCUCAUUGUAUCUUGUAAUUCAAAGUUUGAUGUUAUGCAUGUUAUUCAAUUAAAAAAAACAGCUAAUCAAAUCAGAACUCACUCGUAAAGCCCAAAAAUCUAAUACAAUACAUUUCAUACAGUUAACUUUGGGUAGUAACCCUAAUUUUCCCGGUUCAAACCCCUAUUGGACUAGGAAUCAUUUAUUGGGUCUAAUGGGCCAAUAAACUCACAACUUGAUUAUUUUGGGCUAAGAAUCCUCAUUUGGGCCUUAAAUGGACCCACAUUUAGUAAACUAUAGCAUUAUGGGCCUUAAUUGGCCUAGAAUGUCUCAUUUGGUUUUAAUGGGCCUUAUUGGGCCGAAAACCAUCUCUUUUGAUCAUAAUGGGCCAAAAACCCAUUUCCUUUUAUUAUAUUGGGUUGUAAACACCAAUGUGGGCCCAAUGGGUCGAAAACUUCCUUAUUGGACUUUAUAUUUUCGGUUAUAUUCAAUUCUAGCCCAACAUAAAUAUUUGUUUCAUCAUCUCUCAAAUUCUUGGUGUAGUGACAUAAACAACAUGGUUUGGCAUGCGAAAUUAAAGAUUGCACAAUGAACAUGGUGAUUUGGGUGUUCAAGAGAUGUAUUGAAUAUGUGUAGUGUUACAAAAAGGGACAUAGAUCUAUAUCUACAUAAAUAACACACACUUACACACUCACUUUUACACCUCUCAAGCACACCUCCAUAAGUGGCAUGAACCCACCUUAUAUAGAGGUGUUUACAUGUCUCUCUCACACUCUCUAUCUCAUAAGUCAUAAGGCUAAUGCACCACAUGCAAGUGGGUCUACAAAAUUCAACCCAUUUACAAAGUCAUACAUGGAUAACUUUGCACCCAAUAUUCUCCCCCUCAAAGUUAGGAAUGGAUGACCCACUUCAAAUCUUCCAAAAUCGAGCAACUGCAAUCCGAGCCUCAAGCGUGACACAUGUAGAGAUGAACUUCAAAUCUUCAAUUCUUCCAUGAUUCUUCAAUUUGGGUUCAAGGAUGUGAGACCAUACAAACCGAGCAUCAACGAAUGAUUAAGAGCUUCUCAAACUCUAAAAAAUCACCCAAAAGUUGAGCAUAAAAACACACCCCGAAAAUCUUCAAUAAAACCAAACCCAUUUCGAAACGAAAUCACUUCCAAACUUCCAAUUGCAUCAUUUCGUGUACUUCAAAAAUUCAAGGUCACUUCGGUCUUCAAGUUCGCGUAAUAUGAAAAAUUCAACUUCGAAUUUCCAUAUAAAUUUCUCCCCCUUUUUUAAUCGAAAUUUGAUUCUAAAACCAUCAAGGAAAGAGAACAUGCUCUAUUUGGAAUUUUUUGUGUCAAAUUAAUCUUCACCUUAACAUGGGGCAUAAACUUUGUGCUUCAAUCCGGAAAAUCCAAAAAAUCUUCAAUUUUUAGCUUCAUUCAUGGACCGCCUUUGACAAAAUUUCUCAAAAAUGGGUAGAAAUUGUCAAUUUCAAAAUUCUGCAGUGACCCGGUGCGCCCAAAACAACAAAAAAUGCAAAACUCUCCCCCUUUUCCAAAGCUGGGUAGAAAGCGUCAAUUUGCAUUAAUUGCAGGGGCCUAAAAUGCAUUUUCUUCAAUUUCAUAGCAAAAUCAGUCCAUUUUCGAAUUUGGGCAAAAACUGCCAAAUUUCUGAAACUCCAGGGACUAAUUUUGAUAGUUCUGCCUUUUGUCCUCCAAACAUUUGAAAAUACCCCAAUUGUCGAAGUUUGACAAAAACUGCCAAACAUUCGAAAGUAUAGGGACUGCUUACGAAAGUGUUCCUCCUUUCUUCAAAACUUACCGAAAUUUGCCUAUUCGUACAAAAGUUUUAAACUGUGUCAAACUGUCGAAACUUUAAAGGCAUUUACGAAACUUUGGGUUUCUUCUUCCCCAAUCUCGUUUUAACGAAAUUAUAGGCAACGUACGAAACUUCAUCCCUUCGUACCAAAUCAUCUGCCCAUUUUCGUUAAUCAGCAAUGAAAAAUUUUAUUCCCCAAUUUCGUUAGUUUCAAUCACGAAUUCACAGCCAAUUCUAACGAAAAAUUUCCCAUCACCAUUUUAACGAAAAUUUUUCACUGCACCAUUUUAACGAAAGUUUUUCAAGCAUCAUUUAAACGAAACUCUUUCUUCCUCACUUCGUUAAUCAAGUAACAAAUUCGCUUUUCAUAGACUAGCCUUCGUCAACAAAGUCCUUUGCUAAAAGUUGACAUCAAUGACUCCAAAUAUUCAUUAGUUGAUGUCAAUUUCCAAAUCCUAGACUAUCGACUUCCCAUUCAUUCGUUCUUCGCUUUUCAUUCACCAACCCAAAACCUUCGUUAGUCAAUCAAACCCAAAUUUUCGUUAUUACGUCGCAUAACUAUCUACAUCAAAGCCAAAAUUCGAUCAUCAACUAUUCAUUCGUAACUUUGUGUUUUGUUACAGUGACCCCAAAAAGAAUUCCAUUACCAACUCUUCAUUCAUCCAAAAUCGAAAAUCAAUGACUUCGCACCAUCAACAUUGCCAAAACGAUUCCAAAACCAAGUCAUCGACUAUUGAUUUCAAUCAACAGGGCCUUCGAUUUCAAAUCAUUCUCCAGAAUAAAACUUGUAUUCGUUUUUCUGGUCAAUAAUCAUCGAUAUUACAGGCAUCGUUCUCAAUCGACUUCUAAUACUUUCGAAAUCGAUGUCCAUAUAAUAUCUUGAACCACAAACGAAAAUUGAUCAUUCCCUAUGCAUUGAACAACCUUCGAAAUCAUAACCAGUUUCAAACCCAUUGACAUCCAUCCAAAAAAUAUUCACGAUGUUAACUGUGUUCGGCAUCAAGAACAUAGACCCAACCAAUUUUCAAAAUCAAAUCCCAAACCAAAUAUGAUUUCGACAUCCAUAGCCAAUAUUCAACUUGUAUCAAACGAUUUCAACUUCCAAUUCACAUAAUCAACAAUUGAAAAGUGAGUUUGACUUUUUCUGAGUUUGACUUUUCAAAAUCAAAGAUUGACAAACAUGAAAUUGAAUAUUCCUUCACCAAAUUCCAGAUCAAAACAUGUUCAAACACCUGUUCCAAACCUCCUUCAAGUGUUCUUGACCACGAUUGACAAAAUCAAAGAAUCAAUUUUCGAUUUCAAAGCUAGGACACGAACAAAAUCAAUUUCAUCAUAUAACAAAUCAUAUGCAAUCGUAUCUUGAAUUUAGAUUUUCAACACAGUGCAAAAAAUUAUUAGAACCGAAUGGAUGAAAUCAAAACUCAAGAAUACAAGAUUGAAGAGUAAUCGAUGAAAGAGUAGCCGAUGAAUAACUGGAAUAAACUUGGAAUAAAUUGUACAACUGGUAUAACACAUGCGUACAAAUUGACUUAUCAACAAGCACAUGAUAUCGGAUCAAUAUAUUUGAAUGAGCUUGACACCUCAUUAAUACCUAGAGUUUAUCUAUGCUAUUAGCAUUACAUAUAUCUAAGCUAGAUCCUUAACUCUUCAUGUAAUAACCCAAUUCAACCUCUCUCUCUUUCUUCUUCUUCUAGUCUUGGCCGAAACCACCACCUCACCACCUUCAUUUUUACUCUCAAACUCAUCCAAACAUUCUCUCUAGAGAUCUCAAGAAAAUCUCACCUCCCACUCCAAAUUUGUGUGUGCUUGUGUGGUGUUCAAGAACACUUCUUCAAAGAUCAUCACUUUUAGGUAAGCUACUCUCUAAACAAGAUGAUUAACUUCAUUUUAUGAUAAAUCCUUCACUCCUUAACACUCCAUUUCAUGAUCCAUGCUCAUAAAAUCUCCUAAAAUGCGAAGAUCUCUUCAAGAGGUGUGCUAGGCCGAAAACAUAUCCAACUUCUUUAAAAAGCCGAACCUAUCAACCCAAAGUGAGUUCAUACCCCCUAUUUUCGGUUUUUACUUGGUUUGGAGGGAGAAUACAAGUUGCUUUGUGUAAAGCUAUGUGUAUAUGCAUCUAUAUGUGUGUUUUUACUGGUUUGUGUUGUGAUUAUGUGUUGAAAUCUUCAUAAACUCGAAAAAUAUGCUAACACAUGAUGAUAUUUGUGAAACAGACUACUUGAUGCAACAUAGUAUGAAAAUGAAAGGAUUAAAUCAUUUCAAGGAUGUUGGAACUAAGAAAAUCUUGUAAAGGGACAAAAUUGAAAAAAUAAUCAGAAGUGGGGUGCUUAUGUAACCCACGAUUUUGAAACGACCAAAAAGGAUUAUUGUAUAUAAACAUGGAUCUUUAUGUUAUUCAUGAAUUUCUAAGGGCUAAAAAUGUAAAUUUUCACACGUGGGCCUCAAAUUGGGCCUUCACGGUUUUAUGGGCUAAACUUGUAUUUUUAGCUUUUAUGAUUUAAAUUGUCCCUUUAGAUAAAUUUGAGCCAAAAAUGUAAAUUUUCAGUUAAAAGGGCUGAGAAUGUAAAUUUAUUCAAACUUGGGCCAAAAAGAUAAAUUUAUACACAAUUGGCCCGAAAAUGUCAAUUUUCAUAAAAUUGGGGCCAAAAGUGUCAAUUCUAACAAAAGAGAGCUAAAAAUGCUAUUUCGUUUAAAACAAGCACUAAAAUAUAAACUUUUGAUCUUAAGGGACCUAAAGUGUCAUUUUUACCCAAAAUGUGCCUUAAUUGUAAAUUUUCGGUUUUAAGGACCAAAAAUGUCUUUUUACAAAAAGUGGGCUUUUUAUGUCAUUUUGGUAAAUAAUUGAACAAGAACGAACAAUAUAAUAAAAAACGAGUCAAUUACGUCAAACUCACUUCUAUUGGGCCUAGAUUAUACAUUACAUGUCUAUUGGGCCUUAGUGGUCCACUUACAUGCUUAUUGGGCCUGAAAUAUACAUUAAAUGUUUAUUGGGCCUUAGUAGUCCACUUACAUGCUUAUUGGGCCUGGAAUAUACACUACAUGUCUAUUAGGCCUUAGUGGUCCACUUACAUGCUUAUUAGGCGUGGAAUAUACAUUACAUGUUUAUUGGGUCUUUGUAUCCCAUAUACAUGCUUGUUGGGCCUGGAAUAUAUACUUACAUGUUUAUUGGGCCUCUGUGGUCCAUUUAUAUACUCGUUGGGCUUUGUAACCUUAAAACAUACUCGAAAGCAUUAAUUACUACAUUAAACAGUGUGAUACAAUAUUCACAUAAAUAUAGUUAAGGUUCUUGUAAGACACGUUCAUUUAUUCGUACCCGCCUAGUGUACAACCUUUAGCCUGUAGUUAUAACCAGAGUCUCCUUGAGGGGGAGCGAGAGUUUGUAUAUAGAUCUACACGGGGUUAAUACCCCCACGCCUGAGUUGUUCGCUACAGUUAGACUAGGCCAGUUUAGGGUGACAAACCAUACCUUAAACAAGUCGGCGUCUGAAAAAUGUCAUGACGGGCGGAUCAGUCAUUAUCAAGUAUGGUUAUAACGACUCACAAAGAAAUAAACUUCACUAUAAAUUUAUGGAAUUCAUAAACAAUUCUACAAUUACAAUUUUAUACAAACACCAACUUACGGUGUUUGUGUAUAAAUACUACAACACUUUUGCAAGCAGAAAAUAUCGGAUUUUCUAGGAAAAACUUAUACUAUACAUCACCUUUUACUUACAUAGAAAACAUAGGAUUUUCUAGAAUACUUUCCUUAUACAUUUUCAAAACACACCUGCAUUAACACAAGAUUUGAUACAAAGCGUUCAAACCAUUAACUCCAUUUACAGAAAAUGUUGGAUUUUCUGGUGGUUACAAAGUGAUACAAACUUUUCAUACAAAUACACUUAUAAACUCACCAACAUUAUAUAUGUUGACCAUUUUCAAAAUAACUUUUUUUUUUGGAAAGGGAACUUCCCUAAUGAGGGUUUCCGGGCCAGCUUACGCGCACCGACUAAUCUCCCACUACAAACAUGAGACUUUGCCUCAUGUGGAAAUCAACCAUUUUCAAAAUAACUUGUAUUCUCAGGAAACCGUUAAGCAUGUGGACAUCAAGGUCAUGUGGAAAUUUGUUGCAUUUUGUUGCUAUUAUAAACAUUGAUAUUUUGGGAUGUAACUGUUGUAAACAAUUACAAUGAUGUAAACUCAGUAUUGUUGUAUUAUUUCUCGUGUGAUGAUGAUGCAUGCUUUGUUUCAAAUAUAUUCACUAUGAUGAUAUUACAAGAUGAUGUCACCUCAACCCCCGGACGUUUCCGCCGUACUCUUCGGUUCGGAGGUGUGACAAAUUUUGAACACCACAGCCCCGAGUUGGGCGCCAAAUUGUUUUGGUCAAAAAUUACACAAGUAUUGAUCGACCAAAUUGAAUGAGAGGCUAUGAUAUUUGAAUUAUGCAAUAUAGAAAAGUAAAGAGAAUGACAAGAUUGUUUACAAGGAAAUCCGUUGAUCCUUGCUAGGAUCUCCGGCACAAAACCUUGGGAGGUGAUCAUGAUCACCUGCCUUGAUUAUUUUAUUAUUAAAAAAAUGAUGAUUACAUAGAGUAUUCUAGUAAGAAUAAGUGAAAAAGUUUGUAGGGUAAGCUAAGUGUAAGUAGAGUGUGUUGUAUGUGAGAUACAUGUGUUAAUUUAUAGUCUAAGCUAGCUAACAAGAUGUCCGAUAUUCCCAAGAUCCUCUAUGACCAACUUUGUGAACGUUGUUGGACUUGGUAUUCUGGGUCUUUAGCAUAGUUGAGGUGACUUUCUGUUGAGAAUAAGUCUUCAGUUGAUUAUUUCUACACAAGUGUUAGUUAUGAACGAAAUAUAACCGUUAUAAAUGUUAAUAAAUAGUAAUAACGGUAAUAGUCGGGAUCUUGAGAUAGUUGAGGAUCUUGAAUAUCUGAUGAGGUUUGAGGAUCCUGAAUGCUUUGAGGAUCAUGGCCCUAACGGGCGUCGUCUCUAUUUUCCUGGUAGAACAACUGCAAAUCUAGAAGAAAGGGUAAUCGGAGGGGUGAGAGGAUUUACCAUAUAGGAGAACAGAUGUGUAUUCGUGGCUUUAUAAUCACAAUAUAGGGCUUGGAGAUAACAUCGAUGUUCAUGAAAAGCAGCAAAACCGUGAAUGAUUGGUCAGGGGAAUCCAGAAGCCCUAUGAGUUCGAUUUAUGACAGAAAAUCGAAUAAUCAAGGAACUAAAUAGGGAAGAUAUGAGAGUCGGUAGGUCAGGAAACAUGUAGUCGGUGGCAAUAGCAAGAGGAUUAAAGUUAUGCACAAAGUGGAGGCGGUAGAUUGGAUUGCGGUGGCGAUGAACAUCGAUUUCUACCUUUGGGAUCAUGAAGGGAGUAAUAUGCGUGGUAAUAGAAGAUGGAAGCGGGAAGCAAUUGAAAGCGGUGGGAAGCGAAUCAACUCUUCACAGGGACCAAAUUCGGUAUACGUAUCUAGGACAGGUAGCAGGCACUACCCCACCAAGAAGAAAGAUGUACAAACUUUAAAAUAAAAAUUAGACUAAUAUUGUUCCUAAGGGAACAUGAAAUUUAUAUAUAAAGACUGUGGAAUUUUUUUUUUUUUUUUUUUAAAAAUGGUGGAUCUAGUGAACAUUGAAGUAAUCCUUUCUCUCCUCUCGUUAAGGUCAUAACGAAAGCAAGCUAGCGAGCCCUAACGAGAGUUAAGGAGCGGUGUUCCUUUUCAUAGUCAGGCUCCUAGCAAGAGUGUAAGGAUGAGCUUUACAACCAGACCGGUUUGGAACUGUAACCGGUUUUCGUAUAUUAUAAGAACCAGGAACCGGAUCGCCGAUUCUAGCGCUGGUUCCGGUUCCGGUCCAAGUUUUUCAGUUAUUUUUUAAAACUAGAACUGGUUGAAAUGUUGUAGAUGAUAUGUUAUAUUCCUGGGUCUGUAAAUGAUUCAAUAUUAAAAAAAUUAUGAUUUUUUUACAUUAUAAAUUGAAGUAAAAACACUAAAUUACGUGAUAAAAAAGAAUAAAAUAAUUUCGAGUUACAUACUUUUUUAAAGCAGGACAGAUUCCGAAAAUUAAAAACAAAAUGUUGAAACCAAAAAUACACAACAUUGAUAUGUUGUCUUCUAGGAUUUAUAGUUGUUCAAUAUCUGACCAAAAUAUGUUUUUAUACAGUCUAAAAUGAAGUGCAAACACUAAAUUACAUGCGGAAAAAAAUUAAGUAAUUCCGACAUCAUAUGAAUGAGUUAUGCACAUUUAAAAAAACGGAAUGAUUUAAAAAAAAUGUUGAAAUAGAAAAAACGCAGCAGCGAUAUUCUUUAAUUCGGGACAUGUGUCUGAUUCAAUAUCUAACCAAAAUAUAUGUUUGUACAGUUAAAAAUAAAUAACAAAAUCCAAGUUAUAUAUUGGGAAAAAAAUCAAGCAAUUCCGACUUCAUAUGAGUGAGUUAUAUGCAUUUUAAAAAAUAGAAAAAAAAGUCAAGCCAGUUCUAGUUUUUAGAACCGGGACGGUUUUCAUAAGAAUAGAGAACCCGUAACUUGACCUUAUUAUCAAUUCCGAUUUCGGUUCUUACGGUUCUAAUGUCAUCCCUACGACAAUGUUUAGCGCUUAACUCCUAUCAUCCUCAUAGUAUUCCUUUAGACUAAUGGGAGUGGGGGUCGCUAAGACCCUCGCUAUCCUUGCUAGCACAAGACAAACACCACCCCCUAGCAUGUGCUAAGGGAGGUGUCAAACAAAAGUCGCCAACUAUUUAGCGUGAGAAGAAAGAAGGAGCAGCAGAAAAAUGAAAGCUUAUAUUGGUUCAUUCUUUUUUAUUUGUUUUUCCUUUCUUUUUUUCUAAAAACAAAUGGUUCUCAUUAGUUCUUAUCAUUUGUUUUUUUUUUGUUUUUUUUAUAAUCUAAAUGUUUGUGUUUUUUAAGAAAAGAUUAUAUGAUAAAUAAAAUAUAUGAUAUGGCAUAUUUUAACAUUUUGUUAGAAGUGUUACCACUCCUCUUAGCUUUACAAGAUUUUUUAAGUCUUAAAAUAUCGUAUUUGACACUAAAUCAGAUAUUUGUGUGGGAAAAAAAAUGGACGAGCAGGAUCAAUGCUGUUGAUUGGUUGGAAAUCACAUCCGGCGACAUCACAAUUCUCAACCGCAAUCAAUGGUCCACCCUUACUUUCUUCAUUCAAAUGUACUACAGUAUUUUUCUUUAUUCCGGUAUUUUAUAAAAGGACCCCCUCACCUUUUUACUUUUCCAUAACAACCGCUAAUGUUUACAAUAGUUNUGUUAUUAUUGUUAAUGUUUUUUUUUUACUAAACCGUUCAUUAAGACUAGAAGGAUAAAAAAACAAAUACAAUGACAUUCAAAGUUGAAGGGUUGUUUAUGUAAAUAAAACUUUAACAUAUUAAAUGAAUUUUCAUAAAUCAUACGUCCUUUUUAGAAAGAAAGUAUCAUGUGACUAUGUGAGCCUCAAAUUCUUUAUAUGUAAGAGAGUGAACGGAGCACAAACACUUGUCAUCAUCUUCACAAUUCCAAUUCAACAAAGAAGAAAGGAAACGACACAAUGCUCUUCUCCCUCUAAAAGGGUAAAAUCGUCUCAAAUUUUAUAUUAAAUUCCUCCAGAUAUUUUUUGUUCUUCAAUCUAGCUGUCCUUUUAUGUUCCACUAAAAGGGUAAAACCUUAAUUAUUUACCAUUUGAUCUUCAUGGCUCAAAUGGUUGUGGGUUUUCAUGGAUGUUGUUCUUUGAAUUUUGUUUUGUUUUUUUUUCUUUAAUUAUUGAUGGUAAUAUGUUGCUUUACUAUGAAGUUUAGUGGUAAUCAUGUCCCUGGAUAAUGGUUACUUUAUUCCAUUAACAAAAAUGGAAAAUGUUCACGGAUUGAUAUUGGGUUCUUGAUGUAUGUGUUGUUUCUUUAAAAUUUUAAGAUUUAUUUCGCGUAAAGGUUUUAUGUACCUUUCAGGGGUAUUUUGGGAAUUCCGAUAUAUUGGAGGUAAUAUGCUAUUUUAUUUAUUUAUUUAUUUAUUUUCAACAGUAGUGACCUGCUAAUUAAUCCAAUAUCUUGUUAUUAGGACUUUUUUCUUGAAUCUUGACUGCGAUAAUGGAAACAUGCAAAUGAUUUUUAUUUUUGGUGAUAUAUGCACAAAGAUAAAUUUUUGAUGAUAUAUAUGCACAAAGACAAAAACAAUUGUAUGUUUUAUAUAUAGAAAAACCCUUAUAUUAUUAUUUACGUUUUAAAUAAAAUAAAAUUGUAAAAUUUUAAGAAAAACGACCGACUAAAAAUAUGAUAUGACAUAAAUAUUCCUAAUAUUUUUUUGAUUGUAUAUGAAAACAUGUCAAAACCUACAUCUAUUUUGAUUACUUUUGCUCAAUUGUGUUCUCUAUAUGGAAUUAUACAAUUGAUUUUUUCCUCCUUAACUAAUUGUUUAUAUAAUAAUUAACAUCAUUGUCGUAUUAAAAAUAUAAAAUAUAAGCAACAUCAUAUUUUUAGUCGUCUAAAUCUCUUAAAAACUUGUAUUUUGGUUUUUUCUGAAUGGUAACUAUUGAUAUAAGAGUUUUUAUGAAUAUAAAGUAAUUUAAGGAUUUUUCUGUAUAUACAUAUAUAAUGAGUUGUGCUUUACUUCAUAUAUCCUUUUAUAUUUCCUAUAAUUUGCUACACCUUAAUUAUUUUUCUAAUACUAUCUUUCUUAUUCGACUUGUACAUCAUGCAUAUGAACUUGUACAUUUUAUGAAUUUACCUAUGUGCAUAAUUGUUAUAGGGGAGUGUUUAACAAAACUAACAACAACGUAGAGGUUGUUAGCUGGUAGUCAGAAGACUAACUGUAACUUAUAUUUGUAGAUAAAUAUUCGGCAAAAUUUAAUGUUAGUUUUAAAAUGCAUAAAGUUACAUAAAAUCAAAAGUGAAAAGUUCGAAAAGCUAUUUGAAGUAGUUAUUGGAUCAAAAGAAUUUUGCUUAAAUUAAAAUUCAAAAGCCAUAUCUAUUAAACAACGAAAAUUUUCUUUAGUUCGAGUUUUUGUUAAAGCUAAAAUGUAAAAACUCAUAGUAGCUUUCAAAAAUUAUUGUGUCUACAGUACCCAAAAUAUAUUACAAUAUGCUAGGCUUGAUAAUUAUAAUUAUAAUANUAAGUAAAAUCAUAAAGAUUUUUUAUUCUUGAUGUGAAGUUACUUUAUCAAGAAAGUCUAGUGUAAAUAAGUCAUAUCCUUAUACGGUCAUACCACACUUAAAUUUCAUUUAUUUGAUGAAUUUUUUAUGUGGGUAUCAAUAAAUCAUUGCAAAAACAUAAUCUUUUUUUAAUGUAAUAGGUAUCGAAUUAUAUAAGCAAUGAGUUCGUUUAUCAAUUUCAAGAACUGCAAGCCCAUGGUAGCAAAUUCAUCAUUGACCGAACAAUCUUCCAUAUACGCAUUGACUUUUGGUGAAUUACAAAACACAUUUGGUGGAAAUGGGGAAGAUUUCGGAUCAAUGAACAUCGAUGAGCUUUUGAAGAAAAUCUGGACUACUGAAGAGACUCAAUCAAUGACAUCAAAUUCCAAUUUGGGCAUAAACGGAAAAUUUCAAAAGCAAGGAUCGUUGAUUUUACCAAGAACAAUUAGUCAGAAAAAGGUGGAUGAAAUUUGGAGAGAUUGUCUUAAAGAAAAUGGCGGAUUUAAAGAUGUGGAUUUGAUCAAAGAACCAACCAUUCAGCCACAAGAAAAGCAACCAACUUUGGGUGAAAUGACACUAGAGGCAUUUUUGCAGAGAGCAGGGGCAAUUUCGGAAAACAACCAAACUCAAGGGUUCAAAAACGUGAUUCAAAAUCAAGGGUUUCGUCAAGAAGCAGUAGUUACGGAGGGUAAAAAUGACAACUUGCAGGGUGUUGGUUCCUCAAAAGUGCAAAAACUUCAAAAAAUUCUCCCGAAACAAUCCGCCUUCAACUUUAGAUCUUCAGUAAAUUUAGUGAAUAAUAAUCAUAUGAGUAGUCGUGAAAAUGGGGUUUCUAUAAUUGGAAAGAUUGGUCAUUCAAUAAAGACUGAUUAUCCAUCAGAUUUGUACCAAAAUGGCAAUUUGGACAUGUCACCAUCACCACCACCCUGUUAUGGUGGUAGCUAUGAAGGAAAGAGGAGUGGUGUGUUGGAGAAAGUGGUGGAGAGAAGGCACAAAAGGAUGAUUAAGAACAGAGAAUCUGCUGCAAGGUCAAGGGCUCGAAAACAGGUCAAAGUUCUUGAAAAUCUAUAUCUUUCUUGUUUAAUUUGAUCUUUUUAUGUUUAUGCAUUCGUGUGUUAAUGGAACUAACAGGCAUAUACAUUGGAAUUAGAAGCAGAAGUUGAAAAACUUAAAGAGGAGGUGCAGAAAAAGCAGGUAUUUUUACUUAACAAUUGUCAUAAUUAUUGUGUACGUGAUUUAUAUAUCACGUGAUGUUGUUUUUGUUGUAUUUAGGAUGAAAUCAUGGAAUCGCAACAUUUUCAGGUGCGUAGUUAUAGGGUUAUUAUAAAGAGGUCAUGUUUUACUUUUAAAUAAUGAUUCAAACAUGAUACUUUCAAAAAUGGUCUUCACUUGUUAUUUUAAAAACACUUUAAAAAAAACGUAUGUUUGUGAUCAUAUAUGAUUAUAAAUCAAUAUUGGCAAUAUAUACCUUAUUUUGGCGUUGAAUGCGAUCAUAUAUGUUUAUAAGUUAACGUUGGCGAUAUAUACCUUAUUUUGGCGUUGAAUGCGAUCAUAUAUGUUUAUAAGUUAACGUUGGCGAUAUAUACCUUAUUUUGGCGUUGAAUGCGAUCAUAUAUGUUUAUAAAUUAAUGUUGGCGAUAUAUACCUUAUUUUGGCGCUGAAUGCAAUCAUUUUUAUUUGUUUUGUCAGAUAUGGGAGAAGACAAAGCUGACUGAAAAUGGAAGAUUAUGCUUGCGAAGAACGAUGACAGGACCUUGGUAGAUAAAUGCAUCAUAAAAUAUAUUUAUAAUACAUAAUAGAAUGUGAAAAGUACAAAGACUAGGGUUUCCAAGAGUAGAUAAUGACCAAUGAUAAGUGAUGCACACGAGGUAUGAGUUAACAUAUAUGCUCCAGAUUUGGUUAUUUCUGCUCUAGACAUAAGGAUUUGAGUGUGUAUAUGUACAUUAUUUUGAUCUUGUUUCUCUACACAUUGUAUAGAUGUGUUUGUGUAUGUACAGAGACCAUAUAACUUUCAGAUGUAUAAUUAUGUUGAAUCUUGUUCGUAUGUAAUUUUUAGGCUUUUGUAGUUUGAUCUCUCAGACUCGUUUUUUAUGUUACGUUGGACUGGAUAUAAGUUUUAGGUGUUUGCAUUGGAUUGGAUUGAGAAUUACUGUUUCCGGAUAACAUAAAGAUUGUGUACAAUUCACUUUACUUAAUCAAUAAUUUGACAGUAUGUCUGGAUAUCAUAAAUUUCGAUGUGGGAUAAUCAACAAGAGUCACUUCGAGUUAUGAAGCACAAAACUUAAAGCAACAAACUAAAUCCAUUUAAAUGUUCAAAUUCUGAGAGCAUUUCCAAUGGUUAAGUUAUACUAAGACUUAAAAUUAGUGCUACAUCAUCAUUCUAAAAAUUUUAACCUCUAAUUAAGUAACUCCUUUAAUGGUUAACCUCUUGUUAUAGUUUUUAGUUAUAAAAAGUUAACUAAUUUACCCAUAUCUACUUAGAAUGUUCUAUAAAACUCCUUUAUUUAAUUAUUCAUUUUUUAAAUGUACAUUGUAUUUUAAUAUAUUAAAAUUAUUACAGUACAUUGUUUCAAAAGAAAUAUAUUACAAAAUAUCGUUUGUAAAAAUUAAUAUGAUAAAAACUAUUACGAAAUAGUCAUAAAAAAGAUUGAAAAAAAAUAUAUAAUCAUUAUAAUUUUAUUUUUUAUAAAUGUAAUGUAAUUAAAUAUUUAAAAUUUAAUUAUUUAGUAAAUAAUUAGAAAAUAUUUAAAACUAAAAUAUAGUUAAUAGGGUAAAAUGAAAUAUAACUAAAGUGUUGGGGUGAUAAAUGACAAAACAUAGAAGUAUAUUGACCACUCAAUAUAUGUUGAGUGCUCAAUAGAAAGAAGCAAAUAAGUUGUACACUCCAAUGGUAAUAAGUGAUUAGUUAAAAAAAAGUAAAUAAUAAUAAGAUUUAAAAAAAGCACCAUUGUAGAUGCUUUAAGGCGUCUCUUUCAUAUAAUGUACCUACAACCAGUAACUGAAGGGUAAAGUCUAGACGACAUAUGUUCAGAAUUUUAGAAGGAACUUCACUUCAAUUGAAAGUUCAAUUACUAUAGUAGGACAAAGUUUCUCAAUCCUUGGCAUCUUAUUUCACCUCAUCUAAAGUGUCCAAAAGAUGCAGAAGACUUGACAUACAAAAUUAACUCCAAAUAUUGUUGUCCCUUCUGUCUGUGUUUUCUUUACUCUACUUGUAGUCCGAAAACCCCUUUUGGUUUUUCCACUGCACGUAUAGUUCAAAAAUCCAUAUAGGUUUCCGUACUCUUCCCUUCAAUCCUAUAUGUAGAUCGGUUUAGUCAUUAAUAGGACCAUCAUGCACUACCCCUUCACCCUAGCCAUUUGUCGUGUCUGAGAUCCAAUUAACCUUGUUAUUUAUUUCAUUUUUGUGUAGAAAACAUGAAUUUCUUCCCUCCUAUUUUCUUUUUAUUUAUUUGUUGUGCAGAAAUAUGAAUUCGCUCAUCCUAAUGAUAAAAAAUAGCAUUAGUAACGUUUAUCAUGUUUGAUCCGGUAACAUCUCAAAAUUUCAUGCUAAAUUUUUAAUUUUUAAGACAAUAUAACAACCACUUUAAUAAAAUUACAUUCAGGACAAACCAUUGUUCAUAAACCAUUAUUUAGAAAUCAGUGUUUUAAUGAAGGCAAUGCAGAAUAUCGAAUCAUAAAAAUGUUGAUGUGUGUGUAAAAUCUUGCCUUCACAAUCCGAUAAGUACCUGCAAAAUAUUUAACCUACAACUGUAAGCACAAAACUUAGUGACUUCGCCAAAAUAUCAGAUACGACACAAAAUAAUAAUCAAUUAUGCGUUAUCAACAACCCUAGGACUAUCAGCAGUCCUCAACAUCACGUAUAACACAUGUUGGGUUGAAGAUUCGUUUGAAAAUUGCGUCAUUGGGCUCGGCUAUUAGUCCAAUUGUUUUGUAUUCCAGUUUGGGCCUGUCCAACCGAGAGCCUUUUAGGUUUAUUAUAUAAGUAUAUGCUUGCAUGCAUAUUAGGUGAUCGAUCUAGAGUAUAACGAUAGUAUUACAGAUUUCUUUGAUCGUUCUUGUAAACCUACCAACCCUCUACAGUUGAUGUUCUUAAUCGAGCUCUUCUGAGGGUUUUGUUUUAAUCAUUCGACACGUUUGAUUCAUUCUUGACUUGUUCUUUAUUUUCGUGUUCUUGCUGUUUUAUAUUUACUUACCUGUUUAAGAUCUAAUCGAUCUUCAAGAUUAAGUUUUAAUCUCAUCAAUUGGUAUCGGAGCAGGAGGCUAUGUAAUCGAUACACAUCUUUUCUGUGAAAAGGUUUCAAUUAGGGUUUUUUCGCAAUUACUGAUAUUUAUUGAGCCGUCAUCUCAUUAUUGACGUUUCUUGAUAUUUAUUGUUUUGCCCUAAUCUGAUUUAUUACAAGUCUGAUCUUUAAACAGGUUUUUCGAUCAUAAUGGACGAGUCGCAAUCAAAUCCCAUCAAUAUUUCCAACAGCAUCGGUUCAACCACGAAGAUUCCAAUCCUAUAUACCCAUGAUUAUGAAGUCUGGGCGCAUCACUUCGAAGACUACGUUAUAGGAUCUGAGGAUAAUGGAUACCUCAUAUGGGAAGCAAUCAUCAAUGGACCUUUUUCUCAUUCUGCAACGUCAAGGAUUAUUAAAACUCAAAAGGAGUAUAAUGAUCUGCUGAAGGAUGUCAAAGAUAUUGCGCAAGAUGAAAAGGAUAAAUUCCAGUGUAAUAUCAAGGCGUUAAGAUUGAUAAGAUUCGCCCUUCAGUCCGACACCUUCAGGUUGGUCAGCUCAUGCACGACGGCAAAGGAAGUUUGGGAUAGACUUCGCGAACUGUACUCUAAAGACGAGGAUCUUGAACAUUCUAUCCAAACCUUUCUCUUAUCCGAGUUUGGAGAAUUCAGGCAAGGAGCCGAAGAGACUGUGACCCAGACGUUCGCUCGCUUCAAUCAUCUUCUCAGUAGUAUGAUCAAACAUGACAUCGAAAGGAAGCUUAUCGAGCAGAAGGUUACGUUCUUAAAUGGUCUAAGGUCAGAAUGGAGAGCAGUGGUGUCAACAGUUAAAGCGCAUGAGCAGUUUAAAUCAUACUCUUUGGCGAAACUGGUGGGUAUUCUCAAGUCCCAGGAGAAGAUUGUGCUGCAGGAAAAGAACGUUGUUUCAAGCCUAGGUUCACUGGCCCUCCUGUCAAAAAGUAAAGCUGUGAUGGAGGAUGAAGACCUCAACUUGGAGGAGUAUGACCUCACGUCUGAGGAUUAUGCUAUGAUGGUGUCUAACCCCAAGAGGUUCAUUAAGAAGAGAUUCCCCAGCAACAAAAACCGAAACUGGCAGGGGAGUUAUAGUUCAGAAAAGGUUAACAAUGAACCGAAGGUUGAAGAGCCCAAGAAGGAACCGAAGGCAGAUGGUGAUUCUGGAGUAAGCUGUUACUACUGUGGUGGGAAAAACCACUAUGCUAAGGAUUGUGUCCUCAAAAAGAUGGCUGAAAAAGAUGAGGAAAAGGAUGAGGAAGCUGUGCUGCAGAAAAAGCUUGAUGAGAUGAGAAAGAAGAAAUCUACCGCUAACCCUUCCAUGAAUGCUCUAAUUGUGCAGGGUUCGGUUGCUGAUGACGAGUUCGGUAGCGUGGAAGUUUGGUCAACCGACUCAGAAGACGAUGAAGUGAGGAAGCCUACUCAUGGAAAGGCUUGUGUGGCAAAGGAGGAGAGCAGUGGAGGAAGGUGCUUCAUGGUGUCCGAUGUAUCUCAGAUGAGGGGAUACAACACUGAUGGUGGAAGCAAUGAACCGAAGGAGCAGCAGGAUAUGUGCUUUACGGCCAAACCGCUCAGCGUGCAGUUCAACGAGCUCGAUGAACUGAUCAAGAAGGUACAAUCGGUUUUUGUUUCAUUUAAAGUACCACAAUCCUCAUAUGAGAAAGAACUAAAAAAUGUUAAUACAAGAAUUUCUCAUCUAGAUAGUAGUUUAACUCAAACUCGAGUCACCAAUUCUAACCUAACUGAUCAAUUAAGCAGGGUGUCUUCGAAGAGUGAGGAGCGGCGCAUGUGGAUCGAGUUGAAGGAGUCUGAAUUAGUUAAAAUAAAAGACGAAAACAUUUAUUUACAAAGAGACAAUUUAAAGUUGUUAAAACAGCGGAAUGUUUUUUGUUUAAUUGCAAAACGUCUUUAUUCUAAUAUUACUCAGCUUCACUUGGACUGUGAAAUAGGCCAAAAGAUCCAUCGCAUGAUUUUGCCCUUCCUUGAGUUUAAGGAGGAUGAAAUCGAUGCUGAAGCUUAUAAUUGUGAGAGUGUGAUAUCAUCUGAUGACGUCAAUCCGACCUAUAUGUAUGGACUGGACAAAAUUGAAUCUUUCAUUAAAUCCAAGGACCACAAGGACAUGCUCAAAAACCUUUUGGAUGAAAAUGAUAGACUUAAACUGAGAACCGAAACCAUACAAAAAUUUGACUCUUUAAACGCCAACUUGAGCUCAGAAAACAAAAUUGAUGUUGAAAAUGCAUCUGAGCUUAAUGAGGACGACAACAUGAGUGAAAUUUCUGUAGAGGACAC
RNAcentral lists this long non-coding RNA (91834 nucleotides) under Lactuca sativa (garden lettuce). Its description in RNAcentral is "long non-coding RNA (LSAT_LNC009834)". Lineage: Eukaryota; Viridiplantae; Streptophyta; Magnoliopsida; Asterales; Asteraceae. The record is from RNAcentral.